This 145205-nucleotide long non-coding RNA is filed under the name Citrus maxima (pomelo). RNAcentral describes it as "long non-coding RNA (CMAX_LNC000887)". The stretch from base 105824 to 105927 matches the Rfam family "Plant small nucleolar RNA R71". The record is from RNAcentral. Lineage: Eukaryota; Viridiplantae; Streptophyta; Magnoliopsida; Sapindales; Rutaceae.
GGCCUCUGUUCCAAAAACUUCGUUUCAAGCUACAAUUACGGGACUCAGGUGGUCGAGUUGACGGAUCGAGUGAUCAAUUUAAAGAAAGACGGAGAAAAAAUUGAAGUCGUUGUUGAGAAGGCGCCGGAUGGUGCAGCAAUUGAAUUACCUCUUGAUCACACAGUUGUUGGUCAAGAACUAUUACUUGAUCAAGUUUGGAGAUGUAUCACUGAUCAGGAAAAUAACAGGGGAAUUAUCGGCUUGUAUGGUAUCGGGGGAGCCGGCAAAACUACCCUUUUAAAACAAGUCAACAACAACUUCUGCCAUCAACAGCAUAAUUUUGAUGUUGUUAUCUGGGCGGCUGCGUCAACACUUCAAGAUGACAUUGGAAAAAGGAUUGGCUUUUCAGAAGACAGAAACUGGAAGGAAAAAAGUUUAUAAUUAACGAAAGGGCCUUUUUCUUUUUUUAAAUCCCGCUAAAGGUUAUAAUUAACAACAAAUUAAUAAUAGAAGAGAGAGAAAUACCAAGUUCAAUAUGGUAAUAUUUUAUCUUCCCUUAACUGCUCCCCUUUGGCUUAUAAUGCGACCUUUAUACUCGUUGACAAAAUUGUAUUUGUCGCUUAAGUCUUGUUUGUUUUAAAAUGCUGGCAUAUUUAUGGAGUGGGAACUAGGGAUGGCAAUGGAGUGGAUUUGAUCCAAGAUCCAUGUGAUCCAAAUCCAAUCGGAUCGGAUUUGGAUCGGUUUAAAAUGGAUUUGGAUAUCGAUGUGCGGAUCUAAGACAGAUAUGGAGCAGAUAUGGAUCUAUCUUAAUAUCUAAAUCCAUAUCCAUAUCCACUCAUCUUUUAAUUUUAUUUUAUUUUAAAAGUUUAUUAAUAAUUGUGGAAUGAUAAUGAUAAUAAAUUUUAUUCAUAGCAUAUUAGUAAUAUUUACCAUGAAUUUAAACUCUUAAAACUUAAAGGUUAGUUUUGUAAAUUUAAAGGUCAGCCAGCCUCAAAACAUGUACAUGCAAUAUUCAAAUUGCAAUCCAAGUAAUAUAACCUGGUAAUAUAUUUUAUCAUAUUGGCCAAAUAAUUUUUAAGGAAUAUAGUUAUUCAUAUAUUUAGUCAAAUGUGGUCAUAAUAAAAAUAAUAAAUGACUGAAUAUAAAACAUAUUUAAUUUAUAUAUCAUUAUCUAAUGUUGUAGGAAUGAGGGUAGGUGUAUCGUGAAUACUAGAAUGAUGAAGGAGACAAUAGAAUAUUAGAUUGAUCUUACUCCUGCAAUUACUUCUGAAUGAUAUUUUAUUAUCUUUCUUAUUUGUUGUUUUGGUAUAGAAGUAUAAGCUACAAUAUUUAUUAUAUUUUUGAGAAAAAUUAUAUAAUUUAUUUGUUAUCAAUACAUUUUAGCCUUCAAUUUUCAAUCUAAAAAAUUAUUACUUUUUUAUUACGGAAUUUUAGAAUUCAUGACGGAUCUAGAGCAGAUUUGGAUUUUAAUUUUUUUUCGGAUUUGGAGCAGAUAUAGAUAUUUAUUUCUUUUUUGGAUCUGGAUAUGGAGCGAAAAAUAUGGAUUCAUAACAGAUCUGGAGCAGAUACUGAUCUUGAUUUUUAUUAUGGAUUUGGAUCUGGAGCAGAGUAGAUCCAACCCAUAUCUGCCCCAUUGCCAUCCCUAGUGGGAACCCAGAUGCUGAACUCAUAGUAAAUAUUUAUUUAAUUUGUUAUAAUUACAUUUGGUGGGAUAAUUUUAAAUAUUAAUUUAACAAGAUAGUGAUGUUUGCCUUGCCCUACAUGAAGAAAAAUAAGUAAUUAAAGAUUUUUCUUUUCCUUUAUAUUAGUAAUAGAUUUCAAAUGGAAAACAGACAAAUUUCAUUUUUGUUUCAAUAAUUACCCUAUCACUGUGUGCGUGCGUGAUCACAUAAUUUUGUACUACCGUCUGUGGAAUAACUUUAGGAAAAGAAAAUUAAUUUUUUUUAAGUAAUGAUAAAUAUUUUAAAAUUUUAUCUUAAAUUGUUUUCUUCUCUUAUCAAUUUUUUUUUUCUCCUAUCUUCCAAUGAAAGUGCAGGACCUCAAUUAUUUUAAUAGAGAUGUAGUAAUAAAUUAUUAAUGAAACAUGUCAAAUCCAAUGUAUAGAUAAUAAUAAAAUGAGGCUAAUGCUAAGUUACAUACAUGUAACUUAGGGGAUCCAUAAAAUAAAUAUACAUGGUUUCAAAAAAGUUAGCACAUGCUUGUUACAAAUAUAAAACAUUAUCUUAAAAGUCUCUGAACUUUUGUGUUCUCUUUAACAUUUUUCUCUUAUGUUGUUUUUGUACUAUAUGGAUACAAGAGUGCGUUUGGCACGCUGUAUUAUAUUAUGUUGUAUUGCAUUAUUUUAAUGCAGGUGUAUUGCAUUAUGUUGUGUUGCAUUAGUAAUGUAUUAUAAUAAUGUUGUACAAUGUUUGGUACUAUAUUGUACUGUAUUAAUUUUUAAUUAUAUUAUAUUUGAUAUUGCACUAUAUUGUAUUAAUUUUUUGUGACUAAUUUAAAUUAUAUAUUUAGAAAAUACUAAUGAAUUGUGCUAAACAAUCUAAUAAUUAUAUAUUUUAUUAAUUUUUAAUUAAUAUUAUUCAAAUUUAUUCAUAUUUAAAUAUUAUUAUUAGUUAUAUUAAAUUAUUUAAAAAUAACUAGUUUAAUUAUUUUAAUAAAUUAAAUAAUAUUAUAUUAUAUUAUAUUAUUUAAGUAUUUAUUAUUAGUUAUAUUAACUUAUUAAAAAUUAAUUAAUUAAAUAUAUUAAUUGAUAUAAUUUUACAUAUUAAUUAAUAUAAUAUAAUUAAAUAAUACAUUUUUUAGUUGUACAUUUACUAUGAUAAAAAUUAAAAUAUAAUAUAAUAUUAUUAAACAAUAAAUUUAUUAAUUUAUAUUAAAAUUAUAAUGUAAAAAUAAUAUUAUAUAAUAUAAUAUUAAAUUAAAAAUUAUAUUCAUUUAUCAUUAUUACAAAGUAUAUAAAAAAAAAAAAAAAAGAGGAAGCUAAAACUAAAGUGGUAACUGGACGCAUUAGCUAAACCCGACUAUAUGUCGGGUUUAGCUAAUAUAGCCAUUUGGUACCCCAAACAUGGGGCUGCAUUGCUAAUGUAAUGCAAUCCCAGGUAAAGAGGGGUACCAAACAACCCCCAAGUUCACUUAAUGUAACAUAACAUACUUUUAUAUAUAUAUGUAUAUAUAUAUAUAUAUAUAUACACACUACGUGGAGGUGAGCUCCUUAAGGUGAGAUUUAUCAAAAUUAUAAAUUAUUACAACAUGAAAUUUAUUCUUAUUUAUAAUUGACCUAAUAUAAAUUAAGAUCGUUACUUUUAUAGCUACAUGAAAUUAUUCUUAUAUAAAAUAUCACUACAUAAAUGUUUUAUUGCAAUAUUGAUCUCUCUUUUUUCUUUAUUGUAUUUAUCUCUUCAUAAUCUUUUCCUUUUUAUUAAAAAAAAAUCAAAUAAAAGAUUCAUCAACAUCUCAGUCCAACAGUCUACCAGCGAAAACGAGUGUCCAUGCUUUUGAACCAAGGCCCAAUAUGUGAGGGAGAGAUUGUUGGGUUGUCUUAUAUCGGUUGUGAACUAGGAUGGGAUUGAAUGAGACCCAAAACUGCCUAACAUGAAUUCUAUCACUGGGAUUUUUACCCAGUAUAACAAACAUAACACAACGAAUUAUCAAUUUAUCACCUAAUGGCUCUAACUUUAGCGAUGAUCACCUUACAUGAACAUGAAAAUUAAUCCCAUUGUUUAACUCAACACUGACGAUAAUCACUUAAACUCUUAUGCACCGAAGGAUAUACUCGCUACAGGGAAUCUUAACUCAUAAAGAUGCUCCCACAUCUUCCAUUAAGUUUCCAUCGAACAACUAUUCAUAUCAUUCGAUGAAAAAUUAAUUUUAGUGAGGGCCAAAAGAGCACGAGUGAUCCAAACCACUAAACAACAUCAUAACCAACACAAAAUUCAUACUAAACAAACCAUUACCAAAACAGCAAAGCUAGACAUAAAUUUGAACAGAUACACAAGCUACAUUCAUUACCAUAAUGUAUCGACUAAAUUUCCAAGCUCUCCUGUGCUGCUUGUCUAACUGAUUCAAAUCCACAUAGAUAAAUUUAAGCACAUUAAGUUUUCAAACUCAAAUCAAACAGCUUUAAAAGUUACUUCACAAACAAUGAAUUUCAUUUUCGAAAUACAAAGAAUCCGUUCAGUUUAAAACAAUAAAAAAUCGUCUACGACUACUCAACUCAUGUAUUAUAACUAAAAAAACGAAGGAUACCCACAAAAAUUAAAGAUAAAUUACCAAAAACCCAAAAAACUCAAGCCAAAAUUGCCAAAAAAAAAAAAGCGAGAGAAUGGAAAUUGGGGUACCAGGGGCGGGCGAGAGGAAACGAGAAGAGGAAGAAAGAGGGGUUUUAGAGAGAGUGGGAAUUAGUGGAGGCAAAAAUGGAGAGUUUUGCCUCCACUAAUGAUUGGUGGGGUGGUGAUGGCGGUGGUGGGGUUAAUGUUCUGGAGGGUAUGCUGAAGAGAGGUCGCAAGAGAACCUCCAUAGCCUUUAAAGAGAGUUGAGUUGCUGCUUUCUUUUGCCGUGGAUGGAGAGAGAUUAAGGGAUUAGAAUUCUGUAUGGAAUUUACUUUUUAUUAAAUAAAAAAUUAAUGUUAAAAUCAUUUUAUUUUAUUUUUUUAUCUAGUUAUCAUUGACUUAAUAUUUUGGAUCUUCAUCCAAAGUAAAGGCACAAAAUUUUUAUUCUAAAUAAAUAUUCUCAAUAUAAAUUUAUCACUUAAAUAAUAAAUGAUAAGAUUUUAUAUUAAUUCUGUCAUUACUGAAAUGAAUUACAAAUUUUAUAUGACGUGUAAACGUAUCAUUAUAUUCUUGAUAUUUGACAUCUUGACUAAAGCAACAAAUGUAUCAUAUUUUUAUUUUGGUAUUGUGGUUCUCUAAAAAUACCCUCACCAAAUUAGCUUAAUUCUUUUCAUUGUACCCAUUGCUUCUCUUCCUCUUUUCGUCAACGACAAUGGGUAACUUAAUCUCAACCUUCUUACCAGCAGACUUAUUUGAUCGAACUUCAAACUGCGUUGGUGAACAAGCAAAAUAUGUAUGGGGUCUCGAAAAAAAUCUUCGGGUCUUGGAGACUGAAUUGCACAAAUUGACUCGAGCAAGGGCCGAUCUGAAGACCAAGGUUGAGGUCGAAGAACAACGACCUCGAACCAGACGAACGAACCAGGUCGCAGGGUGGCUUGAAGAUGUGCAAAAUCUGGAAACUGAAUUUACCGAGCUGGAACGAGUUAGAGCUCAUGAAAUGGAUAGAUUGUGCCUUGGAGGCCUCUGUUCCAAAAACUUCGUUUCAAGCUACAAUUAUGGGACUCAGGUGGUCGAGUUGACGGAUCGAGUGAUCAAUUUAAAGAAAGAUGGAGAAAAAAUUGAAGUCGUUGUUGAGAAGGCGCCGGAUGGUGCAGCAAUUGAAUUACCUCUUGAUCACACAGUUGUUGGUCAAGAAUUAUUACUUGAUCAAGUUUGGAGAUGUAUCACUGAUCAGGAAAAUAACAGGGGAAUUAUCGGCUUGUAUGGUAUGGGGGGAGUCGGCAAAACUACCCUUUUAAAACAAGUCAACAACAACUUCCGCCAUCAACAGCAUAUUUUUGAUGUUGUUAUCUGGACGGCUGCGUCAACACUUCAAGAUGACAUUGGAAAAAGGAUUGGCUUUUCAGAAGACAGAAACUGGAAGGAAAAAAGUCUUCAAGACAAGGCUGUGGACAUCGCUAGCAUUUUAAGCGGAAAGAAGUUUGUGUUGUUAUUAGAUGAUGUAUGAGAGCGCAUUGAUUUAACAGAAUUGGGUGUCCCUCUUCAAAAACUAAAUGAUGGGUCCAAAGUAGUCUUGACAACUCGUUCAGCUGGUGUUUGCGAUCAAAUGGACGCUGAAAAGUUGGAAGUGUAUAGUUUGGCGCAUGAUAAAGCCUGGGAAUUAUUUCAGGAGAUGGUCGAAAGAUCCACUCUUGACAGUCAUACCAGUAUUCCAGAGCUAGCCGAAACCUUGGCAAGAGAGUGUGGUGGGUUGCCGCUAGCGCUUAAAAUAGUGGGUCGAGCGAUGAAAAGCCAAAGGAAAGUUGGAGAUUGGAAACGUGCAAUUAACAAAAUGAGAACAUCAGCUUCUAAAUUCUCAGGUAUGAAGGAAGAGGUGUUUUCGCGUUUAAAGUUCAGCUAUGAUAGUUUGUCUACGGAUGAACUUCGUUCCUGUCUCCUGUAUUGUUAUUUAUAUCCUGAAGACUACGAAAUUCCUAAAAGGGAAUUGAUUGAUUAUUGGAUUAGUGAAGGAUUUGUGUAUGAUUUUGAUGAUGGAUGCGAUUUUAUUGAUGACCUUCUUCAAGCAUGCUUAUUGGAGGAAGAAGGCGAUGAUCAUGUAAAGAUGCAUGAUAUGAUUCGUGAGAUGUCAUUAUGGAUAGCGUGCACGGUAGACAAGGAGGAGCAGAACUUUCUGGUUCGCGCUGGAGUUAAAUUGACCGAAGCACCAAAGGUUGAAGAAUGGGAAGGUGCCAAACGGAUAUCUCUGACGGCAAAUGGAAUUGGAAGCCUAUCGGAAAUUCCCACGUGUCCACGUCUCGUCACUUUACUUCUGGAUGGAAAUCGGAUUGAGGAGAUUACUGAUGGCUUCUUUCAAUCUCUGUCGACUCUUAGAGUAUUAAGUCUAAGAGGAAAUUUUCCCCCAAGUACACUACCUUCAGGGAUUUCAGGUUUGGUUUCAUUACAUCAUCUUGAUCUUUCUUCGACUGACAUAACUGGGUUGCCGCAAGAGCUGAAGGCAUUGGAGAAGCUGAGAUAUUUGAACUUGGACUAUGCAUUUCAUUUGUCUAUAAUUCCACAUCAAUUGAUAUCUUGUUUUUCAAAGUUGGAGGUACUCAGGUUGUGUGGGUGCGGUCGCUUUGGUGUAAUAAAAGGGAAAGAAGGUAACGUUCUAUGUGAUGGUGCUGAACCUUUGAUGAAGGAAUUGCUGGGUUUGAAGCAUUUAAAUGUUUUAAGCUGGUCCUUCGGAAGUUCACUUGCUGUCCAAAAGUUUUUGAAAUAUCCAAAGCUGGUGAGCAUCACUCAAUCUGUAUGGGUUGAAUGUGGCACGUAUACAAGGCCACCGUUCAAUGUCUUACAUCUGGCAUACAUGGAGAAUCUUCAGGAGUUAGAACUUGAAUCCUGUAAUUUGGAAGAGAUGAAGAUUGACAGCACAGAAGAGGUAAAGAAACUUUUUCGAAAUGGUUUCCGCAAUCUUAACACAGUUGUCCUAAGGUCUUGCAGAGGGAAGGACUUAACGUGGCUUGUUUUUGUUCAAAAUCUCAAGCAGCUAAAUAUGCAGGGUUUUACUAUGGAAGAGAUAAUCAGUGUUGAAAAAUUGAGUGAUAUUUCAGAGGUAAUCGGGUCAGAGCAUAACUUUUUCCCACGACUCGAAUAUCUAACCAUGUGGCGGGGAACAAAUUUAAAGAGCGUUUACCCGAAUCCCCAGCCUUUUCCAAAGCUGAAGAAAAUUCAAGCAUUUCAUUGCCGACAGCUGUAGAAGCUCCCACUCAAUUCCAGCAGCGCGAAGGGACGUCGAGUUGUGAUGACAAUGCUAUAUUUGCUGCAGGACUUGAGUAAAAAUAAAAACAGCAAGAUUUGAUUAUGCUGUCAAUAAAAUCCUGCAAGAUUGUAGGAAAAAAAUUUGUUUUUAAAUUUUAUGAUAUCAGAUAUAUGUUAAAGAUAUGUAGGCAGAUUUUUUGGCUUUGUUUGUUUCUUUUCAUGUAUAAAUUCAAAUACUGCAAUAAUGAAUAAAAUACUGCAAUUAACAGACCCAAUUUCUAUGUGUUCUCUUUUCUUUGUUUAAAACCAACAAGGUGGUAUCAGAGCCCUUAUUCUUAAGGGACUUGUAACGUGAUUAGAGAGGCUUCCUACACUUCAAUAUGGCAGGAAAUGGUUUCUUAUCUGCUCCUCCAGUUUUCACAGGUGAAAAUUAUCAAAUAUGGGCUGUGAAAAUGGAAUCUUACUUGGAUGCAUGUGACCUAUGGGACUUGGUGGAAGCAGAUCCAGAGGAUCCACCAUUAGCUCAUAUGAGGAAUAACAGGGAUGAAAGAAAAUGGAGAUAUAAGGCCAAGACAUGCAUUCACUCUGCAGUUUCGGAGACAAUUUUUACAAAGAUCAUGACUUGUGAAACAACGAAACAGGCAUGGGAUCUUUUGAAACAAGAAUAUCAGGGGAACGUCAGGACAAAACAAAUGCAGGUCCUGAACCUGAGAAGGGAAUUUGAAAUGUAGAAAAUGAAGGAGACAUAAACAGUUAAUGACUAUAAAGACAAGUUGAUGAUGAUUGCCAAUAAAAUUAGAAUGCUUGGGGAAGAGUUUUCUGAUAGAAGGAUUGUAGAGAAGAUUUUGGUGACCUUGCCUCAGAGAUUUGAAUCUAAAAUCUCUUCACUUGAAGAGUCCAGAGAUAUGUCAACAAAGGAGAGCUUACAGAAAGGAGGAGAUAGUUGAAGGAGCAUUUCAAGUGAAAGAGGCUGAUCAAGCUCAGGGAGGCAGCAAAGAAAAGAAACAGUGGAGUAAGAAGAUUUACAAGAAGGGGGAAAGUAGCAUCAAUGAAGGCAACAAGGGCAAGCACUCCCCGUGUCCUCACUAUAAGAAAACCUCUCAUCCGCAAAAGAAAUGUUGGUUUAGGCCUGACAUUCAAUGCAGGGCAUGCAAGCAAAUUGGGCAUAUGGAGAGGGUGUGUAAAAACAAACAGCAAGAAGGACAUCAAGCUCAAGCAGCAGAACAACAACAGGAUGAACAACUUUUUGUUGUAUCUUGUUUUUCGAGUAACAGUUCGAGUGAUGAUUGGCUCAUCGACAGCGGAUGCACAAAUCACAUGUCUUUUGAUGAAUCUCUUUUCAAAGAAGUAAACAAGUCAGAAGUGUCAAGAGUUAAAGUUGGCAAUGGGCAGUAUAUUGAAGUGAAAGGUAAAAGGACAGUUGCAAUAAAAAGCUCAGCAGGUAUCAAGUUAAUUUCUGAUGUAUUACUUGUUCAUAAAAUUGAUCAAAAUCUACUGAGUGUGGGACAAUUGCUUGAGAAAGGUUAUUCUGUUGAAUUUAAGAAUAACAUGUGUGUCAUUACUGACCCAAAUGGUGUAGUGUUGUUCUCUGUGAAAAUGAAUAGCAAAAGCUUCAGCUUAAGUUGGAACAAGGAUGAAUGUAGUGCAUAUCAAUGUACUUUGAACCAGGCUGAGUUAUGGCACAAGCGGAUGGGGCAUUUUCAUUAUUCUGCAUUAGAUUACAUGCAGAAAAAUGAUCUUGUGCAAGGAAUGACUUUCAAUGGAGGAGGAGCAUCAGUGUGUAGAGUCUGUCAGCUGGGAAAACAAGCUAGAUUGCUAUUCCCUGUUAAUAAGGCAUGGAGAGCAGUUGAGAAGCUUCAGUUAAUCCACACAGAUGUUUGUGGACCUAUGAGGACUGCAUCCUUAAAUGGUAAUAGGUACUUCAUGGUUCUUAUUGAUGAUUUUAAUAGAAUGUGUUGGAUUUACUUUCUCAAACAAAAAUCUGAAGUUGCUAGUGUAUUUUGGAAGUUUAAAAAAUGGAUUGAAAAUCAAAGUGGUUGUAAAAUCAAGGUGAUUAGAUCUGAUAAUGGGACUGAAUAUACAGCUGAUAAAUUUGCUAAGUUUUGUGAAGCUGCAGGGAUUGAACAUCAGCUUACAACAACCUAUACACCUCAACAAAAUGGAGUCAGUGAGAGGAAAAACAUGACAGUCAUGGAGAUGGCUAGAUGUUUGUUGUUUGAGAAGGAAAUGCCAAAAAUGUUUUGGGCUGAGGAUGUUAAUACUGCUGUAUUUCUGCAAAACAAGUUACCAACAAAGGCUUUAAAGGGAAAAACACCUUUUGAAGCUUGGUUUGGUUUUAAACCCUCUAUUCAUAACUUGAGAAUUUUUGGUUGCAUGUGUUUUACUCAUGUUCCAGAUGCAAAAAGAGAGAAGUUGGAUCAAAAGGCAGAAUAUGGAGUUUUUGUAGGAUACAACACUCUCACCAAAGGUUAUAGAGUUUAUCAACCUUUGACGGGAAGAAUCAUAGUGAGUAGAGAUGUUAAAUUUGAUGAAACUGGAGGAUGGAAUUGGGCAACAGCUGAACCAAAGCAAGUUUAUGCAGAAGAAAAAACAUCAGAAUUGCAAGAUGAUGAUAUAAUUGAUGAUGAACCAAUAAGAGGUACCAGACCACUUAUAGAAAUUUAUCAAAAGUGCAAUAUGGUUGUGCUUGAACCUGCAGGUUAUAAUGAGGCUGCUAAAGAUCCAAAGUGGCUUGAACCAAUGGAAGAUGAGAUCAAGAUGAUUCACAAGAAUCAAACUUGGGAGUUGGUGGACAGACCACUACACAAGAAAACUAUUGGUGUGAAAUGGGUUUAUAGAACCAAACUCAAUGCUGAUGGUUCUGUAAACAAAUUCAAAACAAGGCUAGUUGUAAAAGGGUAUGCUCAACUAUUUGGUGUUGACUUUUCUGAAACGUUUGCACCUGUAGCAUGGCUGGACACCAUCAGAUUGCUUUUAGCACUUGCAGCACAAAAGCAGUGGAAAAUCUACCAGCUUGAUGUUAAAUCAGCUUUUUUAAAUGGCUAUUUGGAUGAAGAAAUCUUUGUUGAGCAACCUGAGGGUUUUGUUGCAGAUCUGAAGAAAGUAUAUUUGUUAAAAAAAGGCAUUAUAUGGCUUGAAGCAGGCUCCAAGAGCUUGGUACAGCAGGAUUGAUGAUCAUUUGCUGAACAUAGGCUUCAACAAGAGCAUGAGUGAAUCAACUUUGUAUAUUCAAGUAAUUAAUCAUGAAUUGAUUGUUGUUUCACUUUAUGUUGAUGAUUUUCUUGUCACAGGAAGCAAUGAAGAAUUAGUGAAGCAAUUUAAGGUUCAAAUGAUGCAAGCAUUUGAAAUGACUGAUCUAGGAGAGAUGACUUUCUUUUUAGGUCUGGAGAUUCAAAAGUCACAGCAAGGGAUCUUCAUUGGACAGCAAAAAUAUGCUAAAGAAGUGCCAAAGAAAUUCAACAUGGAGGAUUGCAAGUCAGUAUGUACUCCUUUAGCUCAAAAUGAGAAAUUUAGUAAAGAUGAUGGUGCUGAAAAGAUUGACGAAGCAUUAUAUAGGAGUAUUAUAAGUUGCUUGAUGUAUUUGACAGCAACAAGACCUGAUAUAAUGUUUGAUGUAAGUUUGCUGUCCAGAUAUAUGCAUUGUGCAAGUGAAUUGCACUACAAAGCUGCUAAAAGGGUGCUCAGGUAUAUCAAGGGAACUUUGGAUCAUGGAAUAAAAUUUGAGAAGGAAGACAAGCUGAUUUUGCAUGGUUUUGCUGAUAGUGAUUGGGCAGGAUCCUGUGAUGAUAUGAGGAGCACGUCAGGCUACUUGUUUAGUCUUGGUUCAAGUUGUUUCUGUUGGAGUUCAAAGAAGCAGGAAAUCGUAGCUCAGUCUACUGCUGAGGCUGAGUAUGUUGCAGCUGCUGCUGCAGUCAAUCAAGCCUUAUGGCUAAGGAAGCUUAUGACAGAUUUGAAAAUGAUUCAGGAUUAUGCAACUGAAAUCUUUGUUGAUAAUCAAGCUGCCAUAGCAAUUUCUAACAAUCCAGUGUUCCAUGGGAAGACAAAGCAUUUCAAAAUUAAAGUAUUAUUUUGUUAGAGAAGUCCAGAAGAAUGAUGAAGUAAGGCUCGUGUAUUGCAAGACUGAAGAUCAGCUAGCUGACAUUUUGACAAAGGGACUGUCAAAGUCAAGAUUUGAGUUGUUGAAGAAAAGAAUUGGUGUCUGCAGCAAAAAUAGCAAGGAGGAGUGAUGACAAUGCUAUAUUUGCUGCAGGACUUGAGUAAAAAUAAAAAUAGCAAGAUUUGAUUAUGCUGUCAAUAAAAUCCUGCAAGAUUGUAGGAAAAAAAUUUGUUUUUGAAUUUUAUGAUAUCAUAUAUAUGUUAAAGAUAUGUAGGCAGAUUUUUUGACUUUGUUUGUUUCUUUUCAUGUAUAAAUUCAAAUACUGCAACAAUGAAUAAAAUACUGCAAUUAACAGCCUCAAUUUCUUUGUGUUCUCUUUUCUUUGUUUAAAACCAACAAAUUGUCAUCGAGGGAACGAAAAAAUGGUGGGAAGAGCUACAAUGGGAGGAUCAAGCCACCCAAAAUGCUUUCUUUUCCUGUGCCGUACUUUGGGAGGAUCCUUAUUAUUAAUAUGUUUGAAUAUGUAUUUCCUUUUUCUUUUUUUUCUUGCUAUAGAGUUGCAUGAUUGUGAUGAUCCUUAUUAUUAUUAUCCUUUUUUUUUUUCACAUGAAGUUCAGUAACUACUUCCGAGAUUAAUAAGAUCCAACUCGUUUUUGGUUUAGUCAAAAACUUUUUGUGGCUCUAAAUCCUUUUUAACACCAGGCCAGGCAUCCACAAAUAUAUUGACACCAUUUUAUUUAUUGAUGUUUAUAUAACUGAAUUGAUUACAAAUUACCCUUUUUGUCCAGUGUGUUCAGAAUAUACUCUGCACAACUAACACAAAAAUAAACAUGUAACAUACUAAUCGUUUAUGUUAAUUUAUGGAGGCCUUAUUGUCCAAGGCAUAUGUAAAACCAUUUCACAUUCGGCAUUGUAAUGUUUAUGGACGGAUUUAAAUGAUGUCACACAAAGUCACAAAUAGUUAAAAAAAAGAAGGUGUUUGUUUUAAAAUGUUGGCAUAUUUAUGGAGUGGGAACUCAGAUGCUGAACUCUGAAUGGGCUGGAAUCGGAAUGGGUUAGAAUCGGAAUGAGCCGGAAUGAGAAUGGGGAAUGAGAGUCAAAAUAAGUUGUUUAUUUGAACUGUAGGAAUCGAAAUCGGAAUGAGUUAGAACCCCAUUAAUGUGUUUACUUUAUCUAAGAAUCGAAAUCGGAAUAAGUUAAGUUGUUUUAAGUUACUAAAACACCCUUAGUUGUUAAUAAUAAUAAUAAUAGUUGUCCUUUGGUAUUAAUGAUAAUAAUAAUAAAUUUAAUAAUAACAUUAUAAAUAAAUAAAUAAUAGUAAUAAUUAAUGAUAAUAAUGAAAUUAAAUAACAACUACUAAUACUACAAUAAUAAUAAUAAUAAUAAUAAUAAUAAUAAUAAUAAUAAUAAUAAUAAUAAUAAUAAUAAUAAUAAUAAUAAUAAUAAUAAUAAUAACAACAACAACAACAACAUUAAUAACAAAUAAGCAAACAAUGAAAUAAUACAAACACCAAUCUACAUAAUUUUAAUGUACAAUAAGUGGCCGAACAAUAUAAGAAAUUAAUAAUUUAAAAUAUAAAAUUAUAAUUCCCAAAACAAACAUUGUGCUCCUCUUCACCGGAUGUAGCAGAUCGCGACGAAAAAUGGCGGCAGGAUGAGCGCGACCACGGUGGCAACAGAUCGAUCGGGACCACGGCGGCAGAUCGUGACGAACGAAAGCAGCAGAUCGCAGCCUUUUGACACCCCCUCGAAGACCCUCCUUUAAAUUCCUUAUAACUCUUUAAUUAAAAUUAUUUAAAUAAUUAAAGAUAAAUUAAUUCCAUUUUAUUUUGAUGGAAAAUUUAAUUAAUACUUAAAUAAAAUUAUUCUUUUAACAUUUUUCCACCCACCUCAUUUCAUAUAUAUAUAUAUAUAUAUAUAAUUUUUAGAAACUUUUAAUAAUUUAUAAUCUUUUUAAGGUGAAAUUUAAUGAGAAGAUUAUUAAUUUUAAUUUAUGGAUUAGUAUUUUAUAAAUUAAACCAAGGUACUUUGAUAAAUAAAAAUUAAAACAAGUUUUAUAAGGAUUUUGGAGUGUACGAAUUCAGAAUAUAGAUUUUCAUGGGGACGUUGAAUAUGCUGAAGCUGAAGCUAUGAAUUUUAGAAUAAAAAUGGCAAUAGACUUUGGUUUAAUGCCAUUAAUUGUUGAAUCAGACUCGAAUACUAUUUUAAACUUGGCGAAAGGUUUUGAAAGAAGUAUGAAAGAAAUAUCAUGGUUAAUUUUCGAGAUUCGAAAUUGUAUGGUUGUGAAAGACCACUUCGAAAUCAAUCUUACAUAGAGAAGUAGUAGUGAGACCACUCAUAAAUUAGAUAAAUAUGAUGUUAACAAUUCAGGCUGUGUAAUUUGGUUGGAGGAAAUUUCAACUCAUGUAAGUCUUUUUCCUUUAAGCGAUUAAUUGAAGUUUUCCAUUUCCAAAGAGAGAUAGAGAGAGAGAGAGAGCUCAACUCAAAUGAAAGUACGAAACAAAGAGUAAAUCCUGAUAGUAGAAAAAUGAGCCAUGAGUAGAACUAUUCGCACCUUUGAAAGCCCUCAUAAAAAUCUUUCUUCAAUAUGUCCCGCUAAAUCAUUUAAAAAAUAAUAUUAUUUCUAAGGGCAGAGCUAUUUGCACUCUAAAAAUUAUUCUCAACGUUUUAUUACUAUAUACACAUAUUUAUUAAUUUAAAAAAAUGAACUAUAUUUUGUACAACUAUGAUGCCACUUCCACCUCCAAUUGAAUGUCAGAAAAUUCAAAGUUUGUCAAAAGAGGAUGGUAAAUUAAGCCCCCUUUUUUUUUUAAUCUGGAUUUGGUUGAACAUUUUUAUGUCGCAAAAAUGUUUGCUGUGUUGUAAUGCCUAAGUGUUGCAGACUAGUUUGUAAGAGUCUGAAUAAUUGUCCAUGUUACUCUGGUAUUGUGGAAUGCCAUGUAUUUUUUGGCCAAAAGAAAAAAUCAAGCAACCAAUGUAAACUUGUUUAAUAUCAUCAUAAUAUAACUGAAAAAGAAGUAAUUAUAGUCAUACAAAAAAAAUUAAUAAUUGUCAUGUCCUUAAUAAUAAUUUAUAUCAUAAAUAUUAUUGAAAUAAUUUUUUUUUAUAAAAUUAUCAGUGUUUAGUGUAAUUUUUAGAGUGUAUAUAGCCUCAUUCUAUUUCUAAACCCACAUAAGUUGAUUCCAAAAACACCCUUGGCUUACACACCAACCCCAUUUUCACAUUUUCUUCGUCUUGGGGAGCUUGAAACCCAAAUCUGAUGGCUUCAACUUUCGAAUAAUCAUUAUCUCCAUUAGAACUUAUAAUUUUAAAAGCUAUUUCCAUAAUAUUUUCAUUAGAAUUUCUUAUAACAACAUCCAACAUUGGUUAUUGAUAUUUUAAGGUUUCAUCUUAAAUAAUAAUAACAAAAUAAUUAAAAUUUUAUCAAAAUUUAAGGAAAUACAUUGUACUUUGAUAAACAAGGAAUGUCAACUAAAUAUCGUCAAAAUAAAUAAUAAAUUUUUAAGUCGAGUUUUGGUUUCACAUAAUUGUAAUUAUGGAGACUAGUUAUUCGAAUAAAAUUUAAUUUCUUCUGUUUAUCAUUGUAACUUUACAUAGGGACAAUUGCAUGAUUAUAAAGGCAGGGUUUGAUAAGGAUUUUUUGGAGGUACCAAUAGGACCACUCAUGAGCCAUGACAAAAUUAAGCCCAUGCGAGGCCCACCUAAUCCAUUUUUACAUUUAGCCAAUUAGCCUGAAGAAUAAGACGAUAAUAAACAGUAAGCCUAAAUAAUAAGAUGAUAUGAAAGUAAGAAUAAGGUUAAGAUACCAAUUUUUUAGUCUUAACUUCUUAAGUCUUAAGUCUUAAUGUAACAUGUCAUUCAUUUAUUAGACGAUAAAUUUCAUAACUUGUAAAAUUAUUUAACCACCAUCCAAUAAAUGAUUGUCAUAUCUAUUGAAAUUUAAAUUUAAAUUUUAGAAUACUUAGCAUUGAGCUGAAUCUAAACGAUUUUAUUUUCUAUUAUUUUUAUUUUAUUUUAAUUUUUUUUCACAAUCGGAUUUUUCUUUGAGACAAUAGAAAGCCUUUUGGCUUUAAGUUUCUGAAAACCAAUAAUAAAAAAUUAUCCAUGAGUUUCUGAAAACCAAUUAACUUCAAAAUCUCUUCCAGCGCUAGGAGGAACAUCUUCAAUAACUUUUUCAUGACCUUUUGGGUAAUAAAUCCCAGUUCUUUCAUGAGGAACCCAGCUACAAUUCCCUUCAUUUUCUCCCACAUUAUUAUUCAUCUGCUGGCUCCUCAUCACAUUUCCUUCUUCCGCAUUGGAUUUCAAUGCUGUUUCUCUUAUCAUAUCAUUAGAACUUGCUUUCUUUUGAAAGGAUUUCCUCAUUAUUGGCCUAUAUGUUUCAAAAAGACUUAACAAAUUAAUAAUGUAAAAACAAAGACUAAAAUAUUCAAACACUCAAAUGAAUGAAAGUAAUCUCUUUUUAUUAUUGCGUGGACAGUGGCGAAAUCAGGAUUUUGGAUGUCAUCAAUAAUAGAGAAACAACAAAUUUUAAGUAGGUUAUAACACAAGAAUAUAAACAUAUGGGGGCUACAAAAUAAAAUUAUCAGACAUAAGGAUAAAUUUAAUUGAAGACUUUCAUAUUUCUUGAUAAUGUUUUUUAACCUGAGUCCCCUGUGGAGACAUAUUGAUUCAGUUAAUAAAACAUUUAAUUCUAUGUACUUAACCAACCACUCAUAAUUAGUAAUUACAUAAUUUGAAACUAUUAGGCCUAUUUCGAACGAACUGUUUCAUAACAAAAUUAAUUUAGAUAAAGUGAAAAGAUUUAUUUACAAACAUACCAUGCAAUAAUGAAGUGCGAUUGUCAAAAUGAAAUGAUGAAAUAGCAAAGUAGAUAGAUAAAAACAUGGAGUUAAAGGUGGGAGCUCCUCUAGCAAAUGAUCCUGUCAUCUUUUUCUUCUUUUUUCUCUCACUUUCUCUCUUUCCAAACAAUGUGGGUGGAAUGAAUUGAAUUAUGAUUUAGAUAGAGAGCUCUUUACAUAGUGAAGUUAAAUAAGAGAAUAUUGUUAUCUAUUUCUCUCAUCUCUAGGGAGAUCGUUUAUUGUACGUCAUUUUCUGUUUGGAUAAAUAUUAAAUUAUAACACUCUUUCUUGAUCAUUGGGGAGCACUCAUUGCAGAGCAUGGCCUUCUUUUGUUCCCUUUUGUUUUGUUUUUGUUUUUUAGUCAUCUAAGUUAUGGGACAUGGCUUGUGGACUCAGCUUUUAGAAACUUUCCCUAGAUAAGUAGUUGAAUCUAGGGGAGGUACUUUUUAGUUUUAUAAGUGACAUUGAUUCACCUCAUGAUUAGUGGCCAGAGAGAAUAAUUACGAAAAAAAAAUUUUAAUUGUUAAUUAAUUUUGUUGAAUAUAUUAAAAUAGCCAAGUUAAAUUUAUAAAAAUAGUUUCAUAAACUCUUAAAUCCAUAAAAUUUUAAUUUUGAGGAUUACAAAAACCACACUUUAACAGAUAUACAAAAAGAUUGUAAAGAUAUAAGAUGAGUCGUUAAUAAUUGCACGUGCAAACAUCGUAUAUUCUUUAUAAUUAAUUGUGCAGAUUUUCAUGACCAAUGCACCAGAUUUUGAUGACCAAUGCACCUGGGUGCGAAAACAAAAAUUAGAACAAAAUAUAUUAAUAAGGGAAGGCCACUCUUUUGUCAAUAUAUAUAUAUAUAUAUAUAUAUAUAUAUAUAUAUAUAUAUAUAGAGUUUGUUAUAAAAGAUUACCUCAGUAUCAAACUCUCCCGAUUCAACAUUGACAUUGAUGACAGUGAAAAUCUUUACAAGAUCCACCAAUAAUCCAGGUCGAUCAGCCGUCUCCACCAAAAGCAAACUUCAAUAAAACAAAAGGUAAACUAAACAAAAAUAGUAAGGACCAAAUUAUCUGACUACUUCAGUUAUGGGCAGGAAUUGCCACUUGGGCUGGAGUAUGAGUAGUAAUAAUGUGGGACCAAAGUUUGGUGGAUAGCAAAAGCCCCAUCAUCUAGAUAAGAGAAUGAAUUAUGCAUUGCCUUCGGUUGGGGCCAUCAUCAUAGAUGCUUAUGUGGGUUGCUAUGUCCACAUCAACCUGACAAAUUCCAGCACAACAAGAUUUGAGACAAGAUUGAAGUGGGACGUUAUCCUUCCCAUAAUAACUCAUAUACGUAGUUUUUAACAUUCACAACAUGAUAUUAAUUUCAAUGGCAGGCAAAUUGAAUAUAAUGUCUUUAAAGAAAAUGAGGAUAAAAGUGAAGUAAUAUUUGGCCUAAGAGAACUCUAAAACAACUUAGUUUCCUAUUCAAAUGAUCACUAGUGAGAAGAGCCAAAAAUAUCAAUAAUCUGAAAAAUCAAAAUAAGACCAGAAAGCAAAAACCUGUUGUUUUGGAGGAUCAACGCCAAAGGCAACACCCAUUGCCAACUGGGAACUUGAUUCCUGAUUCCAUCACCAACACAAAUGGAAUAAGCUUUUGAAUAAGACAAUUCCUACAGGUGCUCCACCAAGUGAUAUCUCAAGAGAGACAAAAAAAAAUGAUUACCGGGUGAUACUGAAGUAGAUUGUUUAUAACUGUCAAACAAAUUGCCUCAAGCACCUCAGGAUCAUCAACUUUCCUACCAGUAUCACCGCACACAAGCAUCAUGACCAAAUUAAUCAAAACCACAGUGGGAAUCUAUUGCAAGAACUGCUCCAAAAAACACCGAUGGCUCUUUGGAUCAUUGAUUUUAGGUUCUAGUAUGUCCAAAAUUUUAACGAUUUCAACAUUAGUGAUAAACAUCUAUUUGCAACAGACUGAUCAUACUUGUAUAUGGAGCAUCACAAGUAGGUAUUUACUAUGCUCAUCAAAUAUAGACCAGAAGACGUUGACAACAAUUAAAGGGUAUUAGUGAAUGAAACUGCAAGCAGAGAAUACAAAUCAGCUCAGUAAUGCAAGGGCAUGAAAAGCAAAAUGCAUAUGCAUCACAAAAUUAUAGAGAUAUAUAAUUUCGCAGUCAUAUGAUGAUAUUGCAGCGGUGAAGCCGUGCGUGAGGUUAAGGCAAGCGAUGGAAUGACUUGCGUUACAAAAGAGGUAUUUGCAAUGAUUGUGUACUGGACGGAAAUUGAAUCCAUGUUUAAGAAUUUACCGCCGGGGAAAAAAUGUCAAUACAAAGUCAAUGCGAACGAAUAGUGAAGUCAGCAGUCGCAAAGGCAAAGUUCUUAACCAGAUGGACUCCAGAUAGAUUAGCGGUGGCAGUUUCACAGCUGACAGAUGAACAAAGAAUGGCUGCUUGUCAAAUGGGCUUUGGUAGUUUUCUACAACUGAACCGUGGCAAGCUAAAAAGGAAACUUUGUGGCUAGUUAAUUGAGAUGAUUGAUACUUUGAGGUACAUUUUAGAGUUGAAUGGUAUUAGCUUUCGAACAAGAUCAUCAAAGAAACUCCACCAACCAGGAAAUUUAGACUUAAUCUAUGCUCUGCAAAUUCAUAUACUCUCUAAUAUGAAACUACUUUUAUGUGUUUUGUUAUUCCGACUUGGUAACGUUGUUAUGGAAGCCUGACAACUAUUAUGUCCGUGCAAUUUUUAUUGUAUCUUUUGUUAUGUCAUGAUAUCGAAGCUUGGUUUUCUGACUCCAACUACUAAGAACUGCAGUUGCAGCAUCUUUUGAAUAUUACAUAUGUGCUUGUAGUGUCUCCACGGAUUAAAAUCUGCUAUUUAAGUUCUUCUACCGCCCCCGCUUCUUCUUUCAUUUAUACUUGCUGCACCAUUUACUUCACACUCUGUAAAGCCAUAUGAAAGCUUGUUCAUUUAUGUUCACUUGCAAUUCAAAAGCAGUGUUUAUUUCAACUGUCAAAUUGACUACUUGCACGUAUUGAUUUCAGUCGAAACAAGGUUAUUGGUCGAUCCAGAAAUUGAAUCCAUAUGGCCAUUCCAGCAUCAUUCAACCACCUAAUUUCAAAUAUAUAAAUUAAUUCAACCCACUUAAGUGAUCAAAGGCGUGGAACAAAUCAUGAAAGAUUUUUCAGCUAUCAUAAAUUCGAACGGAUGUAGUUUGUAUUCUUUCAGGCUUAGACAGAUUUUUUGCAACAUAAACUUGUAUGUAAUGUACAUUUUUUUGUUCCUUACAAAUUAAUUGCUGCUAAAAUAAUUGUUUCGACCAAUAUUUAUUGUUAUAAUAGAGAAACCUUUUCUUGCAACUCAAACAGUUCCGAUGGCAUGAUCUGCAUCCCCUGUUUGCCUCUUGGGCUGCACGAUCUUGCUCCUUUUCAUCAAACGGCAACUUCGCUGCAGACAAAAAGAGGGGGUACAGUGCGCAGGGGCACCGUAGAUGUAGCCCAAAAAGAUGAUUUUGUCCCUCCAUGUCUAAGUAUUUUAACCAAAAAAUAAUAAUAAUUCCUUACAUCAUCAAUGAUUGCACUUGUAAAUCUAAGGGAUUAGAAUUCUGUAUUGAAUUUAUAUUUUAUUAAAUAAAAAAUUAAUGUUAAUUUUUUUUUUUUUUUAUCUAGCUAUCAUUGACUUUAUAUUUUGGAUCUUCAUCCAGAAUUAAGGCACAAAAUUUUUGUUCUAAAUAAAUAUUCUCAAUAUAAAUUUAUCACUUAAAUAAUAAUGAUAAGAUUUAAUAUUAAUUCUAUCAUUACUGAAAUGGAUUACAAAUUUUAUAUGACUUGUAAACGUAUCAUUAUGUUCUUGAUAUUUGAAACAUGAAUCAAGCAACAUAUGUAGCAUAUUUUUAUUUCAGUGUCGUGCUUCUCUAAAAAUUGUUGAAAGCAGAAGCCAAGCUGGCAUGCCUCCUGAGCUGGUGUGGUAGGUGAGUUGGAUUUGUUGAGCUGGCAAAUGAAAUUAUUUAUGAUGAUGCUGUGAAUUUAAUUGUCGUAUAAUGUUUGUGUAGAAUUAAGAAUGGAAGACAAUGUCGAUGAUGACAAGAAGAAUAGCAGCGCAUGUGAAUUGAAUAGUUGCAUCUUCUAGAAGCUUAAUGUGAUUGGUUCACAAUUGAAUUGAAUAGUUGCAUCUGCUAAUGAAGAAUAGCAGCGCAUGUGAAUUGAAUAGUUGCAUCUUCUAGAAGUUUGUCUCUGUAUGCAAACUAGCAAAGCUCUGUAUUUCAUUUUCAUUCAAGUCAUCAUAAUCAAUAAAGGCCUGAUUCUCAUACUCUGUUUGCAUUUGAAAGCAAUUCUUAAGAAUUUAAGUAAAAUGACCCUCACCAAAUUAGCUUAAUUCUUUUCAUUGUACCCAUUGCUUCACUUCCUCUUUUCGUCAACGACAAUGGGUAACUUAAUCUCAACCUUCUUACCAGCAGACUUAUUCGAUCGAACUUCAAACUGCGUUGGUGAACAAGCAAAAUAUGUAUGGGGUCUCGAAAAAAAUCUUCGGGUCUUGGAGACUGAAUUGCACAAAUUGACUCGAGCAAGGGACGAUCUGAAGACCAAGGUUGAGGUCGAAGAACAACGACCUCGAACCAGACGAACGAACCAGGUCGCAGGGUGGCUUGAAGAUGUGCAAAAACUGGAAACUGAAUUUACCGAGCUGGAACGAGUUAGAGCUCAAGAAAUGGAUAGAUUGUGCCUUGGAGGCCUCUGUUCCAAAAACUUCGUUUCAAGCUACAAUUACGGGACUCAGGUGGUCGAGUUGACGGAUCGAGUGAUCAAUUUAAAGAAAGACGGAGAAACAAUUGAAGUCGUUGUUGAGAAGGCGCCGGAUGGUGCAGCAAUUGAAUUACCUGUUGAUCACACGGUUGUUGGUCAAGAACGAUUACUUGAUCAAGUUUGGAGAUGUAUCACUGAUGAGGAAAAGAACAGGGGAAUUAUCGGCUUGUAUGGUAUAGGGGGAGUCGGCAAAACUACCCUUUUAAAACAAGUCAACAACAACUUCUGCCAUCAACGGCAUAUUUUUGAUGUUGUUAUCUGGGCGGCUGUGUCAACACUUCAAGAUGACAUUGGAAAAAGGAUUGGCUUUUCAGAAGCCAAGUACUGGAAGGAAAAAAGUCUUCAAGCUAAGGCUGUGGACAUCGCUGGCAUUUUAUGCCGAAAGAAGUUUGUGUUGUUAUUGGAUGAUAUAGGGGAACGGAUUGAUUUAACACAAUUGGGUGUCCCUCUUCAAAAACUAAAAGAUGGGUCCAAAGUAGUCUUGACAACUCGUUCAGCUGGUGUUUGCGAUCAAAUGGACGCUGAAAAGGUGGAAGUGUAUAGUUUGGCGCAUGAUAAAGCCUGGGAAUUAUUUCAGGAGAUGGUCGAAAGAUCCACUCUUGACAGUCAUACCAGUAUUCCAGAGCUAGCCGAAGCCUUGGCAAGAGAGUGUGGUGGGUUGCCGCUAGCGCUUAAAACAGUGGGUCGAGCCAUGAAAAGCCAAAGGAGAGUUGGAGAUUGGAAACGUGCAAUUAACAAAAUGAGAACAUCAGCUUCUAAAUUCUCAGGUAUGAAAGAAGAGGUGUUUUCGCGUUUAAAGUUCAGCUAUGAUAGUUUGUCUACGGAUGAACUUCGUUCCUGUCUCCUGUAUUGUUGUUUAUACCCUGAAGACUACAAAAUUCCUAAAAGGGAAUUGAUUGAUUAUUGGAUUAGUGAAGAAUUUGUGUGUGAUUUUGAUGGUGGAUGCGAUUUUAUUGAUGACCUUCUUCAUGCAUGCUUAUUGGAGGAAGAAGGCGAUGAUCAUGUAAAGAUGCACGAUAUGAUUCGUGAGAUGUCAUUAUGGAUAGCGUGCACGGUAGACAAGGAGGAGCAGAACUUUCUGGUUCGCGCUGGAGUUGAAUUGACCGAAGCACCAAAGUUUGAAGAAUGGCAAGGUGCCAAACGGGUAUCUCUGAUGGGAAAUGGAAUUAGGAGCUCAUCGGAAAUUCCCACGUGUCCGCGCCUCGUAACUUUACUUCUUUCAAUCGAUGUCUUCUCUUAGAGUAUUAAGUCUAAGAGGAAAUUUUCCCCUAAGAACACUACCUUCAGGGAUUUCAGGUUUGGUUUCAUUACAUCAUCUUGAUCUAUCAUCGACUAACAUAACUGGGUUGCCGCAAGAGCUGAAGGCGUUGGAGAAGUUGAGAUAUUUGAACUUGGACUAUACACGGUUUUUGUCUAUAAUUCCACAUCAAUUGAUAUCUGGUUUUUCAAAGUUGGAGGUACUCAGGUUGCUUUCACGCGGUCGCUGGAGCGUAAUAGAAGGUAACGUUCUAUGUGAUGAUGCUGAACCUUUGAUGAAGGAAUUGCUGGGUUUGAAGCAUUUAAAUGUUUUAAGCUGGACCUUCCGAAGUUCACUUGCUGUCCAAAAGUUUUUGAAAUAUCCAAAGCUGGUGAGCAUCACUCAAUCUGUAAUGGUUUGCCAAUGUGAAAGUCCACCGUUCAAUGUCUUACAUCUAGCAUACAUGGAGAAUCUUCAGGAGUUACGCAUUUCAGACAGUAAUUUGGAAGAGAUGAAGACUGACAGCACAGAAGAGGUAAAGAAACUUUUUCAAAGUGGUUUCCGCAGUCUCGACAGAGUUGUCAUAUGGAGUUGCCAAAAAAUGAAAGACUUAACGUGGCUAGUUUUUGUUCAAAUUCUCAAGCAGCUGCGUAUAGUCUUUUGUACAGAAAUGGAAGAAAUAAUUAGUGUUGAUAAAUUGAGAGAUAUUUCGAAGAUAAUCGGGUCAGAGCAUAACUUUUUUGCACAACUCGAAUCUCUAACCAUAAAGUGGGGAAGAAAUUUAAAGAGCGUUUACCCGAAUCCCCUGCCCUUUCCAAAGCUGAAGAAAAUUGAAGUACGUGAAUGCCCACAGCUGAAGAAGCUCCCACUCAAUUCCAGCAGCGCGAAGGAACGUCGAGUUGUCAUCGAGGGGUCGAAAAAAUGGUGGGAAGAGCUACAAUGGGAGGACCAAGCCACCCAAAAUGCUUUCUCUUCCGGUGUCGUACUUGGGGAUGAUUUUCAUUAAUAUGUUUGAAUAUGUAUUUCUUUUCUUUUUCUUUUUUUUUUUAAUUUUCAUUAGAUUUAAUUGCAUCUUGUUGUUGUUGUCUGGUGUGUCAAUCGUUAUCUAUUUUCAGUUAAUAAAAUUUCAGCAGUGGAUUCUUGGUUUUAGAAUCCUCCCACUGGAAAGAAUUUCUCCUUUGGCUUGAAUGCGACCUUUUUACUCGUCGACAAAAUUGUAUUUGUCGCUUAAGUCUUGUUUGUUUUAAAAUGCUGGCAUAUUUAUAGAGUGGGAACUCAGAUGCUGAACUCAUAGUAAAUAUUUAUUUAAUUUGUUAUAAUUAUAUUUGGUGAGAUAUUUAUUCAAUAAUUGCCCUAUCACUUUGUGCAUGAUCACAGAAUUUUGUACUUCCGUCUGUGAAAUAACUUUUGGAAAAGGAAAUUAAUUUUUUUAAGUAACGGUAAAUAUUUUAAAUUUUUAUUUUAAAUUUUAUUUUAAAUAAUAUAGUAUGUAAUGUGUCAUUUAUUUAGUGAUUGAUAAUUUAAUAUAGGAUUUAAAUAAAUUAAUUAUGCUAUUUUAUUAUUUAAUUAAUAAAUAUUAUAUAAUUUAAAAUAGAUUUUUGAGAUAAAAAUUAUAAAAGUAAAAUUCUACUCAACAGACUAAAUUUAAAAUGAUGUGAUUGGCAGGUAAGACUUAAGAAUUAGACAAAAUUUCUCAUUCAACAGCUUGUAGAAAAUUUAUACACUAGGCCUUAGCUAAACUUGGACUUGUCGUAUGUUUGAAGUAUUCGACGAUAAUCAUAUCUGCAUUUUUAUUUUAUUUUUUAUUUUUGGUUUGUUUAGGGCUUUUCAUCGGUUUUCGUCUUGGUCUUUGUCCUGGUCUUGGCGUCUUGCUAUCAAAUCAAGUGUUCUCUUCUCCUAUCCUCUAAUGAAAGUGCAGGGCCUCAACUAUUUGUUACUGCUAUCACUUUAGAGGUUGAUGCUAAUGUCCGAAGGUCACGUUUAAUUUGCUUGAAUGUGACCUUUACUUUGGUUGACAAAAUUGUGAUUGUCACAAAGAACAAACUAUAAAAGUGCAGUUUAAAUCGAACACUGAAUUCCCUAUGGAAAUUUUCGCACCCGUAUAUAUAUUCUACAUUAUUUGGUUGCAAAGACUAUAAUUAACAAGAAGCUAAUAUAUAUAGUAGAGAGAGAAAUAACAAGUUCAAUGUUGGUAAAAUUUUAUCUUCCCUUCACUGCUCUCCUUUGCUGCAAUCAAGUGGCCUCACUUACAAAUUUUGACUUUUAAUUAUUUCAAUUAACACAAGAAAAAAAGGGCAAUAUAGUUUACAUUACUCUAUCAGCCUUAUAUAAAGGGUAUAAAUAUGAGAGUGCGUUUGGAAUUGAAGUCGGACACUUGUCGCUUAAAAGCUACAGUAGCAAAGUGUUUGGUAAAUACUAAUUGUUGUGUCUUGAAAGAUAUGUUGAUAUGAUUUUUCACUUGUAUAAUAGAGAAUUUAUUAUUUUAUUAUUAAUAAUUUCGUUAAAAUUAUUAUUUAAAAUUUAUAUUUAUUAAAUAUUAUUAACUUUUGUUUUAUAGUUACAAUUUUUUUUUUUUACAGCAACUGUACCUUAAAAGUUAUAACACUUCAAUUCCAAACGUACCUUAAGUCUGUAAGGCAUAAGUUUUCACUCUUCGGGAAUCUAAGGAGAUUAGGGCAAGAGCUGCACAUUUGUAGUCUCAAAUUCAUUUGACAUCAGCCAAUUUAAUGUCUAUGGACGGGUAUAAAGGACGUCACAGACGGUUAAAGAACAAGGUGUUUGAUGGAAAUGUCAAGAAGUUCGAUGAAAUGUCUCACCUACACAACCAAGCCACUUAACAUUGCAGUCUUAUAAUACAAUUCCUACCUUCUCUUCCAUUUUCACCAACAUAAUUCUUUCUUUCUCACUUUAUUUUCUUCCUUGAAAUUUUUGUUAACAAAAAUGGGUAACAUCAUUCUCAUGCGUGCUUCUUAUCACCAGACUCAAUUCUUGCAGUUUUAUUUUAUUUUAUUUUUCCUUCGUGGAGAUGCUAAAAUAUAUAUGAGAUCUAAAAAGCUAAUCUUGAUGAGUUGCAGAAUCCAAUGCAGAAUUUGAAAGUUACAAAAGAUUAUAAAUACUAUUUUAACUUGUAAGCUUCCAUUGCUAUACAGUGAGGUAUGUCUAGAUAUCAUUUUGGUCUUUUAUAUAUUGGGUUCCAGUGAAAGACUUUUGUUCUAGUUGAAUUUAAUUUUGUCUUUGUAUUUACAGACAAAAUAUUAGGGACAUUUAUCAUACAUAUUUGGCUAGUUCGCCGUGGAAAAAUAAUAAUAGUUGAAAAGACAUAGGGUACUUUUUAUUUUCCUUUAUAUUACUAAUAGAUUUCCCACGCGCAACAGACGAAGUCAUUGCUGCUUCAAUAAUUGCCCUAUCACUGUGUUCAUCAUCACAAAUUUCUUUAUUACGUUUGUGAAAUAACCAUUGCAUAAAAAAAUUACUCCAACUUUUUAACUAAUAAUAGAUAUCUCAAAUUUUAUUUUCAGAAUAUGGUAUGUAAUGUAAGCGAUCGAUAGUUCUUUAUAAAAUAUAUAAAUAAAUUAAUAGUGUUAUCUUAGUGUCUAAUAUAUAUAAAUGACUUUCUCCAUAUAUUGCACUAUUGAUAUGGGCUAAAGUUUUAUACUAUGAGACCCAAUUUCUAUAAUUUACACUAUAAGUUAAAAGUAUUUAGAAAAAUACUAUUGCAAAUCAAAAGGUAUUAUCUAUUUUAUACCUAAAGCAUUUUCACUAUUUAAGACUAGUAAAAUUUCUAUAUUAUUAUAAUAUUAGAAUCAAACACCAAUAAGCGAGUAAAUCAGGUGGAAUAAGAAUGUUCUAACUUAACCAAGGUCCUCGGUUUGAAACUUAGAAAUGCAACUACAUUAAAUACUUAUUGGGAGAGAUUUGCCGCUUUAGUGGUUCUAUCCGGCUCGAAUCUAGAUUAGUCGGGGAUCUAAUGUGGUCUUUGGAUACUAGAUGAUUUAAUAUACCGAUAAUAUUGGAACCAAACUCAUUUACAAUUAUGAAGAGGUUAUAAUUUAAUAGAGGCAUAGUAACAAACUAUUAAUAGAGAGUAUAAAAUUUAAUGUAUAAACAAAAUUCUAUAAUUUACACUAUAAGUUGCAAGUAUUUAGGUCAAUACUAUUGCAAAUCAGAAGAUAUUAUAUAUUUUAUGCCGAAAAUAUUUCCACUAUUUAAGGCUAGUAAAACUUCUAUAUAAUUAUAAUAUUGGAACCAAACACCAACAAGCGAGUAAAUCAACUAGAAUGGAAAUGUUCUAACGUCAAGGUCCUCGGUUCAAAACUUAGAAAUGCAACUACAUUAAAUAUUUAUUGGGAGAGAUUUGCCGCUCUAGUAGUUCUAUCCGGGUCGAAUCUGGAUUAGUCGGGAAUCUAAUGUGGUCUUUGGAUACUAGAUGAUUUAAUGUACCAAUAAUAUUGGAACCAAACUAAUUUACAAUUAUGAGGAGGUUAUAAUUUAAUAGAGGCGUAGUAACAAACUAUUAAUAGAGCGUAUCAAAUUUAAUAUUGGAAUCCGAUGAUUGGUUGCAACAUAAGAUAUUUGUAAGCUUAGUUAAAGGUUCAUUAAAAAUUAUAGAGAUAUAUAAUUUCGCAGUCGACGAAGCCAUGCAUGAGGUUAAGGCAAGUGAUGGAAUGACUUGCGUUACAAAAGAGGUAUGUGAAGUUGCACUAUAAAAAUAAAAUAAAUUUGUAUUUUCAAGUAGUGAAGGUGUAGUUAGUUUAUUUGCGGUAGCAGUUUCACAGCUGACAGAUGAACAAAGAGUGGCUGCUUGUCAAAUGGGCUUUGGUAGUUUGCUACAAUUGAACCGUGGCAAGCUAAAAAGGAAACUUUGUGGCUAGUUAAUUGAGAUGAUUGAUACUUUGAGGUACAUUUUAGAGUUGAAUGGUAUUAGCUUUCAAACAAGAUCAUCAAAGAAACUCUACCAACUAGGAAAUUUAAACUUAAUCUAUGCUCCGCAAAUUCGAAUAUUCUCUAAUAUGAAACUACUUUUAUGUGUUUUAUUAUUCCUAGCUUUUACCGACUUGGUAACGUUGUUAUGGAAGCACGACAACUAUUAUGUCCGUGUAAUUUUUAUUGUAUCUUUUGUUAUGUCAUGAUAUCGAAGCUUAGUUUUAUGACUCUAACUACUAAGAACUGCAAUUGCAGCAUCUUUUGAAUAUUACAUAUGUGCUUGUAGUAUCUCGACGGAUUAAAACCUGCUAUUUAAGUUCUUCUACCCCUCCCCCCCUUCAUUCUUUCAUUUAUACUUGCUGCACUAUUUACUUCGCACUCUGUAAAGCCAGAUGAAAGCUUGUUCAUUUAUGUUCACUUGCAAUUCAAAAGCACAGUUUAUUUCAACUGUCAAAUUGACAACUUGCACGUAUAGAUUUCAGUCGAAACAAGGUUAUUGGUCGAUCAAGAAAUUGAAUCCAUAUGGCCGUUCCAGCGUUAUUCAACUACCUAAUAUCAAAUAUAUAAAUUAAUUCAACCCACUUCUGUGUCAAAGGCAUGGAACAAAUUAUGAAAGAUUUUUCAGCUAUCAUAAAUUCGAACGAGUGUAGUUUGUAUCCUUUCGAACUUAGACAGAUUUUCCUUCCAUUAACCUUACAGUGUUAGUAAUCCUAUUACUUGUUUUUAAAGCUUGAAUAGUAUACCGAAAUUUUUGGUUUUUGCAACAUAAACUUGUAUGUAAUGUACAUUUUAUAGUUCUUUACAAAUUAAUUGCUGCUAAAAUAAUUGUUUCGACUACUAUAUUUAUUGUUAUAAUAGAUAAACAUUUUCUUGCAACUCAAACAGUUCCAAUGGCAUGAUCUGCAUCCCCCGUUUGCCUCUUGGGCUACGAACCUGCUUAACAGCUGCACCAUCUUGCUCCUUUUCAUCAAACGGCAACUUCGCUGCAGACAAAAAGAGGGGGUACACUGCCCAGGGGCACCAUAAACGCAGCCCAAAAAGAUGAUUUUGUCUUUCCAUGUCUUAGUAUUUUAACCAAAAAUAAUAAUAAUAAUUCUUUACAUCAUCAAUGAUUGCACUUGUAAGCCAGGCAAUAGUUUUUUUAUUAAAUAAAAAAUUAAUGUUAAAUUUUUUUUUUUUUUUUUUUUUUUUUAUCUAGCUAUCAUUGACUUAAUAUUUUGAAUCUUCAUCCAAAGUUAAGGCACAAAACUUUUAUUCUAAAUAAAUAUUCUCAAUAUAAAUUUAUCACUUAAAUAAUAAAUAAUAAGAUUUAACAUUAAUUCUGUCGUUACUGAAAUGAAUUGUAAAUUUUAUAUGACGUGUAAACGUAUCAUUAUGUUCUUGAUAUUUGACAUAUGAAUUAUAAAGCAACAAAUGUAUCAUAUUUUAUUUCGGUAUUGUGCUUCUCCAUAUUUGCUUAAUUCUUUUCGUUGUACUCAUUGCUUCUCUUCCUCUUUUCGUCAACGACAAUGGGUAACCUAAUCUCAACCUUCUUACCAGCAGACUUAUUUGAUCGAAUUUCAAACUGCGUUGGUGAACAAGCAAAAUAUGUAUGGGGUCUCGAAAAAAAUCUUCGGAUCUUGGAGACUGAAUUGCACAAAUUGACUCGAGCAAGGGCCGAUCUGAAGACCAGGGUUGAGGUCGAACAACAACGACCUCGAACCAGACGAACGAACCAGGUCGCAGGGUGGCUUGAAGAUGUGCAAAAUCUGGAAACUGAAUUUGCCGAGCUGGAACGAGUCAGAGCUCAAGAAAUGGAUAGAUUGUGCCUUGGAGGCCUCUGUUCCAAAAACUUCGUUUUAAGCUACAAUUACGGGACUAAGGUGGUCGAGUUGACGGAUCGAGUGAUCAAUUUAAAGAAAGACGGAGAAAAAAUUGAAGUCGUUGUUGAGAAGGCGCCGGAUGGUGCAGCAAUUGAAUUACCUCUUGAUCACACAGUUGUUGGUCAAGAACUAUUACUUGGUCAAGUUUGGAGAUGUAUCACUGAUCAGGAAAAGAACAGGGGAAUUAUCGGCUUGUAUGGUAUAGGGGGAGUCGGCAAAACUACCCUUUUAAAACAAGUCAACAACAACUUCUGCCAUCAACAGCAUAAUUUUGAUGUUGUUAUCUGGGCGGCUGUGUCAACACUUCAAGAUGACAUUGGAAAAAGGAUUGGCUUUUCAGAAGACAGAAACUGGAAGGAAAAAAGUCUUCAAGACAAGGCUGUGGACAUCGCUAGCAUUCUAAGCGGAAAGAAGUUUGUGUUGUUAUUAGAUGAUAUAUGGGAGCCCAUUGAUUUAACACAGCUGGGUGUCCCUCUUCAAAAUCUAAAUGAUGGGUCCAAAAUAGUCUUGACAACUCGUUCAGCUGGGGUUUGCGAUCAAAUGGACGCUGAAAAGGUGGAAGUGUCUAGUUUGGCACAUGAUGAAGCCUGGAAAUUAUUUCAGGAGAUGAUCGAAAGAUCCACUCUUGACAGUCAUACCAGUAUUCCAGGGCUAGCCGAAACCCUGGCAAGAGAGUGUGGUGGGUUGCCGCUAGCGCUUAAAACAGUGGGUCGAGCCAUGAAAAGCCAAAGGAAAGUUGGAGAUUGGAAACGUGCAAUUCACAAAAUGACAACAUCAGCUUCUAAAUUCUCAGGUAUGAAAGAAGAGGUGUUUUCGCGUUUAAAGUUCAGCUAUGAUAGUUUGUCUACGGAUGAACUUCGUUCCUGUCUCCUGUAUUGCUGUUUGUAUCCUGAAGACUACGAAAUUCCUAAAAGGCAAUUGAUUGAUUAUUGGAUUAGUGAAGGAUUUGCGUGUGAUUUUGAUGAUGGAUGCGAUUUUAUUGAUGACCUUCUUCAUGCAUGCUUAUUGGAGGAAGAAGGCGAUGAUCAUGUAAAGACGCACGAUAUGAUUCGUGAGAUGUCAUUAUGGAUAGCGUGCACGGUAGACAAGGAGGAGCAGAACUUUCUGGUUCGCGCUGGAGUUGAAUUGACCGAAGCACCAAAGGUUGAAGAAUGGGAAGGUGCCAAACGGGUAUCUCUGAUGGAAAAUAAAAUUGAAAGCCUAUCGGAAAUUCCCACGUGUCCGCGUCUCGUAACUUUACUGCUGGAUGAAAAUCGGAUUGAGGAGAUCACUGAUGGCUUCUUUCAAUCUAUGUCGUCUCUUAGAGUAUUAAGUCUAAGAGGAAAUUUUCCCCUAAGUACACUACCUUCGGGGAUUUCAGGUUUGGUUUCAUUGCAUCAUCUUGAUCUAUCAUCGACUCACAUAACUGGGUUGCCGCAAGAGCUGAAGGCGUUGGAGAAGUUGAGAUAUUUGAACUUGGACUAUACAGAGUACUUGUCCAUAAUUCCACAUCAAUUGAUAUCUGGCUUUUCAAAGUUGGAGGAACUCAGGUUGUUUGCGUCCGGUCGCUGGGGCGUAAUAGAGGAAGAAGAAGGUAACGUUCUAUGUGAUGAUGCUGAACCUUUGAUGAAGGAAUUGCUGGGUUUGAAGCAUUUAAAUGUUUUAAGCUGGUCCUUCCGAAGUUCACUUGCUGUCCAAAAGUUUUUGAAAUAUCCAAAGCUGGUUAGCAUCACUCAAUCUGUAUGGGUUGAAUGUGGCAUGUAUACAAGGCCACCGUUCAAUGUCUUACAUCUAGCAUAUAUGGAGAAUCUUCAGGAGUUGCGUCUUUCUCAGAGUGAUUUGGAGGAGAUGAAGAUUGACAGCACAGAAGAGGUGAAGAAGCUUUUUCAAAGUGGUUUCCGCAGUCUCGACACAGUUGAUCUAUUUUAUUGCCAAAAAGCGAAGGACUUAACGUGGCUUGUUUUUGUUCAAAACCUCAAGGAGCUGCGUAUAGUGUAUUGUGAAUACGUGGAAGAAAUUAUCGGGGCUGAUAAAUUGAGAGAUAUUUCAGAGAUAGUGGGGUCAGAGCAUAACGUUUUCGCAGAACUCGAAUUUCUAUCCUUAUGGGGGGGAAUAAAUUUAAAGAGCGUUUACCCGAAUCCCCUGCCCUUUCCAAAGUUGAAGAAAAUUCAAGUACUUCAUUGCCGACAGCUGAAGAAGCUCCCACUCAAUUCCAGCAGCGCGAAGUUACGUCGAGCUGUCAUCGAGGGAACGAAAAAGUGGUGGGAAGAGCUACAAUGGGAGGAUCAAGCCACCCAAAAUGCUUUCUCUUCCGGUGCCGUACUUACUGAGUUUCCUUUUUAUUAAUAUGUUUUAAUAUGUAUUUCUUUUUCUUUUCUUUUUUUAAUUUUCAUUAGAUUUAAUUGCAUCUUGUUCUUGUUGUCUGGUGUGUCAAUCGUUCCCUACUUUCAGUUAAUAAAAUUUCAGCAGUGGAUUCUUGGUUUAUUAAUGUUUAUAUAACUGAAUUGUUCAGCAGAUGUACUCUGCACGACUAACACAGAAAUAAACACAGAAAUAAAUAUAUGUAAGGGGUUACAGGACUGACUCUGCUUCUGGCUUCUAAGGAGAAAGAGGGGAAAAUAAACAUUUUAUCUUCCCUUAACUGCUCUCCUUUGGUUUGAAUGUGAACUUAACACUCUUUUAUUAUUAAAAUUUAAUUAUUUGGUUGUAUAAUAUAUUUCUCCAAUAAACGAAGAAUGAUAAAGGAGCAACUAAAAAAACCCAUCAAAAUAUUUCACCAAUGAAAAGAUUCAUGAGAAAUAAACAUUAUAAUCCGAACAAAUAAAUCAAUUAGUCAAUAUAUCAUUUAGCCGAAUUAAAGACGCUGCUUGCGCUUCGUAGUUCUGAGCUUAGAAUCAAGUAGAGAACUGAAUAUGAAAUUUUUAAUUGCUGAGAAUAUGAAUUUGAGGUUGAUGGACGACUUGAAAGAGAGGGACAAGAAAGAAUGAUACAGAGCAGGUGGCUGGCAAAAGGGACCUUAUGACGAUCUUCUUCAGUACAGCUAUGAUGCCGCUUCCACCUUCAAUUGAAUGUCAGAAAAUUCAAAGUUUGUCAAAAGAGGAUGGUAAAUUAAGCUGUUUUUUUUUUUUCUUUUUUGCAAAAUUUACCAAGUGAAUUAAUCCAUUAUUUUAUCUAUCAAUCAGUACACAAUCUACAUUACCCCACGCUAACAAAACACUGACUAUAAAUCUAUGACUAUACAAUGCGCACUUUGGUUACUGCCCCAGCCCUCUUACCCAAAAGAACCACAAAAGCAACGAAAAACUAAAUUGAUUACAUAAUCAAAUCAAGUUCUUCUUAGCUACUGUGAUCGAUUUGUCCAGCACCAUCAGUUAAUUUCUCUAGUUUUCAGCAAAAAUGGUCGAGUUCUUGAGUCUUCUUUGCACGUUUCAUCUCAUUUAUUCUGUCGAUAAAGCUUAUACACAUCAUCCGCAACGACAACAAAUUAAAUUAAUAUGUGUCGAGUUUUGGAGCCAGAGCCAGCGGUGCAAGCGCAAGAGAAAGGGACUUCACACAAGAAUUUGCCAGACCAUGGGCUACAGAAAGGUGCCUCACUUCACGGACGCGGAAUUUGGUUGGCUCCUGGGCCAUUAAGGGUGAAUGCAUCUUUCUUUUUAUGUGAAUUUAAUUAUUGAACCCGGUAUCUUGAAUAAAUAUAAAUUUGACUGUAGCACCAAGUAUCAAUGAUUGCAAAAUGUAAAUUUGACAUAUUGUGUGGUUAAAUCAUCUUGUACUAAUCGUUUAUGUUAAUUUAUGGAGGCCUUAAUGUCCAAGGCAUACGUAAAGGGGUACAGGACUGACUCUGCUUCUGGCUUCUAAGGAGAAUGAGGGGAAAAUUUUAUAAACAUUUGUGGAGUGGCCGUAUAAAGGACGUGUGGUUCUCAAUCCAUUUCACAUUUGGCAUUGUAAUGUUUAUGGACUCAUAUAAAUGAUGUCACACAAAUAGUUAAACGAAGAAGGUGUUUGAUGAAAACGAAAGGGCCUUUUUCUUUUUUUAAAUCCCGCUAAAGGUUAUAAUUAACAACAAAUUAAUAAUAGAAGAGAGAGAAAUACCAAGUUCAAUACGGUAAUAUUUUAUCUUCCUUUUAACUGCUCUCCUUUGGCUUAUAAUGCGACCUUUACACUCGUGGACAAAAUUGUAUUUGUCGCUUAAGUCUUGCUUGUUUUAAAAUGCUGGCAUAUUUAUGGAGUGGGAACCCAGAUGCUGAACUCAUAGUAAAUAUUUAUUUAAUUUGUUAGAAUUAUUUUUGGUGGGAUAAUUUUAAAUAUUAAUUUAACAAGAUAGUGAUGUUUGCCUUGCCCUACAUGGAAAAAAUAAUAAUAAUUAAAGUUUUUUCUGUUCCUUUAUAUUAGUAAUAGAUUUCAGAUGGGAAACAGAAAAUUUAUUUCUGUUUCAAUAAUUACCAUAUCACUGUGUGCGUGCGUGAUCACAUAAUUUUGUACUACCGUCUGUGGAAUAACUUUAGGAAAAGAAAAUUAAUUUUUUUUAAGUAACAAUAAAUAUUUUAAAUUGUUUUCUUCUCUUAUCAAUUGUUUUUUUCUCCUAUCUUCCAAUGAAAGUGCAGGACCUCAAUUAUUUUAAUAGAGAUGUAGUAAUAAAUUAUUAGGGGAUCCAUAAAAUAAAUAUACAUGGUUUCAAAAAAGUUAGCACAUGCUUGUUACAAAUAUAAAAAAUUAUCUUAAAAGUCUCGGAACUUUUGUGUUCUCUUUAAUAUUUUUUUCUUAUGUUGUUAUUGUACUAUAUGGAUACAAGGGUGCGUUUGGUACGUUGUAUUAUAUUAUGUUGUAUUGCAUUAUUUUAAUAUAGGUAUAUUACAUUAUGUUGUGUUGUAUUAGUAAUGUAUUAUAAUAAUGUUGUACAAUGUUUGGUACUAUACUGUAUUGUAUUAAUUUUUAAUUAAUAUUAUUCAAAUGUAUUCAUAUUUAAAUAUUUAUUAUUAGUUAUAUUAAAUUAUUUAAAAAUAACUAGUUUAAUUAUUUUAAUAUAAUUAAAUAAUAUUAUAAUAUAUUAUAUUAUUUAAGUAUUUAUUAUUAGUUAUAUUAACUUAUUAAAAAUUAAUCAAUUAUAUAUAUUAAUUAAUAUAAUUUUACAUAUUAAUUAAUAUAAUAUAAUUAAAUAAUACAUUUUUUAGUUGUACAUUUACUAUAAUAAAAAUUAAAAUAUAAUAUAAUAUUAAAUUAAAAAUUAUAUUCAUUUAUUAUUAUUACAAAGUAUAAAAAAAAAAAAAAAAGGAAGCUAAAGCUAAUGCGGUAACUGGACACAUUAGCUAAACCCGACUAUAACAUAUGUCGGGUUUAGCUAAUACAACCAUUUGGUACCUCAGACAUGGUGCUGCAUUGCUAAUGCAAUGUAAUCCCAGGUAAAGAGGGGUACCAGACAACCCCCAAGUUCACUUAAUGUAACAUAACAUACUUUUUUUUUCUAUAUAUAUAUAUACACUACGUGGAAGUGAGCUCCUUAAGGUGAGAUUUAGCAAAAUUAUAAAUUAUUACAGCAUGAAAUUUAUUUUUAUUUAUAAUUGGCCUAAUAUAAAUUAGGACCAGUACUUUUAUAGCUAUAUGAAAUUAUUUUUAUAUAAAAUAUCACUACAUAAAUGUUUUAUUACAAUAUUAAUCUCUUUUUUUUAUUGUAUUUAUCUCUUCAUAAUCUUUUCCUUUUUAUAAAAAAAAAAAAUCAACUAAAAGAUUCAUCAACAUCUCAUUCCAACAAUCUACUAGCGAAAAUGAGUGUCCAUGCUUUUGAACCAAGGCCCGAUAUGUGAGGGAGAGAUUGUUGGGUUGUCUUACAUCGGUUGUGAACUAGGAUGGUGGUGAUUUUACAAGUGUGAGGGAAAGUCUCACCCCUUAUCCAUCUUUUGGGUUGGGAUUGAAUGAGACCCAAAACCGCUUAACAUGAAUUCUAUCACUGGGAUUUUUACCCAGUAUAACAAACAUAACAACACAAUGAAUUAUCAAUUUAUCACGUAAUGGCUCUAACUUUAGCGAUGAUCACCUUACAUGAACAUGAAAAUUAAUCCCAUUGUUUAACUCAACAAUGACGAUAAUCACUUAAACUCUUAUGCACCAAAGGAUAUACUCGCUACAGGGAAUCUUAACUCAUAAAGAUUAAUUUUAGUGGGGGGCAAAAGAGCACGAGUGAUCCAAACCACUAAACAACAUCAUAACCAACACAAAAUUUAUACUAAACAAACCAUUACCAAAACAGCAAAGCUAGACAUAAAUUUGAACAGAUACACAAGCUACAUUCAUUACCAUAAUGUAUCGACUAAAUUUCCAAGCUCUACAUUUUGAACAAAGAAUUUAUAAAAUUACAUAAUCUAAUAAAUUAAUAUAGAAAUAAAAUUGGCAUCAGAUCAAAUUACUAUUAAUGUACCUUGCAUAAACCAUUCUCUUCUAUCGGCAUUCACCUCCGCGCUCGAUUGGCUCUCCUGUGCUGCUUGUCUAAUUGAUUCAAAUCCACAUAGACAAAUUUAAGCAUAUUAAGUUUUCAAACUCAAAUCAACAGCUUUAAAAGUUACUUCACAAACAAUGAAUUUCAUUUUCGAAAUACAAAGAAUCCGUUCAGUUUAAAACAAUAAAAAAUCGUCUACGACUACUCAACUCAUGUAUGAUAACUAAAAAACGAAGGAUACCCACAAAAAUUAAAGAUAAAUUACCAAAAACCCAAAAAACUCAAGCCAAAAUUGCCAAAAAAAAAGCGAGAGAAUGGAAAUUGGCGUACCAGGGGCAGGAGAGAGGAAACGAGAAGAGGAAGAAAGAAGGGUUUUGGAGAGAGUGGGAAUUAGUGGAGGCAAAAAUGGAGAGUUUUGAGAGUGAGAUGAUUGGUGGGGUGGUGAUGGCGGUGGUGGGGUUAAUGUUCUGGAGGGUAUGCUGAAGAGAGGUCGCAAGAGAACCUCCAUAGCCUUUAAAGAGAGUUGAGUUGCUGCUUUCUUUUGCCGUGGAUGGAGAGAGAUUAAGGGAUUAGAAUUCUGUAUUGAAUUAAUUUUUUAUUAAAUAAAAAAUUAUUGUUAAAAUUUAUUUUAUUUUAAUUUUUUAUCUAGCUAUCAUUGACUUAAUAUUUUGAAUCUUUAUCCAAAGUUAAGGCACAAAAUUUUUAUUCUAAAUAAAUAUUCUCAAUAUAAAUAUAUCACUUAAAUAAUAAUGAUAAGAUUUAAUAUUAAUUCUGUCAUUACUGAAAGAAUUACAAAUUUUAUAUGACGUGCAAACGUAUCAUUAUAUUCUUGAUAUUUGAAACAUGAAUAAAGCAACAAAUGUAUCAUAUUUUUAUUUUGGUGUUGUGGUUCUCUAAAAAUUGUUGAAAGCAGCAGCUGUGAAGAGUCAACGGUUGACCUUGAUUCUGUGAGUUGGAUUUGUUGAGCUGGCAAAACUGUUAUGUUGAAGAAUAGCAGCGCAUGUGCAUUGAAUAGUUGCAUCUUCUAGAAGCUUAAUGUGAUUGGUUCACAAUUGCUAUAUUCACGGAUCAAUUUUGAUUACUUCCGUGUAAUACCCCUUAGGCUAGCUGUCAUUAUUUUUUGUCUCUGUAUGUAAACUAGCAAAGCUCUGUAUUUCAUUUUCAUUCAAGUCAUCAUUAUCAAUAAAGACCUGAUUCUCAUACUCUGUUUGCAUUUGACAGCAAUUCUUAAGAAUUUAAGUAAAAAUUAGCUUAAUUCUUUUCAUUGUACUCGUUGCUUCUCUUCCUCUUUUCGCCAACGACAAUGGGUAACCUAAUCUCAACCUUCUUACCAGCAGACUUAUUUGAUCGAACUUCAAACUGCGUUGGUGAACAAGCAAAUUAUGUAUGGGGUCUCGAAAAAAACCUUCGGGUCUUGGAGACUGAAUUGCACAAAUUGACUCGAGCAAGGGACGAUCUGAAGACCAAGGUUGAGGUCGAAGAACAGCGACGUCGAACCAGACGAACGAACCAGGUCGCAGGGUGGCUUGAAGAUGUGCAAAAACUGGAAACUGAAUUUACCGAGCUGGAACGAGUUAGAGCUCAUGAAAUCGAUAGAUUGUGCCUUGGAGGCCUCUGUUCCAAAAACUUCGUUUCAAGCUACAAUUACGGGACUCAGGUGGUCGAGUUGACGGAUCGAGUGAUCAAUUUAAAGAAAGACGGAGAAAAAAUUGAAGUCGUUGUUGAGAAGGCGCCAGAUGGUGCAGCAAUUGAAUUACCUCUUGAUCACACAGUUGUUGGUCAAGAACUAUUACUUGAUCAAGUUUGGAGAUGUAUCACUGAUCAGGAAAAUAAUAGGGAAAUUAUCGGCCUGUAUGGUAUCGGGGGAGCCGGCAAAACUACCCUUUUAAAACAAGUCAACAACAACUUCUGCCAUCAACAGCAUAAUUUUGAUGUUGUUAUCUGGGCGGCUGCGUCAACACUUCAAGAUGACAUUGGAAAAAGGAUUGGCUUUUCAGAAGACCAAAGCUGGGAGAAAAAAAGUCCUCAAGACAAGGCUGUGGACAUCGCUAGCAUUUUAAGCAGAAGGAAGUUUGUGUUGUUAUUGGAUGAUAUAUGGAAACCCAUUCAUUUAACAGAAUUGGGUGUCCCUCUUCAAAAACUAAAUGAUGGGUCCAAAGUAGUCUUGACAACUCGUUCAGCUGGUGUUUGCGAUCAAAUGGACGCUGAAAAGGUGGAAGUGUAUAGUUUGGCGCAUGAUAAAGCCUGGGAAUUAUUUCAGGAGAUGGUCGACAGAUCCACUCUUGACAGUCAUACCGGUAUUCCAGAGCUAGCCGAAACCUUGGCAAGAGAGUGUGGUGGGUUGCCGCUAGCGCUUAAAACAGUGGGUCGAGCCAUGAAAAGCCAAAGGAAAGUUGGAGAUUGGAAACGUGCAAUUCACAAAAUGAGAACAUCAGCUUCUAAAUUCUCAGGUAUGAAAGAAGAGGUGUUUUCGCGUUUAAAGUUCAGCUAUGAUAGUUUGUCUACGGAUGAACUUCGUUCCUGUCUCCUGUAUUGUUGUUUAUAUCCUGAAGACUACGAAAUUCCUAAAAGGGAAUUGAUUGAUUAUUGGAUUAGUGAAGGAUUUGUAUAUGAUUUUGAUGAUGGAUGUGAUUUUAUUGAUGACCUUCUUCAAGCAUGCUUAUUGGAGGAAGAAGGCGAUGAUCAUGUAAAGAUGCACGAUAUGAUUCGUGAGAUGUCAUUAUGGAUAGCGUGCACGGUAGACAAGGAGGAGGAGAACUUUCUGGUUCGCGCUGGAGUUGAAUUGACCGAAGCACCAAAGUUUGAAGAAUGGGAAGGUGCCAAACGGGUAUCUCUGAUGGGAAAUGGAAUUAGGAGCUUAUCGGAAAUUCCCACGUGUCCGCGCCUCUUAACUUUACUUCUGGGUGGAAAUCGGAUUGAGGAGAUUACUGAUGGCUUCUUUCAAUCGAUGUCUUCUCUUAGAGUAUUAAGUCUAAGAGGAAAUUUUCCCCUAAGAACACUACCUUCAGGGAUUUCAGGUUUGGUUUCAUUACAUCAUCUUGAUCUAUCAUCGACUAACAUAACUGGGUUGCCGCAAGAGCUGAAGGCGUUGGAGAAGUUGAGAUAUUUGAACUUGGACUAUACACGGUUUUUGUCUAUAAUUCCACAUCAAUUGAUAUCUGGUUUUUCAAAGUUGGAGGUACUCAGGUUGCUUUCACGCGGUCGCUGGAGCGUAAUAGAAGGUAACGUUCUAUGUGAUGAUGCUGAACCUUUGAUGAAGGAAUUGCUGGGUUUGAAGCAUUUAAAUGUUUUAAGCUGGACCUUCCGAAGUUCACUUGCUGUCCAAAAGUUUUUGAAAUAUCCAAAGCUGGUGAGCAUCACUCAAUCUGUAAUGGUUUGCCAAUGUGAAAGUCCACCGUUCAAUGUCUUACAUCUAGCAUACAUGGAGAAUCUUCAGGAGUUACGCAUUUCAGACAGUAAUUUGGAAGAGAUGAAGACUGACAGCACAGAAGAGGUAAAGAAACUUUUUCAAAGUGGUUUCCGCAGUCUCGACAGAGUUGUCAUAUGGAGUUGCCAAAAAAUGAAAGACUUAACGUGGCUAGUUUUUGUUCAAAUUCUCAAGCAGCUGCGUAUAGUCUUUUGUACAGAAAUGGAAGAAAUAAUUAGUGUUGAUAAAUUGAGAGAUAUUUCGAAGAUAAUCGGGUCAGAGCAUAACUUUUUUGCACAACUCGAAUCUCUAACCAUAAAGUGGGGAAGAAAUUUAAAGAGCGUUUACCCGAAUCCCCUGCCCUUUCCAAAGCUGAAGAAAAUUGAAGUACGUGAAUGCCCACAGCUGAAGAAGCUCCCACUCAAUUCCAGCAGCGCGAAGGAACGUCGAGUUGUCAUCGAGGGGUCGAAAAAAUGGUGGGAAGAGCUACAAUGGGAGGACCAAGCCACCCAAAAUGCUUUCUCUUCCGGUGUCGUACUUGGGGAUGAUUUUCAUUAAUAUGUUUGAAUAUGUAUUUCUUUUCUUUUUCUUUUUUUUUUUAAUUUUCAUUAGAUUUAAUUGCAUCUUGUUGUUGUUGUCUGGUGUGUCAAUCGUUAUCUAUUUUCAGUUAAUAAAAUUUCAGCAGUGGAUUCUUGGUUUUAGAAUCCUCCCACUGGAAAGAAUUUCUCCUUUGGCUUGAAUGCGACCUUUUUACUCGUCGACAAAAUUGUAUUUGUCGCUUAAGUCUUGUUUGUUUUAAAAUGCUGGCAUAUUUAUAGAGUGGGAACUCAGAUGCUGAACUCAUAGUAAAUAUUUAUUUAAUUUGUUAUAAUUAUAUUUGGUGAGAUAUUUAUUCAAUAAUUGCCCUAUCACUUUGUGCAUGAUCACAGAAUUUUGUACUUCCGUCUGUGAAAUAACUUUUGGAAAAGGAAAUUAAUUUUUUUAAGUAACGGUAAAUAUUUUAAAUUUUUAUUUUAAAUUUUAUUUUAAAUAAUAUAGUAUGUAAUGUGUCAUUUAUUUAGUGAUUGAUAAUUUAAUAUAGGAUUUAAAUAAAUUAAUUAUGCUAUUUUAUUAUUUAAUUAAUAAAUAUUAUAUAAUUUAAAAUAGAUUUUUGAGAUAAAAAUUAUAAAAGUAAAAUUCUACUCAACAGACUAAAUUUAAAAUGAUGUGAUUGGCAGGUAAGACUUAAGAAUUAGACAAAAUUUCUCAUUCAACAGCUUGUAGAAAAUUUAUACACUAGGCCUUAGCUAAACUUGGACUUGUCGUAUGUUUGAAGUAUUCGACGAUAAUCAUAUCUGCAUUUUGUGAAAUAAUUAAGAUUUUUUAUUUUUGGUUUGUUUAGGGCUUUUCAUCGGUCUUCGUCUUGGUCUUUGUCCUGGUCUUGGCGUCUUGCUAUCAAAUCAAGUGUUCUCUUCUCCCAUCCUCUAAUGAAAGUGCAGGGCCUCAAUUAUUUGUGCUGAGCUGUUUGUUACUGCUAUCACUUUAGAGGUUGAUGCUAAUGUCCAAAGGUCACAUUUAAUUUGCUUGAAUGCGACCUUUAUUUUGGUUGACAAAGAUUAUUUGGUUGCAAAGAUUAUAAUUAACAACAAGCUAAUAUCUAUAUAGUAGAGAGAGAAAUAACAAAUUCAAUGUUGGUAAAAUUUUAUCUUCCCUUCACUGCUCUCCUUUGCUGCAAUCAAGCUACAGUUGUAAAGUGUUUGAUAAACACUAAUUGUUGUGUCUUGAAAGAUAUGUUGAUAUAAUUUUUCACUUGUAUAAUAGAGAAUCUAUUAUGUUAUUAUUAAUAAUUUCGUCAAAAUUAUUAUUUAAAAUUUUAUAUUUAAUAAAUAUUAUUAACUUUUGUUUUAUAGUUACAAUUUUUUUUUUUUUUACAACAACUGUUGCUUAAAAAUUAUAACACUUCAAUUCCAAACAUACCUUAAGUCUAUAAGGCAUAAGUUUUCACUCUUCAGAAAGGUGUUUGAUGGAAAUGUAAAGAAGUUCGAUGAAAUGUCUCACCUACACAACCAAGCCACUUAACAUUGCAGUCUUAUAAUACGAAUUCCUGCCUUCUCUUCCAUUUUCACAAACAUAAUUCUUUCUUUCUCACUUUAUUUUCUUCCUUGAAAUUUUUGUUAACAAAAAUGGGUAACAUCAUUCUCAUGCGUGCUUCUUAUCACCAGACUCAAUUCUUGCAGUUUUAUUUUAUUUUAUUUUAUUUUUCCUUCGUGGAGAUGCUAAAAUAUAUAUGAGAUCUAAAAAGCUAAUCUUGAUGAGUUGCAGAAUCCAAUGCAGAAUUUGAAAGUUACAAAAGAUUAUAAAUACUAUUUUAACUUGUAAGCUUCCAUUGCUAUACAGUGAGGUAUGUCUAGAUAUCAUUUUGGUCUUUUAUAUAUUGGGUUCCAGUGAAAGACUUUUGUUCUAGUUGAAUUUAAUUUUGUCUUUGUAUUUACAGACAAACUAUUAGGGACAUUUAUCAUACAUAUUUGGCUAGUUCGCCGUGGAAAAAUAAUAAUAGUUGAAAAGACAUAGGGUACUUUUUAUUUUCCUUUAUAUUACUAAUAGAUUUCCCACGCGCAACAGACGAAGUCAUUGCUGCUUCAAUAAUUGCCCUAUCACUGUGUUCAUCAUCACAAAUUUCUUUAUUACGUUUGUGAAAUAACCUUAGCAUAACAAAAUUACUCCUCCUUUUUAACUAAUAAUAGAUAUCUCAAAUUUUAUUUUCAGAAUAUGGUAUGUAAUGUAAGUGAUUGAUAGUUCUUUAUAAAAUAUAUAAAUAAAUUAAUAGUGUUUUCUUAGUGUCUAAUAUAUAUAAAUCACUUGCUCCAUAUAUUGCACUAUUGAUAUGGGCUAAAGUUUUAUACUAUGAGACCCAAUUUCUAUAAUUUACACUAUAAGUUACAAGUAUUUAGGAAAAUACUAUUGCAAAUCAGAAGGUAUUAUCUAUUUUAUACCUAAAGCAUUUCACUAUUUAAGACUAGUAAAACUUCUAUAUUAUUAUAAUAUUUGAAUCAAACACCAAUAAGCGAGUAAAUCAGGUGGAAUGAGAAUGUUCUAACUUAACCAAGGUCCUCGGUUUGAAACUUAGAAAUGCAACUACAUUAAAUACUUAUUGGGAGAGAUUUGCCGCUUUAGUGGUCCUAUCCCGCUUGAAUCUAGAUUAGUCGGGGAUCUAAUGUGGUCUUUGGAUACUAGAUGAUUUAAAAUACCGAUAAUAUUGGAACCAAACUAAUUUACAAUUAUGAAGAUGUUAUAAUUUAAUAGAGGCAUAGUAACAAACUAUUAAUAGAGCGUAUAAAAUUUAAUGUAUAAACAAAAUUCUAUAAUUUACACUAUAAGUUGCAAGUAUUUAGGUCAAUACUAUUGCAAAUCAGAAGAUAUUAUCUAUUUUAUGCCGAAAAUAUUUCCACUAUUUAAGGAUAGUAAAACUUCUAUAUAAUUAUAAUAUUGGAACCAAACACCAACAAGCGAGUAAAUCAACUAGAAUGGAAAUGUUCUAACGUCAAGGUCCUCGGUUCAAAACUUAGAAAUGCAACUACAUUAAAUAUUUAUUGGGAGAGAUUUGCCGCUCUAGUAGUUCUAUCCGGGUCGAAUCUGGAUUAGUCGGGAAUCUAAUGUGGUCUUUGGAUACUAGAUGAUUUAAUGUACCAAUAAUAUUGGAACCAAACUAAUUUACAAUUAUGAGGAGGUUAUAAUUUAAUAGAGGCGUAGUAACAAACUAUUAAUAGAGUGUAUCAAAUUUAAUAUUGGAAUCCGAUGAUUGGUUGCAACAUAAGAUAUUUGUAAGCUUAGUUAAAGGUUCAUUAAAAAUUAUAGAGAUAUAUAAUUUCGCAGUCGAUGAAGCCGUGCAUGAGGUUAAGGCAAGUGAUGGAAUGACUUGCGUUACAAAAGAGGUAUGUGAAGUUGCACUAUAAAAAUAAAAUAAAUUUGUAUUUUCAAGUAGUGAAGGUGUAGUUAGUUUAUUUGCGGUAGCAGUUUCACAGCUGACAGAUGAACAAAGAGUGGUUGCUUGUCAAAUGGGCUUUGGUAGUUUGCGACAACUGAACCUUGGCAAGCUAAAAAGGAAACUUUGUGGCUAGUUAAUUGAGAUGAUUGAUACUUUGAGGUACAUUUUAGAGUUGAAUGGUAUUAGCUUUCAAACAAGAUCAUCAAAGAAACUCUACCAACUAGGAAAUUUAAACUUAAUCUAUGCUCCGCAAAUUCGAAUAUUCUCUAAUAUGAAACUACUUUUAUGUGUUUUAUUAUUCCUAGCUUUUACCGACUUGGUAACGUUGUUAUGGAAGCACGACAACUAUUAUGUCCGUGUAAUUUUUAUUGUAUCUUUUGUUAUGUCAUGAUAUCGAAGCUUAGUUUUAUGACUCUAACUACUAAGAACUGCAAUUGCAGCAUCUUUUGAAUAUUACAUAUGUGCUUGUAGUAUCUCGACGGAUUAAAACCUGCUAUUUAAGUUCUUCUACCCCCUCCCCCCCUUCAUUCUUUCAUUUAUACUUGCUGCACUAUUUACUUCGCACUCUGUAAAGCCAGAUGAAAGCUUGUUCAUUUAUGUUCACUUGCAAUUCAAAAGCACAGUUUAUUUCAACUGUCAAAUUGACAACUUGCACGUAUAGAUUUCAGUCGAAACAAGGUUAUUGGUCGAUCAAGAAAUUGAAUCCAUAUGGCCGUUCCAGCGUUAUUCAACUACCUAAUAUCAAAUAUAUAAAUUAAUUCAACCCACUUCUGUGUCAAAGGCAUGGAACAAAUUAUGAAAGAUUUUUCAGCUAUCAUAAAUUCGAACGAGUGUAGUUUGUAUCCUUUCGAACUUAGACAGAUUUUCCUUCCAUUAACCUUAUAGUGUUAGUAAUCCUAUUACUUGUUUUUAAAGCUUGAAUAGUAUACCGAAAUUUUUGGUUUUUGCAACAUAAACUUGUAUGUAAUGUACAUUUUAUAGUUCUUUACAAAUUAAUUGCUGCUAAAAUAAUUGUUUCGACUACUAUAUUUAUUGUUAUAAUAGAUAAACAUUUUCUUGCAACUCAAACAGUUCCAAUGGCAUGAUCUGCAUCCCCCGUUUGCCUCUUGGGCUACGAACCUGCUUAACAGCUGCACCAUCUUGCUCCUUUUCAUCAAACGGCAACUUCGCUGCAGACAAAAAGAGGGGGUACACUGCCCAGGGGCACCAUAAACGCAGCCCAAAAAGAUGAUUUUGUCUUUCCAUGUCUUAGUAUUUUAACCAAAAAUAAUAAUAAUAAUUCUUUACAUCAUCAAUGAUUGCACUUGUAAGCCAGGCAAUAGUUUUUUUAUUAAAUAAAAAAUUAAUGUUAAAUUUUUUUUUUUUUUUUUUUUUUUUUUAUCUAGCUAUCAUUGACUUAAUAUUUUGAAUCUUCAUCCAAAGUUAAGGCACAAAACUUUUAUUCUAAAUAAAUAUUCUCAAUAUAAAUUUAUCACUUAAAUAAUAAAUAAUAAGAUUUAACAUUAAUUCUGUCGUUACUGAAAUGAAUUGUAAAUUUUAUAUGACGUGUAAACGUAUCAUUAUGUUCUUGAUAUUUGACAUAUGAAUUAUAAAGCAACAAAUGUAUCAUAUUUUUAUUUCGGUAUUGUGCUUCUCCAUAUUUGCUUAAUUCUUUUCGUUGUACUCAUUGCUUCUCUUCCUCUUUUCGUCAACGACAAUGGGUAACCUAAUCUCAACCUUCUUACCAGCAGACUUAUUUGAUCGAAUUUCAAACUGCGUUGGUGAACAAGCAAAAUAUGUAUGGGGUCUCGAAAAAAAUCUUCGGAUCUUGGAGACUGAAUUGCACAAAUUGACUCGAGCAAGGGCCGAUCUGAAGACCAGGGUUGAGGUCGAACAACAACGACCUCGAACCAGACGAACGAACCAGGUCGCAGGGUGGCUUGAAGAUGUGCAAAAUCUGGAAACUGAAUUUGCCGAGCUGGAACGAGUCAGAGCUCAAGAAAUGGAUAGAUUGUGCCUUGGAGGCCUCUGUUCCAAAAACUUCGUUUUAAGCUACAAUUACGGGACUAAGGUGGUCGAGUUGACGGAUCGAGUGAUCAAUUUAAAGAAAGACGGAGAAAAAAUUGAAGUCGUUGUUGAGAAGGCGCCGGAUGGUGCAGCAAUUGAAUUACCUCUUGAUCACACAGUUGUUGGUCAAGAACUAUUACUUGGUCAAGUUUGGAGAUGUAUCACUGAUCAGGAAAAUAACAGGGGAAUUAUCGGCUUGUAUGGUAUAGGGGGAGUCGGCAAAACUACCCUUUUAAAACAAGUCAACAACAACUUCUGCCAUCAACAGCAUAAUUUUGAUGUUGUUAUCUGGGCGGCUGUGUCAACACUUCAAGAUGACAUUGGAAAAAGGAUUGGCUUUUCAGAAGACAGAAACUGGAAGGAAAAAAGUCUUCAAGACAAGGCUGUGGACAUCGCUAGCAUUCUAAGCGGAAAGAAGUUUGUGUUGUUAUUAGAUGAUAUAUGGGAGCCCAUUGAUUUAACACAGCUGGGUGUCCCUCUUCAAAAUCUAAAUGAUGGGUCCAAAAUAGUCUUGACAACUCGUUCAGCUGGGGUUUGCGAUCAAAUGGACGCUGAAAAGGUGGAAGUGUCUAGUUUGGCACAUGAUGAAGCCUGGAAAUUAUUUCAGGAGAUGAUCGAAAGAUCCACUCUUGACAGUCAUACCAGUAUUCCAGGGCUAGCCGAAACCCUGGCAAGAGAGUGUGGUGGGUUGCCGCUAGCGCUUAAAACAGUGGGUCGAGCCAUGAAAAGCCAAAGGAAAGUUGGAGAUUGGAAACGUGCAAUUCACAAAAUGACAACAUCAGCUUCUAAAUUCUCAGGUAUGAAAGAAGAGGUGUUUUCGCGUUUAAAGUUCAGCUAUGAUAGUUUGUCUACGGACGAACUUCGUUCCUGUCUCCUGUAUUGUUGUUUAUAUCCUGAAGACUACGAAAUUCCUAAAAGGGAAUUGAUUGAUUACUGGAUUAGUGAAGGAUUUGUGUAUGAUUUUGAUGAUGGAUGCGAUUUUAUUGAUGACCUUCUUCAAGCAUGCUUAUUGGAGGAAGAAGGCGAUGAUCAUGUAAAGAUGCACGAUAUGAUUCGUGAGAUGUCAUUAUGGAUAGCGUGCACGGUAGACAAGGAGGAGCAGAGCUUUUUGGUUCGCGCUGGAGUUAAAUUGACCGAAGCACCAAAGGUUGAAGAAUGGGAAGGUGCCAAACGGGUAUCUCUGAUGGCAACUGGAAUUGAAUGCCUAUCGGAAAUUCCCACGUGUCGACGUCUGAUAACUUUACUUCUGGAUGAAAAUCGGAUUGAGGAGAUUACUGAUGGCUUCUUUCAAUCUAUGUCGACUCUUAGAGUAUUAAGUCUACGAAGAAAUACUUCCCUAAGUAAACUACCUUCGGGGAUUUCAAGUUUGGUUUCAUUGCAUCAUCUUGAUCUAUCAUGGACUGAGAUAACUGGGUUGCCGCAAGAGCUGAAGGCGUUGGAGAAGUUGAGAUAUUUGAACUUGGAGAAUGUAUUUGAGUUGUCUGUAAUUCCACAUCAAUUGAUAUCUGGCUUUUCAAAGUUGGAGGUACUCAGGUUGUUUGGGUCCGUUGGUAGGGGUGUAACAGAAGAAGAAGAAGAAGGUAACGUUCUAUGUGAUGAUGCUGAACCUUUGAUGAAGGAAUUGCUGGGUUUGAAGCAUUUAAAUGUUUUAAGCUGGUCCUUCCGAAGUUCACUUGCUGUCCAAAAGUUUUUGAAAUAUCCAAAGCUGGUUAGCAUCACUCAAUCUGUAUGGGUUGAAUGUGGCAUGUAUACAAGGCCACCGUUCAAUGUCUUACAUCUAGCAUAUAUGGAGAAUCUUCAGGAGUUGCGUCUUUCUCAGAGUGAUUUGGAGGAGAUGAAGAUUGACAGCACAGAAGAGGUGAAGAAGCUUUUUCAAAGUGGUUUCCGCAGUCUCAACACAGUUGAUGUAUUUUAUUGCCAAAAAGCGAAGGACUUAACGUGGCUUGUUUUUGUUCAAAACCUCAAGGAGCUAUUUAUACAGUUUUGUAUUGAUGUGGAAGAAAUAAUCAGCGUUGAUAAAUUGGGAUAUAUUUCAGAGAUAAUCGGGUCAGAGCAUAACUUUUUCGCACAACUCGAAUCUCUAACCAUAUGGAUGGGAAUAAAUUUAAAGAGCGUUUACCCGAAUCCCCUGCCCUUUCCAAAGCUGAAGAAAAUUGAAGUACGUGUAUGCCCACAGCUGAAGAAGCUCCCACUCAAUUCCAGCAGCGCGAAGGAACGUCGAGUUGUCAUCCGGGGAGAGAAAGAAUGGUGGGAAGAGCUACAAUGGGAGGAUCAAGCCACCCAAAAUGCUUUCUCUUCCGGUGUCAUACUUACUGAGGAUCCUGUUUAUUAAUAUGUUUGAAUAUGUAUUUCUUUUUUUUUUUUUUUAAUUUUCAUUAGAUUUAAUUGCAUCUUGUUCUUGUUGUCUGGUGUGUCAAUCGUUCCCUACUUUCAGUUAAUAAAAUUUCAGCAGUGGAUUCUUGGUUUAUUAAUGUUUAUAUAACUGAAUUGUUCAGCAGAUGUACUCUGCAUAUGUACUCUGCACAACUAACACAGAAAUAAAUAUAUGUAAGGGGGUACAGGACUGACUCUGCUUCUGGCUUCUAAGGAGAAAGAGGGGAAAAUAAACAUUUUAUCUUCCCUUAACUGCUCUCCUUUGGUUUGAAAUAUGUGACCUUUAUACUCGUCGAUAAAAUUGUAUUUGUCGCUUUAAGUCUUGUUUGUUUUAAAUCCUAGCAUAUGUAAUUAUGUAUGGAGUGGGAACUGAGAUGAUGAUGAAAGAUAAGUAAACAUUAAUUGAAUCUGUUAUAAUUUUAAUAUUAAUUUAACAAGAAAGUGAUAUUAAUUUGCCUGGCCCAUAUGAAAAACAAUUAUAAUUAAAGCUUUUUCUUUUUCUUUAAUUAGUAAUAGAUUUCGGAUAUAAAGCAGACAAAUUUAAUUUCUGCUUCAAUAACUACCCUAUCACUGUGUGCGUGAUCACAUAAUUUUGGACUACCGCUUGUGGAAUAACUUUAGAAAAAGAAAAUUAAUUUUUUUAAGUAACGAUAAAUAUUUUAAAUUUUAUUUUAACUAAAUUUGAAAUGAUGUGAUUGGCAGGUAAGACUUAAGAAUUAGACAAAUUUUCUCAUUCCACAGCUUGUAGAAAAUUGAUACCCCAGGCCUUAUCUAAACUUGGACUUAUCGCCUGCGGUAAAGCAUGAGUCAUGUUUCCAUGUAUGUUUGAAAUAUUGGACGAUAAUCACAACGGCAUUUUGUGAAAUAAUUAAAGUUUUUUUUUCUUCUCCUAUCUUCCAAUGAAAGUGCAGGACCUCAAUUAUUUUAAUAGAGAUGUAGUAAUAAAUUAUUAAUGAAACAUAUCAAAUCCAAUGUAUAGAUAAUAAUAAAAUAAAUAUACAUGGUUUCAAAAAAGCUAGUACAUGUUUCUAUAUAAAAAAAAUUAUCUUAAAAGUUUUUGAACUUUUGUGUUCUCUUUAAUAUUUUUCUCUUAUUUUGUUAUCGUAAUAUAUGGGUACAAGUUCACUUAAUGUAACAUAACAUACUUUUUUUGCUACACACACACACACACACACACACACAAUGUCAUAAUUAUUUUUUUUUAAAAAAAUCAAAUGCCACAACUUAUAUCUUAAUUACCUAAGCCCUAAAGUAACAACAAAAUGAAAGGAGUGGGCCUUUUGACACCCCCUCUAAGAUCCUCCUUUAAAUUCCUUAUAACUCUUUAAUUAAAAUUACUUAAAUAAUUAAAGAUAAAUUAAUUCCAUUUUUAUUUUAGUUGAAAAUUUAAUUAAUACUUAAAUAAAAUUAUUCUUUUAACAUUUUUUCCACCCACCUCAUUUCAUAUAUAUAUAAUUUUUAGAAACUUUUAAUAAUUUAUAAUUCUUUUAAGGUGAAAUUUAAUGAGAAGAUUAUUAAUUUUAAUUUAUAGAUUAGUAUUUUAUAAAUUAAACCAAGGUACUUUGAUAAAUAAAAAUUAAAACAAGUUUUAUAAGGAUUUUGGAGUGUAGGAAUUCAGAAUAUAGAUUUUCAUGUGGACGUUGAAUAUGCUGAAGCUGAAGCUAUGAAUUUUAGAAUAAAAAUGGCAAUAGACUUUGGUUUAACGCCAUUAAUUGUUGAAUCAGUUUCGAAGACUAUUUUAAACUUGGCGAAAGGUUUUGAAAGAAGUAUGAAAGAAAUAUCAUGGUUAAUUUUCGAGAUUCGAAAUUGUAUGGUUGUGAAAGACUACUUCAAAAUCAAUCUUAUAUUGAGAAAUAGUAGUGAGACCACUCAUAAAUUAGAUAAAUAUGAUGUUAACAAUUCGGGCUGUGUAAUUUGGUUGGAGGAAAUUUCAACUCAUGUAAGUCUUUUUCCUUUCAGUGAUUAAUUGAAGCUUUCCAUUUCCAAAGAGAGAUAGAGAGAGAGAGAGCUCAACUCAAAUGAAAGUAUGAAACAAAGAGUAAAUCCUGAUAGCAGAAAAAUGAGCCAUGAGUAGAAUUAUUCGCACCUUUGAAAGCCCUCAUAAAAGUCUUUAUUCAAUAUGUCCUGCUAAAUCAUUCAAAAAAUAAUAUUAUUUCUAAGGGCAGAGCUAUUUGCACUCUAAAAAUUAUUGUCAACACUUUAUUAUUAUACACACUCAUUUAUUAAUUUGAAAAAAUGAAUUAUACUUUGUACACUCCUUAAAGUACUAAAAAUGUACUCAUUUAAUCCUUUUUAAAUUAAUUUACUCUAACACACUCAUGAAAACGCCUUACAUACUCAAAAAAUUUCUCUAAACACUCUUUUAUUAUUAAAAUUUAAUUAUUUGGUUGUAUAAUAUAUUUCUCCAAUAAACGAAGAAUGAUACAGGAGCAACUAAAAAAACCCAUCAAAAUAUUUCACCAAUGAAAAGAUCGUGAGAAAUAAACAUUAUAAUCCGAACAAAUAAAUCAAUUAGCCAAUAUAUCAUUUAGCCAAAUCAAAGAUGUUGCUUGCGCUUCGUAGUUCUGAGCUUAGAAUCAAGUAGAGAAGUGAAGAUGAAAUUUUUAAUUGCUGAGAAUAUGAUUUUGAGGUUGAUGGAGGACUUGAAAGAGAGGGACAAGAAAGAAUGAUUCAGAGUAGGUGCUUGGCAAAAGGGACCCUUAUGACGAUAUUCUUCAGUACAGCUAUGAUGCCACUUCCACCUCCAAUUGAAUGCCAGAAAAUUCAGAGUUUGUCAAAAGAGGAUGGUAAAUUAAGUUGUUUUUUUUUUUUUUUUAAAUCUGGAUUUGGUUGAACAUUUUUAUGUCGCAAAAAUGUCUGCUGGGUUGUAAUGCCUCAGUUGCAGACUAGUUUGUAAGAGUCUGAAUAAUUGUCCAUGUUACUCUGGUAUUGUGGAAUGACAUGUAUUUUUUGGCCAAAAGAAAAAAUCAAGCAACCGAUGUAAACUUGUUUAAUAUCAUCGUAAUAUAACUGAAAAAGAAGUAAUUAUAGUCAUACAAAAAAAAUUAAUAACUGUCAUGUCCUUAAUAGUAAUUUAAACCAUAGAUAUUAUUGUAAUAAUUUUUUUAAUAAAAUUAAAAGUGUUUAGUGUAAUUUUUAGAGUGUACAUAACCUCACCCUAUUUCUAAACCCACGUAGGUUGAUUCCAAAAACACCCUUGGCUUGCACACCAACCGCAUUUUCACAUUUUCUUCGUCUUGCGGAACUUGAAACCCAAAUCUGAUGGCUUCAACUUUCGACUAAUCAUGAUCUCCACUAGAACUUAUAAUUUUAAAAGCUAUUUCCAUAAUAUUUUCAUUAGAAUUUCUUAUAACAACAUCCAACAUUGGUUAUUGAUAUUUUAAGGUUUCAUCUUAAAUAAUAUUAACAAAAUAAUUAAAUUUUUAUCAAAUUUUAAGGAAAUACAUUGUGCUUUGAUAAACAAGGAAUGUCAACUAAAUAUCGUCAAAAUAAAUAAUAAAUUUUUAAGUCGACUUUUGGUUUCACAUAAUUGUAAUUAUGGAGAUUAGUUAUUCGAAUAAAAUUUAAUUUUCUUUUGUUUAUUAUUGUAAAUUUCAAUAGGGACAAAUGCAUGAUUAUAAAAGAAGGGUUUGAGGUUUUUUAGGGGUACCAAUAGGACCACUCAUGAGCCAUAACAAAAAAUUAAGCCCAUGCGAGGCCCACCUAAUCCAUUUUUACAUUUAACCUGAAGAAUCAGACGACAAUAAACAAUAGACCUAAAUAAAAAGAUGAUAUAAAAGUAAGAAUAAUAUUAAGAUCCUAAUUUUUUAGUCUUAACUUCUUAAGUCUUAAAGUCACACGUUAUUCAUUUAUUAGACGAUAGAUUUCAUAACUUGUAAAAUUAUUUAACCACCAUCUAAUAAAUGAUUGUCAUAUCUUUUGAAACUUAAAUUUUGGAAUGCUUAGCAUUGAGCUGAAUCUAAAUUAUUUCAUUUUCCAUUAUUGUUAUUUUAUUUUAAUUUUUUUUUUCACAAUCGGAUUUUGCUUUGAGACAAUAGAAAGCCUUUUCGCUUUAAGCAUGUAUAGUAAUUUGAAAAAAAAAAACAUAUCCAUAAAUUAUCCAUGAGUUUCUGAGAACCAAUUAACUUCAAAAUCUCUUCCAGCGCUAGGAGGAACAUCGUCAAUAACUUUUUCAUGGCCUUUUGGGUAAUAAAUCCCAGUUCUUUCAUGAGGAACCCAACCACAAUUCCCUUCAUUUUCUCCCACAUUAUUAUUCAUCUGCUGGCUCCUCAUCACAUUUCCUUCUUCUGCAUUGGAUUUCAAUGUUGUUUCUCUCAUCAUAUCAUGAGAACUUGUUUUCUUUUGAAAGGAUUUCCUCAUCAUUGGCCUAUAUGUUUCAAAAAGACUCAACAAAUUAAUAAUGCAAAAACAAAGAGUAAAAUAUUCAAACACUCAAAUGAAUGAAAGUAAUCUCUUUUUAUUAUUGCGUGGACAGUGGCGAAAUCAGGAUUUUGGAUCGACAGAUGUCAUCAAUAAUAGAGAAACAACAAAUUUUAAGUAGGUUAUACCACAAGAAUAUAAACAUAUGGGGGCUACAAAAUAAAAUUAUCAGACACAGAGACAAAUUUAAUUGAAGACUUUCAUAUUUCUUGAUAAUUUUUUUUAACCUGAGGCCCCUGUGGAGACAUAUUGGUUCAGUUAAUAAAACAUUUAAUUCUAUGUACUUAACCAACCACUCAUAAUUAGUAAAUAAAUAAUUUGAAACUAUUAGGCCUAUUUCGAACGAACUGUUUCAUAACAAAAUUAAUUUAGAUAAAGUGAAAAGAUUUAUUUACAAACAUACCAUGCAAUAAUGAAGUGCGAUUGUCAAAAUGAAAUGAUGAAAUAGCAAAGUAGAUAGAUAAUGAAAGCAUUACUUGAAAAACAUGGAGUUAAAGGUGGGAGCUCCUCUAGCAAAUGAUACUGUCAUCUUUUUGUUCUUUUUUCUCUCACUUUCUCUCUUUCCAAACAAUGUGGGUGGAAUGAAUUGAAUUAUGAUUUUGAUAGAGAGCUCUUUAUAUAGUGAAGUUAAAUAAGAGAAUAUUGUUAUCCAUUUCUCUCAUCUCUAGGGAGAUCAUUUAUUGUUCCCGUGCACGUCAUUUUCUGUUUGGAUAAAUAUUAAAUUAUAAUACUCUUUCUUGAUCAUUGGGGAGCACUCAUUGCAGAGCAUGGCCUUCUUUUGUUCCCUUUUGUUUUGUUUUUGUUUUUUAGUCAUCUAAGUUAUGGGACAUGGCUUGCGGACUCAGCUUUUAAAAACUUUCCCUAGAUAAGUAGUUGAAUCUAGGGGAGGUACUUUUUAGUCAUAACGAGAUUACACGAUAUAAAAUGAGAUAUAGAGGCGGAUUCACCUCAUGAUUAGUGGGACACAGAGAAUAAUAAAAAAAAAUAUUUGAGUUAUUAAUUAAUUCUGUUGAAUAUAUUAAAAUAGGCAAGUUAAAUUUAUAAAAAUAGUCUCAUAAAUUUAAAAUUUAUAAAAUUUUAAUUUUGAGAAUUGCAAAAAACCACACUUUAAUUAAAAUAUAAAAGGUUAUGAGGUAACCCAUAUAGGUGGUUUACUAUUAUUUAAUUUAGUUUUUAUUAAAUCUAUAAAAAUGAUUUAUAUAAACUCAUCAAGCUAUAAAAUUUGAGUUUUCGCAUUGUGUUGUUAUAUAAUUUAGCCAUCGAUAAAUCAUUUUUAUGAAUCCACCACUGAUAACAUAAAUAUAAAAAAAUUAAGUGCUCGAUUUACCUCACGCAAAUAUGACAUAAUAUUUUCGUUAACUGUCAUAAGAAACUUAAAAAUGGUAGUCAAUUAAAUAAACUAUGACCAUUGACAAAAAAUUAAUGAAAUUGUAACAGAUAUACAAAAAGAUUUUAAAAUCAUUUUGCCCUUAAGUUGAUAUAAGAUGAGUCGUUAAUAAUUGCAUGUGCAAACAUCGUAUAUUCUUUAUAAUUAAUUGUGCAGAUUUUGAUGACCAUUUGGGUGUAUUGGGGUUAUGAAUUUUGUGAGUUUUUUCCACUUUUGUAAAUUCUUAUUUGUUAGUAAAAUUACAUUCCAGUUUUUGCCCAUGCACAUAGGCAAUACGCCGAACCACGUAAAUUAUUGUGUCCUAUUUUCUUUCCAUUUGUUUAUCACCACAUUUAUAUUUCUCCAGAAGUUGUAGUAUUAGUAAUUGCUCAACCCGUGUUUCCGUAACACCCAUAAUAUUUUCAUUAGAAUUUCUUAUAACAACUUCCAACAUUGGUUAUUGAUAUUUUAAGGUUUCAUCUUAAAUAAUAAUAACAAAAUAAUUAAAAUUUUUAUCAAAAUUUAACGAAAUAUAUUGUGCUUUGAUAAACAAGGAAUGUCAACUAAAUAUAGUCAAAAUAAAUAAUAAAUUGUUAAGUCGAGUUUUGGUUUCACAUGAUUGUAAUUAUGGAGACUAGUUAUUUGAAUAAAAUUUAAUUUCUUCUGUUUAUCAUUGUAAACUUGAAUAGGGACAAAUGCAUGACUAUAAAAGAAGGGUUUGAUAAGGAUUUUUUGGGGGUACCGAUAGGACCACUCAUGAGCCAUAACAAAACUAAGCCCAUGCGACGCCCACCUAAUCCAUUUGUACAUUUAGCUUGAAGAAUAAGACGAUAAUAAACAAUAGGCCUAAAUAAUAAGAUGAUAUAAAAGUAAGAAUAAUGUUAAGAUACCAAUUUUUUAGUCUUAACUUCUUAAGUCUUAAUGUCACACGUCAUUCAUUUAUUAGACGAUAGAUUUCAUAACUUGUAAAAUUAUUUAACUACCAUCUAAUAAAUGAUUGUUAUAUUUGUUGAAACUUAAAUUUUGAAAUGUUUAACAUUGAGCUGAAUCUAAACGAUUUCAUUUUCCAUUAUUGUUAUUUAUUUUAAUUUUUUUUUCCCAAUCGGAUUUUGCUUUGAGAAAAUAGAAAGCCUUUUGGCUUUAAGCAUGUAUAGUAAAUUGAAAAAAAAAUUAUCCAUAAAUUAUCCAUGAGUUUCUGAAAACCAAUUAACUUCAAAAUCUCUUCCAGCACUAGGAGGAACAUCUUCAAUAACUUUUUCGUGGCCUUUUGGGUAAUAAAUCCCAGUUCUUUCAUGAGGAACCCAACAACAAUUUCCUUCAUUUUCUCCCACAUUAUUAUUCAUUUGCUGGCUCCUCAUCACAUUUCCUUCUUCCGCAUUGGAUUUCAAUGCUGUUUCUCUCAUCAUAUCAUUAGAACUUGCUUUCUUUUGAAAGGAUUUCCUCAUUAUUGGCCUAUAUGUUUCAAAAGACUUAACAAAUUAAUAAUGCAAAAACAAAGAGUAAAAUAUUCAAACACUCAAAUGAAUGAAAGUAAUCUCUUUUUAUUAUUGCGUGGACAGUGGCGAAAUCAGGAUUUUGCUUCGACAAAUGUCAUCAAUAAAAGAGAAACAACAAAUUUAAGUAGGCUAUAACACAAAAUAAUAAUAAUAAUAAUAAGAGGGCUACAAAAUAAAACUGUCAAGUCACAAGAGAAUAUUGUUAUCCAUUUCUCUCAUCUCUAGGGAGAUCAUUUGUUGUUCCUGUGUACGUCAUUUUCUGUUUGGAUAAAUAUUAAAUUAUAAUACUCUUUCUUGAUCAUUGGGGAGCACUCAUUGCAGAGCAUGGCCUUCUUUUGUUCCCUUUUGUUUUGUUUUUGUUUUUUAGUCAUCUAAGUUAUGGGACAUGGCUUGCGGACUCAGCUUUUAAAAACUUUCCCUAGAUAAGUAGUUGAAUCUAGGGGAGGUACUUUUUAGUCAUAACGAGAUUACACGAUAUAAAAUGAGAUAUAGAGGCGGAUUCACCUCAUGAUUAGUGGGACACAGAGAAUAAUAAAAAAAAAUAUUUGAGUUAUUAAUUAAUUCUGUUGAAUAUAUUAAAAUAGGCAAGUUAAAUUUAUAAAAAUAGUCUCAUAAAUUUAAAAUUUAUAAAAUUUUAAUUUUGAGAAUUGCAAAAACCACACUUUAAUUAAAAUAUAAAAGGUUAUGAGGUAACCCAUAUAGGUGGUUUACUAUUAUUUAAUUUAGUUUUUAUUAAACCUAUAAAAUUUGAGUUUUCGCAUCAUGUCGUCAUAUAAUAUAGUCAUCGAUAAAUCAUUUUCUUGAAUCCACCAUUGAUGACAUAAAUAUAAAAAAAUUAAGUACUCGAUUUACCUCACCCGUUAACUGUCAUAAGAAACUUAAAAAUGGUAGCCAAUUAAAUAAACUAUGACCAUUGACAAAAAAAAAUUAAUGACAUUGUAACAUAUAUACAAAGAGAUUUUAAAAUAAUUUUGCCCUUAAGUUGAUAUAAGAUGAGUCGUUAAUAAUUGCACGCGCAAACAUGGUAUAUUCUUUAUAAUUAAUCGUGCAGAUUUUGAUGAACAAUGCACCAAAGCCACAUGGUAAAAAUCUCCCUUAUGUUUUUGUUUUGAGAAAGUUGCUGAAUCAAUGUCAUGACGCUAAUUUUCAAAGCAUGAAAACAGAAUGAAAUUAAAGAAACCAUAGUGAUGUAUCUUGUUUGCAUACUGGAAUGAAAUGUUGAUUUAGGCAAAUUUAGGAUGUAAAGUGUAAACUAAGGUUCACAUAAAAAUAAUAAUAAUAAUAAUAAUAAUAAUAAUAAUAAUAAUAAUAAUAAUAAUAAUAAUAUUAUUAUUAUUAUUAUUAUUAUUAUUAUUAUUAUUAUUAUUUUAAUCCAUUAAGAGAAAAAGGUUGUAUGCUCAUCAACCCAUUGCAAACUUUUGGCUUAAGAUUAAUAUGAGUAAUACAACACAGCUAUAUCAUAUCCCUAAACUUGAAAAUUAUUUAAAAAGGACCAUGAAUUGAUGAGGAUGAUAAAAUUAGCAAGGUUUCUAUUUUAUAAGUGUUUGCCAUAUGAUAUAUCAUUAAAAUGUUGUCCGUUUAUAUAUAUCUCAUGUUUUAUUUAUUUUAUGUAAGGAGAUUAGGGAGACCACAUAUUGUAAUUCCCCUUGUGAAUGUUUACUGGGGAGAGAAAUGAAAAAAAUUCAUCAAGUGUGUAAUCCUGAAUUUGGUUGGUGGAGUCUUCAACAACAGCUCAAAAACUUGCCUCCUCGGUUGUUGGUCACCUCAAGAAAUAUCGCAAACUGUUAGCAAGAACCUGCAAAUUUGAUCAAGCAAAGUCUAAUCAGUACAUCAACGAUCGUGCAAGUCUUCAGGCGCACCGUGUGAUCAUUAGCACGUUAAUGUUCUUACCGCCCACUUCAAAGUUUAAAUUCAAAUCUUUUAUAUAAGAACAGUUUUGCAACUAGAAUACCGAUUUUGAGUAGAAAUGGUAAGUCUCUUUAUUCUUCAGAGCAAACAAUCUAUAAAGCAAUUUCCGAUGUCCUAUAUGUAGGCCUGUUGUUUUUACCUGUUGGAGAGGCUUGAUAAUGGCUUUACCCUUGUAGCUGACAUGAAACUUUGCCUUAGCCAACAGCCCCUGGGUGCGAAAACAAAAAUUAGAACAAAAUAUAUUAAUAAGGGAAGGCCACUCUUUUGUCAAUAUAUAUAUAUAUAUAGAGUUUGUUAUAAAAGAUUACCUCAGUAUCAAACUCUCCCGAUUCAACAUUGACAUUGAUGACAGUGAAAAUCUUUACAAGAUCCACCAAUAAUCCUGGUCGAUCAGCCGUCUCCACCAAAAGCAAACUUCAAUAAAACAAAAGGUAAAAUAAACAAAAAUAGUAGGAAAAUACUUGGUAUCUAGAAGGGCGAGAGAAACACGAGAGAAACGGCAGCACAUGCUGCCGUUUCACUCCCAAAAUCUCUCGCCUUUUUUUAAUUAAAAAAAUUAAAAAAUUAAUAAAAAAUAAUAAAGAAAACAUAAUCUUAUCUGCUCCUUACUCCAUUUUUGCAACUCUCUCACCAUCUCUGUCGAGUAGCUCUCUCUCUCAUUGGCUCUCACUAUUUCACGAUCUCUCUCUCACUCACACACUCCUUUUCACGAUCUGAAAUUUUCUGGCCUUCUGCAACUCUUACAAGAAAUUAACGCUUUGGUUCUCACAAGGAUAGAUUGGGCAGGAAAUUGCCACUUGGGCUGGAGUAUGAGUAGUAAUAGUGUGGGACCAAAGUUUGGUGGAUAGCAAAAGCUCCAUCAUCUAGAUAAGAGAAUGAAUUAUGCAUUACCUUCGCUUGGGGCCAUCAAUAUCAUCAUAGAUGCUUAUGUGGGUUGCUAUGUCCACAUCAACCUGACAAAUUCCAGCACAACAAGAUUUGAGACAAGAUUGAAGUGGGACGUUAUCCUUCCCAUAAUAACUCAUAUACGUAGUUUUUAACAUUCAUGACAACAUGAUAUUAAUUUCAAUGGCAGGCAAAUUGAAUAUAAUGUCUUUAAAGAAAAUGAGGAUAAAAGUGAAGUAAUAUUUGGCCCAAGAGAACUCUAAAAACAACUUAGUUUCCUAUUCAAAUGAUCCACUAGUGAGAAGAGCCCACUACAAGAAAAACUGACCUAUUAUGAUAGGUAAAAACUGUCAUCGUAGGGGGUAAAUGAUGGUUAUUCUUACCGUCAUUAUAGCCAGCGUCAAGAAAAGAUGACAGAUAAAAUCGCGUCACGAGUUGUGAUAGAUUUUACCUAUCAUAAUUAUGUCAUACUACUUAGAAGAGGGAAAUUAUUAUUUUUUUUAUAUUUUCAUUUUUUUAGAAAUUUCUUGGAUUGUAUUUUUUUUUUUUGGGAUAUCAAUUGUGUGUAUGACUAGCAUUUUCUAUCACAAUUUUUUUGAAAAAUUUGAUUAUUUAUUUUAUUUAUUAAUUUAAAAUAAAAAUUAUGCAAUUUUAAAAUUUAAAUUAUUAAAAUUAUAUGAAAUAAAAUAAAUUACUAAAUGCAAAUAAAUCCAAAACCAAUGAACUAAAUUAGUGAACUUUAUUAACCAUAAAAAUAUCCAAAGUACAUUACAUUAGUUAAUCAAUAUUCCAAAGUCAAGCCAAUAGGCAACAAAGGCCAAUCCAAAACCAAGCAAAGUACUCCGCAUUCUGCAACAUCCAGCAACAAACCUACACAAAAUGUAGUCUUCCAGCGGCAAAAUCCAGCAGCCCUAAAGCCAAGACAUGAAAAUUCAUCCAGCAUCAAAUCUAUGCAAAAUGUAGUACUCUGGCUAUUCAAUCCACUAACUAAUUAAUUAAUUAAUCAAGCAAACUAACUUAUGUAAUUACACUGAAAUGGAAGUGGCACACCAGAUUAGCAGCAAUGACAGGUGAGGUGGUAGUUAAAGCCCAAACAGCAAGAAAGCCACAAGCCACACCUUUAAGUUCUUUUGAUCUUUUGUAGCUGCUACUACUACUACUACUACUACUACUACUACUACUUCUAAUAAUAAUAAAAACCAUCCUAUUAAUUUAUACAAGUCCCAAUAUAAGUAUAUAACUAAACAUAGGGUUCAAGAGUUCCAUGUCUUAAAAGUUACAAUCACAGAGACAUUUCCAAAAUGGAAAAACGAAGAUAAAGCUUAUAAAAAAUAAAUAUACCUAUUUAGUAAUUUAACAGCCUCAUAAACCAAUCAUGGACACAUUUCCAUCGACCCGCAAGUAAUCAAUCAUAGCCUUCAGAUUAUCUUUCUGAAAAACAAGCCAUCAACUUCAGACGGACCUUAAUUACAAGAAUAAAGUCCAACAAGACAGGUAAUUGAUCUCAUAAGUGAUUUUUUCCCCUUUAAAAGUUAAAAUUUUUUAAAAAAAUUACUAGCUGUGUAAUUUCUUCCCGCUAGUUAAUCAGCCACCAACUUCAUUCAAUCAUAGAGUAAAAUGCUCUCCUACAGAGAGCCCAGAUCCUGAAAAAUCUCCUAUAACUUUCAUUAUUCAUUUAUUAUUCAAUUGGAAAAUAAUUUCAAUGAGCCAAAUUCAUAUAAAAUAUAGAUUUAGAUUCUCGCGAUCCUUAAAUCUCCUAUAAGUUAACACAACACAGUCCUUCAAAAAGCAAAGCAACAUUAUGUCAACAUAAAUUAAACAAUAUAUGAGUGAUGAACUGUACACCUAGACUAAGCACGAGCAAGAUUAAAUACAACACUUCAUCAAGCUUUGCCAUGAAUUGUAUCAGAUUUGCUUUGCGAAUGAAUAUAAUAAGCUUCAUAUUCCUUCGCUCCUCAUAGGUAGAAAUGACCUGCAACAAUUAAAGUGCCAAGAUUCAUUCAUGGUUUUUAUCAAACACUUGGAGGGAAUACAAAAAUAGUAACUAUAUCCCCAAUUCGAAGGUAGUGAGCAUACGGCUACAUGCAAGUAUAUAUCAAUAUGUAUAUAUCUUUUAGGAAUUCUAUGCCUUGAGGUUGUUAAUUGUGGUGCUAGCAAGCUAUGUUAUUAAUUGGUAUAAAUUUUUGAAUGGUACAAAAGGCGUGAGAUUCAAACCAUGCUCAUAUGAGUGCGGAGAGUGGAAAUUGAGUAGAAACCACAAUACUAUUGAUAUUCUUAGAGGAUCUUUCCAUGUGACAUUCAUUCAAAAUUGUAACUAAGAGCAAAAUGCUUAACGAUUUUUAAUGCAUUGUACACAUAUCUAUCAGACAAUAUCUUGUAAGAUCGAAAAAUUGAUAACAUUCCCUCAAGACAAAUGAAAAAUGGAAUUGAACUAGUCAAUAUCUGCAUUACCCAAAAGAGAAACAAGGGAUGGGGAACUCUGAUGAAAUAAUAAAUUCUCUGCUCGGUACAAAAACAGCCACUGGAAACACACAUUGGUUGGAUCAUAUUGACAUUAUUUCCAACACACACAAUAGAAACAAUACCAAUUGCCCACCAAGUGCAUGACUCAAUGUGCGCCCAGCCUGACACCACUUCCUGCACAUGCGACUCGGCCCACAAUCACCACUAAUUUCAACGAAUUAGUGAAUUUAACCAAUGAAAUUUAAAAAAAAAAAAGACUUUGCAUCACAGUGAACUAAUUUGAGAAUUAUCUUUAUAUAUAGUUCCAUGCAUGCCACAAAAAGUGAAAAAAAAAUUAGUUAUUAGAAAACCCCAAUGAUAAAGCAGCCUAGACAAUAUCCCAACACCCAUCACCAGUAAAUUGGCAAGGAUCUUUACAGCCUAAAUCAAAUUUAACAAUAAAACUAUAAUAAUUAGAUUCCAAAAAAAUCAAAUAAAUGUUUAAAAUUCCAUAAAUAAAGAAACAUAGAAGACCAAUCAAAUAGAUCCAAAUUUAACAAGAGCACACCUAGGAUUUUCAAGUUUUACAUGUACAGGGUUCAAAUUUGACAAGAAAACAUCUAGGCUUUUCAAGAUUUAGGUGUGUAGGGUUUGAAUUUGACAAGAACACAUUUAGGGUUUUUACGUUUUACAUAUAUAGGGUUCGAGUUUGACAAGAACAUUAAAAUUGAAAUGAAACACAACACUAGAAAUAUUAUUUACCUGUAUUGAUCGAACGGUUACAACAGUGGGUGAGCGAGGGUUCUCGGUUAGGGUAUUGAAAUUCAAUAGUAGGAGCACAUGCGUUUGGUGGGUAUUCCAUAUAGUUCUCAGUGAGAGCCAAAAUCGAUAGUGAAAUACAAGAGAAUGGCGGCAGUGGUUCAGUGCCCAUGCAAGGAUUUCAGACGAAAAGGGCUUUGUGAGUGCGAGAUUGACGAGAGUGACUGAGCGAGAGACGAGAGUGAGAGUGCCAACACUUGGGGAAAAAAAAUUCGAUGAGUGAAAACUGAAGAGGGUUUUGUUUUUAUUUAGUUUCAAUCUAAACGGUGACGUUUCUUGUCUAAAGAGAAAUUUUUAAUCCAAACGAUCCCGUUUAUUCUUUAUUUAUUUUUUUCAUUCAUUUUAAAAUUUUCAGUCAACCUUGUGAAAUAAAGUCAAAAUAAAAAGCUACUUGAUGAUCAAAAUUAUAUCACAAACUUGUCAUUACUUCUUGAUAAUCAAAUAAUUUAUCAUUAGUCUAUCAUAAGUGUUUGAUAGAUGAAAUUUCUAUCACAAGUAUGUCAUAAAUGAAUGCUAGAAAAAAAUUUAUCAUCCAUCCGUUGUAGUAGCUCUGCAGACCAAAAACUGUCACACAGAGGACUGUCAUGGUAGGUCAUUUUUCUUGUAGUGGCAAAAAAUAUCAAUAAUCUGAAAAAUUAAAAUAAGACCAAAAAGCAAAAACCUGUUGUUUUGGAGGAUCAACGCCAAAGGUAACACCCAUUGCCAACUGGGAACUUGAUUCCUGAUUCCAUCACCAACACAAAUGGAAUAAGGUUUUCAUAAGACAAUUCCUAUAGGUGCUCCACCAAGUGAUAUCUCAAGAGAGACAAAAAAAUGAUUACCGGGUGAUACUGAAGUAGAUUGUUUAUAACUAUCAAACGAAUUGCCUCAAGCACCUCAGGAUCAUCAACUUUCCUACCAGUAUCACUGCACACAAGCAUCAUGACCAAAUUAAUCAAAACCACAGUGGGAAUCUAUUGCAAGAACUGCUCCAAAAAACAACGAUGGCUCUUUGGAUCAUUGAUUUUAGGUUCUAGUAUGUCUAAAAUUUUAACGAUUUCAACAUUAGUGAUAAACAUGUAUUUGCAAUAGACUGAUCAUACUUGUAUAUGGAGCAUCAAAAGUAGGUAUUUACUAUGCUCAUCAAAUAUAGACUAGAAGACGUUGACAAAAAUUAAAGGAAAUUAGUGAAUGAAACUGCAAGCAGAGAAUAUAAAUCAGCUUAGUAAUGCAAGGGCAUGAAAAGCAAAAUGCAUAUGCAUCACAAAAUUAUAGAGAUAUAUAAUUUCACAGUCAUAUGAUGAUAUUGCAGCGGUGAAGCCACGCGUGAGGUUAAGGCAAGCGAUGGAAUGACUUGUGUUACAAAAGAGGUAUGUGAAGUUGCACUAUAAAAAUAAAAUAAAUUUGUAUUUUCAAGUAGUAAAGGUGUAGUUAGUUUAUUUACCAUGAUUGCGUCCUGGAUAGAAAUUGAAUCCAUGUUUAAGAAUUUAUCAACGGAGAGAAAAUGUCAAUACAAAGUCAAUGCGAAUGAAUAGUGAAGUCAGCAGUCGCAAAGGCAAAGUUCUAAACCAAAUGUACUCCAGAUAGAUUAGCGGUAGCAGUUUCACAACUGACAAAUGAACAAAGAGUGGUUGCUUGUCAAAUGGGCUUUGGUAGUUUGUUACAACUGAACCGUGGCAAGCUGAAAAAGAAACUUUGUGGCUAGUUAAUUGAGAUCAUAGAUACUGUGAGGUACUGAUAAAUUUAUGAAAUGAGAGUUAUUACAUCAAUUCUAGACUUAAAUCAAGAUUACUUAGAGAGCAAAUAAGGUGUUUUUAUUACAUUUUGGUCAUAGUUUGCAUAAACAUUCAUUUUAGUUGAGUCUUAAUAAGUUUUGCUUGAAUCAAAGUAAUUUGUACUCAAAACAUGUGCAUAAUUGUAGGUUUUCAAAAAUUCUUAAUUCAUGAAGGGAUGCUGUUAGAGUACAAUUUAUGCACUAGUUUUGCAUUGUUUACUUCUCUUAAUAUCGAUGUUUUGCACUUAAUAAUAGUGAUUUACUUGUGUUUUACUUUUGUAGCUGCAAUUCUAUUGAUUGGUGAUAAAAUUGAGCUAUAAGAUGAUGUUUAAGGAUGAUUGUUCUCUUGGAGAAAUUAUGAGCGUCAGAAGAACUUUGUUGAUAAGGCGUGGGCGCGUGCUGUCAACUGCGGACCUGCAGUUUUUAGUUUAACGUAUUUUGUAUUUUUGGUUAUUUUUGUAAUUACAAAUUUAAUAUUUCAGAUAUUAGUAUUUUAUUUUAAAUAGAAUUCUAAAAGAGAAGAGAGAGAGAGUAUUUAAGGGAGGAAUCUAUUGUGAAGGAUUUGGAUUGGAGAAAAAGAAAGAAACCCUAGAUCUAAUUUUUCUCUUCUCUCUAUGAAGAACUAAACUUAUUUUCUGGUUGAAGGAUAAUGAAGCUUUGAUUCAUCACUACUGUGAGAUCUUUUUUUUAUGCUUUAAUUGUUUUAUUACUUUUUGGGUAUUUGUUUAUUUUCUGAAUUAUUUUCAUGAUUAUGUUUGUUAAUUAGGUAAUUGGCCACUAUUUAAUUAUCAACUUAAUCUAUUGUCAAUUAAAGGAUUCAUUGUAUGAAGAAUUUAAUGUUUGUGACAAAUAACAUAGCAGAGAGUUGUGUUGUGAGAAUAAACAAUCUAAUUUAAAUGAAUCAUCAUAUGUGUUGAUUAGGAUUUGGGUCUCUCUGGUUUUUCAGGCUGUCAAUUGAUUAAAUCAUAUGAUCGUAUCGAGGGUUGUCUAUUGAUUAGGGAAAUAUCCAACGGUCGUACCUUGGUUAUCGACUAGUUAAGGAGAGAUUGGCUAUUAGAGGGUCUCAAUAGCUAUAACCGGUCUAUUCAUAAGUAAUAAUAAUCUAUAUUUGAAUCAAUGAUUAGUAGUCGAAUCAAGCUGAGUUAAUUCCUUCAACCAGAGCUUUCUCCAAUUUGAAUUACAACUUUAAUUUGCAUUCUUGUUAUUUUAAUUUGAUUUUUAUUAUUGUCAACAAAACCCCCAUUUUAUGUUUUACGUUUCAAAAGGAUUUAAAUAAUUACCGAUCUCUGUGGACACGACCCUGCUCAAUCACUAUACACAAUUUAUUUAGAGUAGGAAUUUAUUUUUGUUGGCUUCGACACCCAUCAGAUGCUGAGGCAUUAGACUAGCAAGAGGAUGGAAGAAAAUGGCCGUAAAAGAAGUAAAGCACAAUCGGGAACAGUGCAAUGUUGUAGCUAUUGUUAGAGCAACCAUUGCUGUAGCAAUUUGGGACCACUGAGGGAGAAAACUUAAGCGCGGGUCAGCUGCAGAAUUGUGAUCUGCAUGUUUCCUAAUUUAAUUCAUGCACGCCACGAACUUUUAUUUACCCUAGUUUGCAGUAUAAAAGGGGGGCGCGCACCACAUAAAACUGCGGCAAGGGAAUUAUCAUUAAUACAUUAGAGAAAAGAGAAGAAGAAGAUCGGAAUUAAAGGGGACGGCUUCAGCAGAAUUGAGAAAUCCUGCAGAGUUAUUUGGAUUUGCUUUUUGACGUUCUCAACUUAUACUUUUCUUAUUUCUUUAACUGUUCUAAUGUAUCUCGUGAACAAUAUAUUAAUGUUUUUUUUUCUCAUUCAGUUGACCACCCAUUUAAUAGUUCAAGUUAAGAUAGAGCCGCAAAAGGGCAUGUCUUAGCGGAUAUUAUUAGAGUAUUACUUGAUCUUAAUUUAAGUUUCCUGGAUUAAGUUAUCUUGAAUCCCAUAAGGGCUAUACUUGAAGUUAAGAUUUGUGACACACUAGACAUAGGUGCUCACCUUAUAGGGUGGAGAGACUAAAGGGUCAUAAAGCCAUAUCAUAAGUAGAUUAGCAACUGGUCAUUGCUAGUAUACUUAAGGGUAUGAGAGUUCCAAUACGCAACAGCUGAGGACGCAGAUUCAGAAAUAGCUCUUGACUUGAAUUUUGGUUUUGGCUUUGCAUGAAUCCCAGUGUAAAUCCUGUAGAAAACUUACAAUCUUCAGUGAACCGCGUAAAACGAGACUUACUUGAGUGGGUUGAGACUCUUCUCGAAGACUUUCUUCGCUUCGUCGAUAUCUUUGGAAUCUUCCAAACAUCUGUUAUGACACUCAAGGAAGAGCAGUUUGCUGCCAAAGUUGCUAUAAGGAAAAAAGACGACGUAAAGAUAGCUUCGUAUUUGAAAUCAAGAAAAAGAUUGGCCAAAGAGAUGCUUAAGCUUGUCAGUGAAAUUCGGUGUAUCGGCCAAUACCAGGUACCGCCACCAAUGCUGGCGUCCGUUAUAGAUUCUGAGUUAGCCGGUGUCGUCACUGAUGCUGUUCGAGUGAAAUUUCUCCAUCAUCAUCUAAUUCUAGUACGCGAUCAAGUGGCAGUCUUUUCUUUCUCAACGCCAAAAGCUUAAAAAAAAAAUAUUACAACCCAUUACAGGCCAGCUAAGAUAAAUCCCUGUAUGAUUUUCGCGCCAAGGAUCGUACUGUCACUAGGGAUAAUAUUAUCUUUUCAAAGUUAACUACCAGUCAAGAGAAAAUUUAACUAACGGCAGGGGGUUUUUUUUACAAAUAAAACGAUUUUGGCCAUCUACUUACAAUAGCCUCAAACCUCAGGGGAGGUUUUUAAAAAUUACCCCCGUGGAAAAAUAAUAAUAGUUGAAAAGACAUAGGGUACUUUUUAUUUUCCUUUAUAUUACUAAUAGAUUUCCCACGCGCAACAGACGAAGUCAUUGCUGCUUUAAUAAUUGCCCUAUCACUGUGUUCAUCAUCACAAAUUUCUUUAUUACGUUUGUGAAAUAACCUUAGCAUAACAAAAUUACUCCUCCUUUUUAACUAAUAAUAGAUAUCUCAAAUUUUAUUUUCAGAAUAUGGUAUGUAAUGUAAGUGAUUGAUAGUUCUUUAUAAAAUAUAUAAAUAAAUUAAUUGUGUUAUCUUAGUGUCUAAUAUAUAUAAAUGACUUUCUCCAUAUAUUGCACUAUUGAUAUGGGCUAAAGUUUUAUACUAUGAGACCCAAUUUCUAUAAUUUACACUAUAAGUUACAAGUAUUUAGGAAAAUACUAUUACAAAUCAGAAGGUAUUAUCUAUUUUAUACCUAAAGCAUUUUCACUAUUUAAGACUAGUAAAACUUCUAUAUUAUUAUAAUAUUGGAAUCAAACACCAAUAAACAAGUAAAUCAUCUGGAAUGAGAAUGUUCUAACUUAACCAAGGUCCUCGGUUUGAAACUUAGAAAUGCAACUACAUUAAAUACUUAUUGGGAGAGACUUGCCGCUUUAGUGGUCCUAUCCGGCUCGAAUCUAGAUUAGUCGGGGAUCUAAUGUGGUCUUUGGAUACUAGAUGAUUUAAUAUACCGAUAAUAUUGGAACCAAACUAAUUUACAAUUAUGAAGAGGUUAUAAUUCAAUAGAGGCGUAGUAACAAACUAUUAAUAGAGCGUAUCAAAUUUAAUGUAUAAACAAAAUUCUAUAAUUUACACUAUAAGUUGCAAGUAUUUAGGUCAAUACUAUUGCAAAUCAGAAGAUAUUAUCUAUUUUAUGCCUAAAAUAUUUCCACUAUUUAAGGCUAGUAAAACUUCUAUAUAAUUAUAAUAUUGGAACCAAACACCAACAAGCACAUAAAUCAACUAGAAUGGAAAUGUUCUAACGUCAAGGUCCUCGGUUCCAAACUUAGAAAUGCAACUACAUUAAAUAUUUAUUGAGAGAGAUUUGCCGCUCUAGUAGUUCUAUCCAGGUCGAAUCUGGAUUAGUCGGGGACCUAAUGUGGUCUUUGGAUACUAGAUGAUUUAAUGUACCAAUAAUAUUGGAACCAAACUAAUUUACAAUUAUGAGGAGGUUAUAAUUUAAUAGAGGCGUAGUAACAAACUAUUAAUAGAGCGUAUCAAAUUUAAUAUUGGAAUCCGAUGAUUGGUUGCAACAUAAGAUAUUUGUAAGCUUAGUUAAAGGUUCAUUAAAAAUUAUAGAGAUAUAUAAUUUCGCAGUCGAUGAAGCCGUGCAUGAGGUUAAGGCAAGUGAUGGAAUGACUUGCGUUACAAAAAAGGUAUGUGAAGUUGCACUAUAAAAAUAAAAUAAAUUUGUAUUUUCAAGUAGUGAAGGUGUAGUUAGUUUAUUUGUUGUAGCAGUUUCACAGCUGACAGAUGAACAAAGAGUGGCUGCUUGUCAAAUGGGCUUUGGUAGUUUGCUACAACUGAACUGUGGCAAGCUAAAAAGGAAACUUUGUGGCUAGUUAAUUGAGAUGAUUGAUACUGUGAGGUACAUUUUAGAGUUGAAUGGUAUUAGCUUUCGAACAAGAUCAUCAAAGAAACUCUACCAACUGGGAAAUUUAAACUUAAUCUAUGCUCCGCAAAUUCGGAUAUUCUCUAAUAUGAAACUACUUUUAUGUGUUUUGUUAUUCCUAGCUUUUACCGACUUGGUAACGUUGUUAUGGAAGCAUGACAACUAUUAUGUCCGUGCAAUUUUUAUUGUAUCUUUUGUUAUGUCACGAUAUUGAAGCUUAGUUUUCUGACUCCAAUUACUAAGAACUGCAAUUGCAACAUCUUUUGAAUAUUACAUAUAUGCUUGUAGUAUCUCGACGGAUUAAAACCUGCUAUUUAAGUUCUUCUCCCCCACCCCCCGCCCUUCUUCUUUCAUUUAUACUUGCUGCACCAUUUACUUCACACUCUGUAAAGCCAAAUGAAAGCUUGUUCAUUUAUGUUCACUUGCAAUUCAAAAGCACAGUUUAUUUCAACUGUCAAAUUGACUAGUUGCACGUAUAGAUUUCAGUCGAAACAGGGUUAUUGGUCGAUCAAGAAAUUGAAUCCAUAUGGCCGUUCCAGCGUUAUUCAACCACCUAAUUUCAAAUAUAUAAAUUAAUUCAACCCACUUCUGUGUCAAAGGCGUGGAACAAAUUAUGAAAGAUUUUUCAGCUAUCAUAAAUUCGAACGGGUGUAGUUUGUAUCCUUUCGGACUUAGACAGAUUUUCCUUCCAUUAACCUUACAGUGUUAGUAAUCCUAUUACUUGUUUUUACAGCUUGAAUAGUAUACCGAAAUUUUUGGCUUUUGCAACAUAAACUUGUAUGUAAUGUACAUUUUAUUGUUCUUUACAAAUUAAUUGCUGCUAAAAUAAUUGUUUCAAUGGCAUGAUCUGCAUCCCCGGUUUGCCUCUUGGGCUACGAACCUGCUUAACAGCUGCACCAUCUUGCUCCUUUUCAUCGAACGGCAACUUCCCUACAGACAAAAAGACGGGGUACACGGUACACUGCCCAGGGUCACCAUAAACGCAGCCCAAAAAGAUGAUUUUGUCUUUCCAUGUCUUAGUAUUUUAACCAAUAAUAAUAAUAAUAAUUCUUUAUAUCAUCAAUUAUUGCACUUGUAAGCCAGGCAAUAGUAUUUUUAUUAAAUAAAAAAUUAAUGUCAAAAUUUAUUUAUUUAUUUAUUUUUUUUAUCUAGCUAUCAUUGACUUAAUAUUUUGAAUCUUCAUCCAAAGUUAAGGCACAAAACUUUUAUUCUAAAUAAAUAUUCUCAAUAUAAAUUUAUCACUUAAAUAAUAAAUAAUAAGAUUUAACAUUAAUUCUGUCGUUACUGAAAUGAAUUGUAAAUUUUAUAUGACAUGUAAACGUAUCAUUAUGUUCUUGAUAUUUGACAUAUGAAUUAUAAAGCAACAAAUGUAUCAUAUUUUUAUUUCGGUAUUGUGCUUCUCUAAAAGUAACCCUCACCAAAUUAGCUUAAUUCUUUUCGUUGUACUCAUUGCUUCUCUUCCUCUUUUCGUCAACGACAAUGGGUAACCUAAUCUCAACCUUCUUACCAGCAGACUUAUUUGAUCGUUUUUCAAACUGCGUUGGUGAACAAGCAAAAUAUGUAUGGGGUCUCGAAAAAAAUCUUCGGAUCUUGGAGACUGAAUUGCACAAAUUGACUCGAGCAAGGGCCGAUCUGAAGACCAGGGUUGAGGUCGAACAACAACGACCUCGAACCAGACGAACGAACCAGGUCGCAGGGUGGCUUGAAGAUGUGCAAAAUCUUGAAACUGAAUUUGCCGAGCUGGAACGAGUCAGAGCUCAAGAAAUGGAUAGAUUGUGCCUUGGAGGCCUCUGUUCCAAAAACUUCGUUUCAAGCUACAAUUACGGGACUAAGGUGGUCGAGUUGACGGAUCGAGUCAUCAAUUUAAAGAAAGACGGAGAAAAAAUUGAAGUCGUUGUUGAGAAGGCGCCGGAUGGUGCAGCAAUUGAAUUACCUCUUGAUCACACAGUUGUUGGUCAAGAACUAUUACUUGGUCAAGUUUGGAGAUGUAUCACUGAUCAGGAAAAGAACAGGGGAAUUAUCGGCUUGUAUGGUAUAGGGGGAGUCGGCAAAACUACCCUUUUAAAACAAGUCAACAACAACUUCUGCCAUCAACAGCAUAAUUUUGAUGUUGUUAUCUGGGCGGCUGUGUCAACACUUCAAGAUGACAUUGGAAAAAGGAUUGGCUUUUCAGAAGACAGAAACUGGCAGGAAAAAAGUCUUCAAGACAAGGCUAUGGACAUCGCUAGCAUUCUAAGCGGAAAGAAGUUUGUGUUGUUAUUAGAUGAUAUAUGGGAGCCCAUUGAUUUAACACAGUUGGGUGUCCCUCUUCAAAAUCUAAAUGAUGGGUCCAAAAUAGUCUUGACAACUCAUUCAGCUGGUUUUUGCGAUCAAAUGGACGCUAAAAAGUUGGAAGUGUCUAGUUUGGCACAUGAUGAAGCCUGGAAAUUAUUUCAGGAGAUGAUCGAAAGAUCCACUCUUGACAGUCAUACCAGUAUUCCAGGGCUAGCCGAAACCCUGGCAAGAGAGUGUGGUGGGUUGCCGCUGGCGCUUAAAACAGUGGGUCGAGCCAUGAAAAGCCAAAGGAAAGUUGGAGAUUGGGAACGUGCAAUUAAGAAAAUGAGAACAUCAGCUUCUAAAUUCUCAGGUAUGAAAGAAGAGGUGUUUUCGCGUUUAAAGUUCAGCUAUGAUAGUUUGUCUACGGACGAACUUCGUUCCUGUCUCCUGUAUUGUUGUUUAUAUCGUGAAGACUACGAAAUUCCUAAAAGGGAAUUGAUUGAUUACUGGAUUAGUGAAGGAUUUGUGUGUGAUUUUGAUGAUGGAUGCGAUUUUAUUGAUGACCUUCUUCAAGCAUGCUUAUUGGAGGAAGAAGGCGAUGAUCAUGUAAAGAUGCACGAUAUGAUUCGUGAGAUGUCAUUAUGGAUAGCGUGCACGGUAGACAAGGAGGAGCAGAACUUUCUGGUUCGCGCUGGAGUUAAAUUGACCGAAGCACCAAAGGUUGAAGAAUGGGAAGGUGCCAAACGGAUAUCUCUGAUGAAAACUGGAAUUCAAAGCCCAUCGGAAAUUCCCACGUGUCCUCGUCUCGUCACUUUUCUUCUGGAUGGAAAUUGGAUUGAGGAGAUUACUGAUGGCUUCUUUCGAUCGAUGUCUUCUCUUAGAGUAUUAAGUCUACGAAGAAAUCUUGCCCUAAGUAAACUACCUUCAGGGAUUUCAAAUUUGGUUUCAUUGCAUCAUCUUGAUCUAUCAUGGACUCGUAUACGCGGGUUGCCGCAGGAGCUGAAGGCGUUGGAGAAGCUGAGAUAUUUGAGCUUGGAGGGUACACGGCACUUGUCUAUAAUUCCACAUCAAUUGAUAUCUGGCUUUUCAAAGUUGGAGGUACUCAGGUUGCUUUGGUGCGGUCUCUGGAGCAGAAAAGAACAAGAAGAAGGUAGCGUUCUAUAUGAUGAUGCUGAACCUUUGAUGAAGGAAUUGCUGGGUUUGAAGCAUUUAAAUGUUUUAAGCUGGUCCUUGCACAGUUCACUUGCUGUCCAAAAGUUUUUGAAAUAUCCAAAGCUGUUGAGCAUCACUCAAUCUGUAGGGGUUUACUUCUGUCAAAGUCCACCGCUCAAUGUCUUACAUCUAGCAUACAUGGAGAAUCUUCAGGAGUUAGUCAUUUUAAACAGUGAUUUGGAAGAGAUGAAGAUUGACAGCGCAGAAGAGGUAAAGAAACUUUUUCGAAGUGGUUUCCGCAGUCUCAACACAGUUAGCGUAGAUUAUUGCCAAAAAGCGAAGGACUUAACGUGGCUUGUUUUUGCUCAAAACCUUAAGGAGCUGCGUAUAGAUUCUUGUUAUGAUGUGGAAGAAAUAAUCAGUGUUGAUAAAUUGAGUGAUAUUUCAGAGAUAAACGGGUCAGAGCAUAACUUUUUCGCACGACUCGAAUAUCUAACCAUGUGGCGGGGACCAAAUUUAAAGAGCGUUUACCCGAAUCCCCUGCCCUUUCCAAAGCUGAAGAAAAUUCAAGUAUUUCAUUGCCGACAGCUGAAGAAGCUCCCACUCAAUUCCAGCAGCGCGAAGGGACGUCGAGUUGUCAUCGAGGGAACGAAAAAAUGGUGGGAAGAACUACAAUGGGAGGAUCAAGCCACCCAAAAUGCUUUCUUUUCCUGUGCUGUACUUUGGGAGCAUCUUUAUUAUUAAUAUGUUUGAAUAUGUAUUUCCUUUUUUCUUUUUUUUCUUGCUAUAGAGUUGCAUGAUUGUGAUAUCCUUAUUAUUAUUAUCCUUUUUUUUUUUCACAUGAAGUUCAGUAACUACUUCCGAGAGUAAUAAGAUCCAACUCGUUUUUGGUUUGGUCAAAAACUUUUUGUGGCCCCAAAUCCUUUUUAACACCAGGCCAGGCAUAGCCACUUAGGCUUGUGGCUCAGUGGUAAAUCAUUGCCCUUAAAAUUAAGAAUGAUCCUUAUUAUUAAAAUGUUGGCAUAUUUAUGGAUUGGAAACUCAGAUGCUGAACUCAUAGUAAAUAUUUAGUUAAUUUGUUAUAAUUAUAUUUGGUAAAAAAAAUAAUUAAAUUUUUUUCUUUUCCUUUAUAGUGUGUUUACUUGUCAGUAAUCGGAAUGGGCUGGAAUUGGAAUGGGUUAGAAUCAGAAUAAACUGGAAUGAGAAUGAGGAAUAGGAAUCAAAAUAAGUUGUUUACUUGAACUGUAGGAAUUGGAAUCAGAAUGAGUUAGAAACCCAUUGAUGUGUUUACUUUAUCUAAGAAUCAGAAUUGGAAUCGGAAUAAGUUAAGUUGUUUUAAGUUACUAAAACACCCUUAGUUGUUAAUAAUAAUAAUAAUAAUAAUAGUUGUCCUUUGGUAUUAAUGAUAAUAAUAACAAAUUUAAUAAUAACAUUAGAAAGAAAUAAAUAAUAGUAAUAAUUAAUGAUAAUAAUGAAAUUAAAUAACAACUACUAAUACUACAAUAAUAAUAAUAAUAAUAAUAAUAAUAAUAACAUUAAUAACAAAUAAGCAAACAAUGAAAUAAUACAAACACCAAUCUAUAUAAUUUUAGUGUACAAUCAGUGGCCAAACAAUAUAAGAAAUUAAUAAUUUAAAAUAUAAAAUUAUAAUUCCCAAAACAAACAUCGUGCUCCUCUUCAACGGAGGUAGUAGAUCGCGACGGCAAACGGCGGCAGGACGAGCGCGACCACGGCGGCAACAGAUCGAUCGCGACUAAUCGCAGCAGCAGAUCGUGACGAACGGAAGCAGCAGAUCGCAACCUUUUGACACCCCCGCUAAGACCCUCCUUUAAAUUCCUUAUAACUCUUUAAUUAAAAUUAUUUAAAUAAUUAAAGAUAAAUUAAUUCCAUUUUAUUUUGAUUGAAAAUUUAAUUAAUACUUAAAUAAAAUUAUUCUUUUAACAUUUUUCCACCCACCUCAUAUUAUAUAUAUAUAUAUAUAUAUAUAUUAGAAACUUUUAAUAAUUUAUAAUCUUUUUAAGGUGAAAUUUAAUGAGAAGAUUAUUAAUUUUAAUUUAUGGAUUAGUAUUUUAUAAAUUAAACCAAGGUACUUUGAUAAAUAAAAAUUAAAACAAGUUUUAUAAGGAUUUUGGAGUGUAGGAAUUCAGAAUAUAGAUUUUCAUGGGGACGUUGAAUAUGCUGAAGCUGAAGCUAUGAAUUUUAGAAUAAAAAUGGCAAUAGACUUUGGUUUAAUGCCAUUAAUUGUUGAAUCAGACUCGAAGACUAUUUUAAACUUGGCGAAAGGUUUUGAAAGAACUAUGAAAGAAAUAUCAUGGUUAAUUUUCGAGAUUCGAAAUUGUAUGGUUGUGAAAGACCACUUCAAAAUCAAUCUUAUAUUGAGAAGUAGUAGUGAGACCGCUCAUAAAUUAGAUAAAUAUGAUGUUAAGAAUUUGGGCUGUGUAAUUUGGUUGGAGGAAAUUUCAACUCAUGUAAGUCUUUUUCCUUUAAGUGAUUAAUUGAAGCUUUCCAUUUCCAAAGAGAGAUAGAGAGAGAGAGAGAGAGAGAGAGAGAGAGAGAGAGAGAGAGAGAGCUCAACUCAAAUGAAAGUAUGAAACAAAGAGUAAAUCCUGAUAGCAGAAAAAUGAGCCAUGAGUAGAACUAUUCGCACCUUUGAAAGCCCUCAUAAAAGUCUUUAUUCAAUAUGUCCCGCUACAUCAUUCAAAAAAUAAUAUUAUUUCUAAGGGCAGAGCUAUUUGCACUCUAAAAUUAUUCUCAACGUUUUAUUACUAUAUACACUUAUUUAUUAAUUUGAAAAAAUGAACUAUAUUUUGUACACUCCUUAAAGUACCAAAAAUGUACUUAUUUAAUCCUUUUUAAAUUAAUUUACUCUAACACACUCAUGAAAACGCCUUACAUAUUCAAAAUAUUUCUCUAAACACUCUUUUAUCAUUAAAAUUUAAUUAUUUGGUUGUAUAAUAUAUUUCUCCAAUAAAUGAAGAAUGAUAAAGCAGCAACUAAAAAAAUCCAUCAAAAUAUUUCACCAAUGAAAAGAUCGUGAGAAAUAAACAUUAUAAUCCGAACAAAUAAAUCAAUUAACCAAUAUAUCAUUUAGCUAAAUAAAAGACGCAGCUUGCGCUUCAUAGUUCUGAGCUUAGAAUCAAGAAGAGAAGUGAAGAUGAAAUUUUUAAUUGCUGAGAAUAUGAUUUUGAGGUUGAUGGAGGACUUGAAAGAGAGGGAGAAGAAAGAAUGAUUCAGAGUAGGUGCCUGUGACCCUGAUGACGAUCUUCUUCAGUACAACUAUGAUGCCACUUCCACCUCCAAUUGAAUGUCAGAAAAUUCAAAGUUUGUCAAAAGAGGAUGGUAAAUUAAGCCCCCUUUUUUUUUUUAAUCUGGAUUUGGUUGAACAUUUUUAUGUCGCAAAAAUGUUUGCUGGGUUGUAAUGCCUCAGUUGCAGACUAGUUUGUAAGAGUCUGAAUAAUUGUCCAUGUUACACUGGUAUUGUGGAAUGGCAAGUAUUUUUUGGCCAAAAGAAAAAAAUCAAGCAACCAAUGUAAACUUGUUUAAUAUCAUCAUAAUAUAACUAAAAAGGAAGUAAUUAUAAUCAUACAAAAAAAAUUAAUAACUGCCAUGUCCUUAAUAGUAAUUUAAACCAUGGAUAUUAUUGUAAUAAUUUUUUUUAUAAAAUUAUGAGUAUUUAGUGUAAUUUUUAGAGGGGUGGGGCUAUUUGAACCCACUAAUUUACUCAAUAAACCCACUUUAAAAAUAAUUUUUUAUCAUUAAAAUACCCCUAAAUUAAAUUACAGUUAUGGACACUAGAAUAUAAUUAAAAAAAAAACAGAAUUUUUACUCUUUAAACCCAUCUUUAUAUUCAACAUAGUUUUAUAGAACCCUAAUCAAAUUUUCAUUAAACCCUAAUCAAUCAAGAGGUGAGAUUCUUCUCUCAAGCCAUAUAUAUUGUUAAAUAGGCACAUGUGAGUUGAUUCAGAAUAACAAAAUUAAUUGUUAUUGAUUUGAUGGAUAUUGAUUUUAUGGAGGAUUAAUUGUUUAAUUGCUAUGAUUCGUUUGGGAAUGACCCCUCACUCAAAAUUGUUUAAUUAGUAUUGAUGAUUAAAUUUUCAAUUAAUAAUCAAUUAUUGUUUUUUCCCAAAUUCUGAAAAAAAUAUUUUUUCUCAAAUUCCUCAUAUUAGAUUUUCAUACCAUCAUACAAGAUUUUUCUCACCACACUAUAAUAUAACUCAAAAAAAUAAUUUCAUGAUAACAACUAUUUUCUCCAUUUAGAAUGUUUUGAUUCAUUUGUCCUUGAACGAGGGCCAUUCACUCAAAAUUGAUUAUUAAAUUUCCAAUUAAUAAUCAAUUUCCAAUCUAAUGGGUUUAUAAAUGAACAUUAUGGGUUUAAUGAGUAAAAUUACUAUUAUUAUAAAAACUGGGUUUAGAAAGGGCAUAUUAGGUAUUUUAGUGGGUUUACUGAGUAAAAUUUAAAAUUUUAAAAUUUAAAGAUGGGUUUAUUUAUUAAAUAGGUUUAUUGAGUAAAUUGGUGGGUUCAAAUAGCCCCACCCUUUUUAGAGUGUAUAUAACCUCACCCUAUUUCUAAACCCACAUAGAUUGAUUCCAAAAACACCCUUCGCUUGCACACCAACCGCAUUUUCACAUUUUCUUCGUCUUGACGAACUUGAAACCCAAAUCUGAUGGCUUCAACUUUCGAAUAAUCAUUAUCUCCACUAGAACUUAUAAUUUUAAAAGGGGGUUCCCCUAUGAUGCUGUAAUUUUUUUACAACAUCAAUAAUGUUUUUAAUUGUGCACCAUUGGAUUUAAUCAACGGUACACAAUAUUUGUAGGCAAAAAUAAAAAUAAAAAAUAAUGGUAAACGGUUAACAAACGUAUAAGGGGUGGAGAAGUUUGUAAAAUAACUAUGACCACCCUUAGAGUUUGAAAUAAUUUCACUUAAAUAGCAUAUUUUAUUUAAAAUUAUUUUUCAAUCCCCCUUUAAAUUUGAAAUGUGAUAAUCUUUUUUAAAUAAAUCUUCCAAAAUCUAUUACCAUUAAGUAUAAAAUAUAAUGGUAGGUUAUUUAACACAAAUCAAAUAAAUAAGUUGCAAUUGCAAAAUUUAUAUAUGAUAUAACACUAAUAAAUAACACAACUAAAUACAUAUACUUAAGUAAAUGUCAUAGUUACAUCAAUAAACUCAUUGUUCAGAUUGCUUGUAACAUAAAAAUUACUUGAUCACACAUGUUUUAAUAAAAUUUAAUAUCGUAUAUUAAAAUACUAAUUAUUUUAUAAAACAGUAAGGGUCAUUGUAUAAUUGAUCAUGAAGUAUGUAUUAUUUUUAAUACCCAUUUAACAUACUUAUUUUCUUAACUUUAUAUUUAUCUUACAGUUAAUAUCCUUACAUGGUAGGAGUUUUAAGUUUUAUAAGCUUAUAUAUUUUCAUUUUAUUUUCAAAUAUCACUUUGUUAAUUUCAUAAAAGUUACUUUUGUUAUGAUAGUUAAUAGUGAUAAUAAAUAAAAUAUUGCCUUCAAUAAUAUUUACGUGGGAAAAAAAGUGAAAGAAAAUCGUUUAUAUUUUUAGAUUUUUAUUGACAUGGUAGGAAAUUAUCUCAGCCUUAUAAAACUUAACUUUCACAAGCUUGUUUUUAUUUUAUUUUCAAAUGUCACUUUGUUAAUUUCACAAAAGUUAAAUCUAACACAUAUUCCUAAUUAACUUUAGUUUAUGAAUCAUGAAAGAUUAUUUUAUUGUUAUUCUUUGAUAGUAAUUAUAAAAUUUAUAUGCUACGAAGAGUCAUUACUUUUAUUAUGAUAAUUAAUAGUGACAAUAAAUAAAAUAUUACAUCAAAUAAUAUUUAAUGGACAAAACGAGGAAAAAAAUCAUUGUAUGUUUUUAUAUUUCCAUUAUAAAGAUAUGGUUUGUGAUACUUUAACUUAAAAUUUUGGCACAAUAUUUGAGCCACUAAUAUCUCAUAUUCUAAUGGUUGAUAUUGAAAGUCAAAGCAUCAUUUUAUAAUGUUAUAUCCUCCACCAUUGAAUAGCAUGAAAUAAAUAGUUUAAUUUUUUGAUAAAAAUUUAAAUCAAAAUAUUUCUCACUCUAUAGUUAUAUAAACAUAUAUAUUUUUCAAUAAUAAUUGGUGAAUAAAAUAUUUCUCAUUUGCUGUGACUCAUAUAGUAUUAUUAAUAAAACACAUAUAAAAUAGUUUAUUGCAAUACUUUCUAUUAUCAUUAUUGUUUAGGUAUUAAUGGUUUGUAAUUAAAUUCAUACAAUACAAAUUAUUACAAGACUUUGUGUUAAAUAGCCUACUUGAUAUUAUAUUUUAUACUUAAUGGUAACUGAUUUUGGAAGAUUUAUUUAAAAGAAAUUAUCAUAUUACAAAUUUAAAGGAGGGCUGAAAAGUAAUUUUAAAUAAAAUAUACUAUUUAAGUGAAAUUGUUUCAAACUCUAAGGGUGGUCACAAUUAUUUUACAAAAAUUAUCUACCCACUUGAACGGUUACCAUUAUUUUUAAAUUUUUUUUUAGUACAAAUAUUGUAUACCAUUGAUUAGAUCUAAUGGUUCACAAUUAAUACAUUAUUGAUGCUGUAAAAAAAUUUACAGCAUCAUAGAGGAACCCUUUUAAAAGCAAUUUCCAUAAUAUUUUCAUUAGAAUUUCUUAUAACAACAUCCAACAUUGGUUAUUGAUAUUUUAAGGUUUCAUCUUAAAUAAUAAUAACAAAAUAAUUAAAUUUUUAUCAAAAUUUAAGGAAAUACAUUGUGCUAUGAUAAACAAGGAAUGUCAACUAAAUAUCGUCAAAAUAAAUAAUAAAAUUUUAAGUCGAGUUUUGGUUUCACAUAAUUGUAAUUAUGGAGACUAGUUAUUCGAAUAAAAUUUAAUUUCUUCUGUUUAUCAUUGUAAAUUUAAAUAGGGAUAAGUGCAUGAUUAUAAAGGCAGGGUUUGAUAAGGAUUUUUUGGAGGUACCAAUAGGACCACUCAUGGGCCAUGACAAAAUUAAGCCCAUGCAAGGCCCACCUAAUCCAUUUUUACAUUUAGCCUGAAGAAUAAGACGAUAAUAAACAAUAGGCCUAAAUAAUAAGAUGAUAUAAAAGUAAGAAUAAUGUUAAGAUACCAAUUUUUUAGUCUUAACUUCUUAUGUCUUAAUGUCACACGUCAUUCAUUUAUUAGACGAUAAAUUUUAUAACUUGUAAAAUUAUUUAACCACCAUCUAAUAAAUGAUUGCCAUAUCUAUUGAAAUUUAAAUUGAAACUUAAAUUUUAGAAUGCUUAGCAUUGAGCUGAAUCUAAACGAUUUCAUUUUCUAUUAUUGUUAUUUUAUUUUAAUUUUUUUUCACAAUCGGAUUUUUCUUUGAGACAAUAGAAAGCCUUUUGGCUUUAAGCAUGUAUAGUAAAUUGAAAAAAAAAAUUAUCCAUGAGUUUCUGAAAACCAAUUAACUUCAAAAUCUCUUCCAGCGGUAGGAGGAACAUCUUCAAUAACUUUUUCAUGGCCUUUUGGGUAAUAAAUCCCAGUUCUUUCAUGAGGAACCCAGCCACAAUUCCCUUCAUUUUCUCCCACAUUAUUAUUCAUCUGCUGGCUCCUCAUCACAUUUCCCUCUUCUGCAUUGGAUUUCAAUGUCGUUUCUCUCAUUAUAUCAUGAGAACUUGCUUUCCUUGGAAAAGAUUUUUUCAUAAUUGGCCUGUGUGUUUGAAAAGCAUUUAACAAAUUAACAACACAAAAACAAAAGACUAGAAGAUUCAAAUGCUCAAAGGAAUGAAAGUAAUCUUUUUUAUUGUGAGGAUAGUGGCGAAAUCAAGAUUUUGGUUCGACAAAUGUCAUCAAUAAUAGAGAAACAAUAAAUUUAAGUAGGUUAUAACACAAAAAUAUAAAAAUAAGAGGGCUACAAAAUAAAAUUGUCAAGACACAAAGAUAUAUUUAAUUGAAGACUUUCAUAUUUCUUGAAUUUUUUUUCAACAUGGAGCCUCUGUGGAGAACUAUUGAUUCAGUUAAUAAAACAUUUAAUUCUAUUUACUUAACCAACCACUCAUAAUUAGUAAUUAGAUAAUUUGAAACUAUUAGGCCUAUUUCGAACGAACUGUUUCAUAAUAAAAUCAAUUUAAAUAAAGUGAAAAGAUUUAUUUACAAACACACCAUGCAAUAACAUAGAUUCUAUAAUGAAGUGAGAUUGUCAAAAUGAAAUCAUGAAAUUGCAAUAUAGAUAGAUAAUGGAAACAUUACUUGAAAAACAUAGAAUUAAAGGUGGGAGCUCCUCUAGCAAACGAUCCUGUCAUUUUUUUCCCCCUUUUUUCUCUCACUUUCUCUCUUUCCAAACAAUGUGGGUGGAUUGAAUUGAAUUAUGAUUUAGAUAGAGAGCUCUUUGUAUAGUGAAGUUAAAUAAGAGAAUAUUGUUAUCCAUUUCUCGGGUCCGCCUACGUUACAUGUAGUGUAACGUACACUCAGCCUGUGAAAUUUCAUCUAGCCCCUUAUACUUUCUGUUAUUUAUAUUUUAUUCAUAAAUAUUAUAAAUUUUUUGAAAUGUACAAUUUUGUUUAACCCCUUAUACACUCAAUUUUAUUUUAUUAAAACCCUAGAGUAUGAAUUCGCCCCUAUAAUAUUAAAUUCUCAAAAUAACCUCUAUUUAAUUAAAAAAUAUAAUUAUUGUUAAAUGAAUUAUAAUUAUAAUUAUUAUUUUAUUAUAAUCAUAAAUAUUUUUUUAAUAGAUUAUUGUUAUUAUUAAUAACAAGAAUAAAAAGCAUUAUAAUUAAUCUAUUAACAAUAAUUAAUAAUAUUUUUUUAUUAAAUUGUUAAUAAUAAUAAUCAAUGAUAAUUAAUAUAUUUAUGAUUAUAAUAAAAUAUGAAAGGAGAGCGGAGACUUUUAUUUUGAAUAAACUAGUUCCGAUUAACAUAUUUAUGAUUAUAAUAAUAUUUUUUGAGUUGUUUGGGCAAGGGGGUCUCAUGCGUGUGUGGACUUUUAGGCUGCCAGGAGAGCGGAGGCUGGAAAAAUACCUUGCGUUUAGAUAGUGACUUGUGUGUGAGUAAUAACAAUUUUUAUUAUAAAAAUAAGUUUUAUACCAAAUAUUAAAAAAAAUCUAGAUAAUCAUUAAUUAUUAUUAUUAUUAACAAUUUAAUAAAAAAUAUUAUUAAUUAUUGUUAAUAGAUUAAUUAAUUAUAAUGCUUUUUAUUCUUGUUAUUAAUAAUAACAAUAAUCUAUUAAAAAAUAUUUAUGAUUAUAAUAAAAUAAUAAUUAUAAUUAUAAUUCAUUUAACAAUAAUUAUAUUUUUUUAAUUAAAUAGAGGUUAUUUUGAGAAUUUAAUAUUAUAGGGGCGAAUUCAUACUCUAGGGUUUUAAUAAAAUAAAAUUGAGUGUAUAAGGGGUUAAACGAAAUUGUACAUUUCAAAAAAUUUAUAAUAUUUAUGAAUAAAAUAUAAAUAACAGAAAGUAUAAGGGGCUGGAUGAAAUUUCACAGGCUGAGUGUAUGUUACACUACAUGUAACGUAGGCGGACCCCCAUUUCUCUCAUCUCUAGGGAGGUCAUUUAUUGUUCCCGUGUACGUCAUUUUCUGUUUCGAUAAAUAUUAAAUUAUAAUACUCUUUCUUGAUCAUUGGGGAGCACUCAUUGCAGAGCAUGGCCUUCUUUUGUUCCCUUUUGUUUUGUUUUUGUUUUUUAGUCAUCUAAGUUAUGGGACAUGGCUUGUGGACUCAGCUUUUAAAAACUUUCCCUAGGUAAGUAGUUGAAUCUAGGGGAGGUACUUUUUAGUCAUAACGAGAUUACACGAUAUAAAAUGAGAUAUAGAGGUGGAUUCACCUCAUGAUUAGUGGGACAGAGAGAAUAGUUAAAAAAAAUUAUUUGAGUUAUUAAUUAAUUCUGUUGAAUAUAUUAAAAUAGGCAAGUUAAAUUUAUAAAAAUAGUCUCAUAAAUUUAAAAUUUAUAAAAUUUUAACUUUGAGAAUUACAAAAACCAUACUUUAAUUAAAAAAUAAAAGGCUAUGAGGUAACCCAUAUAGGUGGUUUUACUAUUAUUUAAUUUAGUUUCCAUUAAAUCUAUAAAAAUAAUUUAUUUAAACUCAUCAACCUAUAAAAUUUGAGUUUUCGCGUCGUGUCGUUAUAUAAUUUAACCAUCAAUAAAUUAUUUUUCUGAAUCCACCACUGAUAACAUAAAUAUAAAAAAAUUAAGUGCUCGAUUUACCUCACGCAAAUAUGACAUAAUAUUUUCGUUAAGUGUCAGAAAAAACUUAAAAAUGGUAGCCAAUUAAAUAAACUAUGACCAUUGACAAAAAAUUAAUGAAAUUGUAACAGAUAUACAAAAAGAUUUUAAAAUCCUUUUGCCCUUAAGUUGAUAUAAGAUGAGUCGUUAAUAAUUGCACGUGCAAACAUCGUAUAUUCUUUAUAAUUAAUUGUGCAGAUUUUGAUGACCAAUGCACCAAAACCACAUGGUAAAAAUCUCCUUAAUGUUUCUGUUUUGUGAAAGUUGCUGAAUCAAUGUCAUGACGCUAAUUUUCAAAGCAUGAAAAUAGAAUGAAAUUAAAGAAACCAUAGUGAUGUAUCUUGUUUGCAUACUGGAAUGUGAAAAAACUUGUUUUCAUUUCUUAAAAUAAAACAUUAUACACUGAGAGUUAUUUAUAGAUGCAGAGACUACAUUUUGUCAAAGUUUACAUAUGUGAAUACGGAAGGAAAUGUGUCAAUCCGUUCGGCGCGGAUCUUGUCUUUGACAAGUGCAGAUUAUCCCUUUGACAAGUGCGGAUUAUGUCUUUGAAAACUUCAUUCAAUGCCGUUUUAUUUGAUUCUCAACACUCCCCCUCAAGCUGGUGCAUAGAUGUCUUGCAUACCCAGCUUGUCUAGGAAUUUUGUAAAUGCCCUGCUUGAAAUGGCCUUCGUUAAAAUAUCUACAAGUUGAUCUUCUGAUCGAAUUUUCAGCAGUUCUAAGAUUUUUUCAUCUAAUUUCUCCUUGAUGAAAAAUCUAUCUAUCUCGACAUGUUUUGUUCGAUCGUGUUGAACUGGGUUAUGAGCAAUAUCUCGUGCAGCUUUGUUGUCACAGUAUAGUUGUAUUGGUUGUUGUGAUGGAUAGCCCAAAUCGUUUAAGAUAAAGCUUAUCCAUAGCCCUUCACAUACCCCAAGGGCCAUGCCUCGAUAUUCUGUUUCAGCGCUCGAACGGGCAACGACAUGUUGUUUCUUGCUUCUCCAUGUGACAAGGUUGCCUCCCACAAAGGUAAAGUGUCCUGAAGUAGAGCGUCUAUCACUAACUGACCCGACCCAAUCUGCAUCAGUAUAAACUUCUAUGUUGCUGUAAUCUUCAUUUUUGGAAAAUAGGAUUCUUUUUCCUGGAUUUGUCUUCAGGUACCUCAGGAUCCGCAUUACUGCUUUAAUGUGUUGUUCUCCGGGAUUAUGCAUAAACUGACUUACAACACUCAAUGCAUAAGCAAGAUCUGGCCUUGUGUGCGACAAGUACAUCAAUCUUCCAAUCAGUCUUUGAUAUCUUCCUUUGUCUACUGGAACUUGGUCUGAGGUAAUACAAAACUUCAGUCCUUCUUCUAUUGGGGUGUCAAUAGGCUAACAAGCUGUCAUUCCCGUUUCGUGCAAUAGAUUUAAGGCAUAUUUCCUUUGAGACAGAAAGAUUCCUCCCUUAGAUCAAGAAACCUCAAUUCCAUGAAAGUAUUUUAAGGCUCAUAAAUCCUUCAUCUCAAACUCUCUUGACAAGUACUUCUGAAGAGCCUAUCUUUCUUCCUCGUCAUUGCCUGUAACUACCAUAUCAUCCACAUAGACAAUAAGGACAGUGAUUUUACCUUGUCGUUUUUUAAUGAACAAAGUAUGAUCUGAACUGCUUUGGUUAUACCCAAAAAGAACCAUAGCCUUUGUGAAUUUCCCGAACCAUGCUCUUGGGGAUUGCUUCAACCCGUGUAAUGAUUUCUUCAAUUUGCAUCCUUUCUGAUUGAGUCGUUCUAGUCCACUGCAUCCUAGUGGCAGAUCCAUAUAAAUUUCUUCAGAUAGGUUUCCAUAGAGGAAAGCAUUCUUUACAUCAAACUGUUGCACUGGCCAAUCCAAGUUGACUGCUAAUGAUAAUAAGAUAUGAAUAGUAUUAAUUUUUGCUACCGGUGCAAACGUAUCGGAAUAAUCUAUUCCGUAGGUUUGAGUGUAACCCUUAGCUACGAGUCUUGCUUUGUAUCGUUCAAUAGAGCCAUAUGCUUUGUACUUUAUAGUAUAGAUCCAUCGGCAACCCACUGGUUUCUUUCUUGGUGGAGAUCAACUAGUUCCCAUGUUGGAUUUUUCUGAAGAGAUCUCAUUUCAUCAUUCAUAGAUGCUUUCCACUUUGGGUCUUUUAAGGCUUCUUGCACACUGUUAGGAAUAGAUACAGUAGAUAAUUGAUUCACAAAUGACUGAUUUGAUUCUGACAAGCGAUGGUUAGACACAAAAUGACUCAUAGGGUAUUUGACUCUGCUAGAGAAGUCAAGCUCAUAUGUGGUUUUAGGGAUACCUCUAUUUUGACGCUGGGGAAGAAUUCUUCUGAUUGGACUUGUGGUAGGAACAUCCUCUGCAGACGAUUAGUUAGGUAUUUCUUCAUGUGACUCAUUCUCGAUUGCAGUUGUGUCUGAGUUAUUGUGCUCCCCAAAUGUGUCUUCACUUAUCUCAGCCUGAGAAUCAUCACCAUUAUCUUUUCCAGUAUCUUGAAGGUUUACUAUCUCAAUGGAAAAUUGACCUUCUUCAAGUGGAAGAUGUGUAAGAGUAUGAAUUUCCUCUUCAUUAUACUCCCCCUGAAAUUCAGGCUCUGACAAGUAGUACAUGAUAUCUUCAUGAAAGACGACAUCUAUGGUGAUGUAUAUUUUUCUUGAUGGUGGAUGAUAGCAUCGGUAUCCCUUUUGAUAUAAGGCAUACCCUACAAACACACAACGUAGUGCUCGAGGAGAUAAUUUGUCUUGUUGUGACAAAUGAACAAAGGCAACACAGCCAAACACAUGUGGGGGUAAAUUCGGCAAUAAGAUAGUGGCAUGUGGGCUUGGAAAGGAGUCUGGAAUCCAAGAGAGCUUGAAGGUGUUCGAUUGAUCAAGUAUGUUGCGGAUGCCAGUGCUUCUCCCCAAUAAGAUAGUGGCAUGUGGGCUUGGAUUAGUGAUGCUCGAACAACUUCUAGUAAAUGUCUGUUUUUUCGUUCAGCAACGCCAUUUUGUUGGGGUGUCCCCACACAAGUGGUUUGAUGGACAGGUCCUUGUGAUUUCAGAAACUGUUGAAUUGUUGUGCUCAUAUACUCGUCUCCAUUAUCAGUAUGUAGAACUCGAAUUUGUGUCUGAAAUUGAGUCGUCACCAUCUUAUGAAAUCUUUGAAAUAAAGAGUUUACUUCGUCUUUUAAUUUCAUCAUAAAAAUCCAUGUCAUUCUGCUACAAUCAUCAAUAAAUGUAACAAACCAACGAGCACCUCCAAUUGUAGAAACUUUAGAUGGCCCCCAUACAUCAGAAUGUACUACCAUGAAAGGAACUGGAUUUUUAUUUAAGGAAAAUGAAAAAGUAGUUCGAUGGUUUUUUGAAAGUUCACAAACAUCACAUUUAAAGUUACAAAUAUCAAAUUUCAGAAACAAACUAGGAAAUAAUUUUUUUAAGUAACCAAAUGACAUAUGCCCUAAACGUUUAUGCCAUAACCAAAUUUCUGAUUUCCCUUUUUUUAUGGAACUAUCUGCGACUAGUACGGGGAUUAGCUUUCCAGUGUUUGUUGAUGACAUCUCCAAGUAGUACAAGUUGCCUCGUCUAAUACCAUAACCAAUCGUUUGCUUCAUUUGAAUGUCCUUAAACACACAAUGAUCAGGCCAAAAACUUACAACACAUGAUAAGUAAGUUGUUAAUUGAGACACAGAUAAAAGAUUAUAAUCUAAAGAUGGAACAAUUAACACAGAGUCUAAAUUUAAUUCAUCUGUGAGUCGUAAAGAUCCUUCCCCAAUAACUAAGGUUGUGGUUCCAUUUGCAGUGGAAAUAUGUUUUUGUGAAGAUGGUUUCAAUUGAGAAACUUGUUGAGAAUCAAAAGUCAUAUGAUCAGUUGCCCCAGAAUCAAUUAUCCAUGUACUAUUAAUAACAGGUGUAAGAGUUUUAAGGGCCUUACCUGGACUGACAGAGGUUGCGAUUUGCACUGAAGAUUCUUUUCUAAGAUCUGUAGUGGAUGUGGAUUCAGCUACUGCAGUUUUUUAUCCCUGCUUGGUGUUCUUCUUUCGAGUAUCCCACCAGUCAGGAUAUCCAAUGAUUUCAAAAUAUUGUUCUUUCGUAUGACCCUUCUUUCUACAAUGAGUUCAAUGGAGUGAUGACUUGUCAACAAGCUUCCUUUAAGGCUGCUGUCGUGCUAUCAUAGCAGACGUUUCUGAGUCGACCUUCUUAUUUAGUUUGCUUUGCCGUACAUCUUCUCUUCAGAUAAGAGAAUAACAUUCUUCUAAGUCUGGGAUAAUAUCUUUUCGUAGAAUUUCUCCACGAACUUGGUCAAAUUCUUCAUCUAGCCCAGCAAGAAAAAUGUGCACUCUCAAUCUUUCAACAGACCUUCUGUAUAUUACAACAUCUUCUGGAUCCUUCAUGACCACUUUAUCUCGGUGAUCAAGUUCUCGAAAUAUUUCAAUCAAUUCUCCGUAGAAUUUAGAGAGUGGUUGUCCAUUUUGCUUGAUUGAGAAUGCCUUCUGAUUUAGAGUGAAAACUUGUAAUUCAUCGCUUCCAUCAUAGAAGGCUUUUGAUAAUGCAUCCCAAAUUUCGUAGGCUGUAGGAAUUCGUAAAUAUCGCUUCAUGAUCUCCGGAGACAUGGAUAUGAGUAACCAUCUUUUCACUUUUUGGUUCUCACUAUACCAUUUCUCAUAUUCCUUUGAAGAUUCCUCAGAUGGCUUUGUGUAGCUACAAAUAUAUGAGAGUUUUUCUCUUUCUGCAAGAUGCAUCUCCAUUAUUUGAGACCAAACAUCGUAGUUUGUCUCAAUGAGGAUAAUUCCAGCAUUAAAUACUCCAUCAGAUUGAACAGAUUGAAUGACAACAGGAGCAGAUUCAGUUGGAGUUUUCUCCAUUUUUUUGUUUUUUUCUUUUCUUUUUUUUUUUGUUUUUUGUUUUUUAUUUUUUUAUUUUUUUAUUUUUUUUUUUUUGCGUCUAGAUUGAAAGAAGAAAAAAAAUAACCUUUUUAGAUCAAAAAACGACAAGUUGUUUGGCCUCUGCUUGACGAAACGAUAUGUCGGCUCUGAUGGAAUAGAAACGACAUGUCGUUUUAGGACUGCUGCACUCUGGAGAUAAAAAACGACAUGUCGGUUGAAGUCUUCUUCAACCUCUGGAGCGCGUGAGAGCGCGUAAAGAUGACAGAGGCGCGUGGUUGAUUGGCCGUGGUUUCGGGUGGCGCGUGGAAGCGCGUGGGUAUGUGUUUAAAUGCGAAAUUUUUACAGUUUACUUACUGGAAACUGAGAAAUUUGAUGGUAUUCUUGGUUUUUGAGGAACACACUCUUGGAAAAUUGAUAGGAUUGUUGAUAAAUUUGUAAACUCAAGUUUUUUACGUAUGGGUGGCUUGUUUUUUGAUCGGCAUGGAUUUCGGAAAUGGUAGGAAUGGUUGUAAGGAAGAAAAUUGUGGGAAAAUGGUUGUGGGAAGAAUUUGGUUUCCUCUGUUUUUGUUACAAAUAGAGCAGUGAAACUGGAAGAAACUUGAGCGUAUUCAUGGCUCUGAUACCAUGAAGAAACUUGUUUUCAUUUCUUAAAAUAAAACAUUAUACACUGAGAGUUAUUUAUAGAUGCAGAAACUACAUUUUUUCAAAGUUUACAUAUGUGAAUACGGAAGGAAAUGUGUCAAUCCAUUCGGCGCGGAUCUUGUCUUUGACAAGUGCAGAUUAUCCCUUUGACAAGUACGGAUUAUGUCUUUGAAAACUUCAUUCAAUGACGUUUUAUUUGAUUCUCAACAUAAUGAAAUGUUGAUAUCGGCAAAUCUAGGAUGUAAACUAAGGUUCACAUAAAAAAAAAAAAACUAAUAAUAAUAAUAAUAUUAUUAUUUUAAUCCAUGAAUAGAAAAAGGUUGUAUGCUCAUCAACCCAUUGCAAACUUUUGGCUUAAGAUUAAUAUGAGUAAUACAACACAGCUAUAUCAUAUCCCUAAACUUGAAAAUUAUUUAAAAAGGACCAUGUCUUGAUGAGGAUGAUAAAAUUAGCAAGGUUUCUAUUUUAUAAGUGUCUUCAACAACAGCUCAAAAACUUGCCUCCUCGGUUGUUGGUCGCCUCAAGAAAUAUCGCAAACUGUUAGCAAGAACCUGCAAAUUUGAUCAAGCAAAGUCUAAUCAGUACAUCAACGAUCGUGCAAGUCUUCAGGCGCACCGUGUGAUCAUUAGCACGUUAAUGUUCUUACCGCCCACUUCAAAGUUUAAAUUCAAAUCUUUUAUAUAAGAACAGUUUUGCAACUAGAAUACCGAUUUUGAGUAGAAAUGGUAAGUCUCUUUAUUCUUCAGAGCAAACAAUCUAUAAAGCAAUUUCCGAUGUCCUAUAUGUAGGCCUGUUUUUUUUACCUGUUGGAGAGGCUUGAUAAUGGCUUCACCCUUGUAGCUGACAUGAAACUUUGCCUUAGCCAACAACCCCUGGGUGCGAAAACAAAAAUUAGAACAAAAUAUAUUAAUAAGGGAAGGCCACUCUUUUGUCAAUAUAUAUAUAUUAAUAAGGGAAGUGGGACGUUAUCCUUCCCAUAAUAACUCAUAUACAUAGUUUUUAACAUUCAUGACAACAUGAUAUUAAUUUCAAUGGCAGGCAAAUUGAAUAUAAUGUCUUUAAAGAAAAUGAGGAUAAAAGGGAAGUAAUAUUUGGCCUAAGAGAACUCUAAAAACAACUUAGUUUCCUAUUCAAAUGAUCCACUAGUGAGAAGAGCCAAAAAUAUCAAUAAUCUGAAAAAUCAAAAUAAGACCAGAAAGCAAAAACCUGUUGUUUUGGAGGAUCAACGCCAAAGGCAACACCCAUUGCCAACUGGGAACUUCAUUCCUGAUUCCAUCACCAACACAAAUGGAAUAAACUUUUCAAUAAGAGAAUACCUACAGGUGCUCCACCAAGUGAUAUCUCAAGAGAGACAAAAAAAUGAUUACCGGGUGAUACUGAAGUAGAUUGUUUAUAACUGUCAAACGAAUUGCCUCAAGCACCUCAGGAUCAUCAACUUUCCUACCAGUAUCACUGCACACAAGCAUCAUGACCAAAUUAAUCAAAACCACAGUGGGAAUCUAUUGCAAGAACUUCUCCAAAAAACAGCGAUGGCUCUUUGGAUCAUUGAUUUUAGGUUCUAGUAUGUCUAAAAUUUUAACGAUUUCAACAUUAGUUAUAAACAUCUAUUUGCAACAGACUGAUCACACUUGUAUAUGGAGCAUCAAAAGUAGGUAUUUACUAUGCUCAUCAAAUAUAGACCAGAAGACGUUGACAACAAUUAAAGGAUAUUAGUGAAUGAAACUGCAAGCAGAGAAUAUAAAUCAGCUCAGUAAUGCAAGGGCAUGAAAAGCAAAAUGCAUAUGCAUCACAAAAUUACAGAGAUAUAUAAUUUCGCAGUCAUAUGAUGAUAUUGCAGCGGUGAAGCCGUGCGUGAGGUUAAGGCAAGUGAUGGAAUGACUUGCGUUACAAAAGAGGUAUGUGAAGUUGCACUAUAAAAAUAAAAUAAAUUUGUAUUUUCAAGUAGUGAGGUUAACGUGGCUUGUUUUUGCUCAAAACCUUAAGGAGCUAUAUAUAAAGUUUUGUAAUGAUGUGGAAGAAAUAAUUAGUGUUGAUAAAUUGAGUGAUAUUUCAGAUAUAAUCGGGUCAGAGCAUAACUUUUUCUCACAACUCGAAUAUCUAUUCAUAAGGUGGGGACCAAAUUUAAAGAGCGUUUACCCGAAUCCCCUGCCCUUUCCAAAGCUGAAGAAAAUUGAAGUACGUGGAUGCCCACAGCUGAAGAAGCUCCCACUCAAUUCCAGCAGCGCGAAGGAACGUCGAGUUGUCAUCGAGGGAGAGAAAAAAUGGUAGGAAGAGCUACAAUGGGAGGAUCAAGCCACCCAAAAUGCUUUCUCUUCCGGUGCCGUAAUUAAUGAGGGUCCUUUUCAUUAAUAUGUUUGAAUAUGUAUUUCUUUUUUUUUUUAAUUUUCAUUAGAUUUAAUUGCAUCUUGUUCUUGUUGUCUGGUGUGUCAAUCGUUCCCUAUUUUCAGUUAAUAAAAUUUCAGCAGUGGAUUCUUGGUUUAUUAAUGUUUAUAUAACUGAAUUGUUCAGCAGAUGUACUCUGCAUAUGUACUCUGCACAACUAACACAGAAAUAAACACAGAAAUAAAUAUAUGUAAGUGGGUACAGGACUGACUCUGCUUCUGGCUGCGAAUUGCAAAUAAAAGAAGCCGAUAUAUUAAACCCAACUGACAUUAUUAUUGCAAAUAAGAGAAGUUAAUACAUUGUCUACCCACUCUGCAGACUGUCAACAAAUGUUCAACCACCACAAAUGAAAAAAUGGAACUUGAUUUUUGUCUAACCAAAUACAAGCCAAACAGGAUUUUGCGCAGAUAUUCUACCAGCAAAUUCUAAAUCCUCUUUGACAUAAUCCAUCUUAGAAUAAUUGCUCCUUACUUCAUCUCUGAAACCAAACUCUUAGCUCUUGCUUUUCUAAUAGGUUGCAGGCCGUUUUAGUAGACACCCCAUGAAAGGAUCGGCUAGAGUGUAAACAAGCAUUGCCCCUUCCUUGGUUGCUUGCUUUACUAUCUCCAUCAACUGCUCAACAUCAUUAAAUUAACAAAAUUGUUGCAAUUACAAUAUGUCAGUGCUCACAUUUUAGCUGAUUAAAUUAAAUGAGGUUUCAACAUUAAGCAAAACAAUCCAGAUUAUAAUAAUAAAGCAUUUCCUCUAGUACACCAACAACAAUUAUUGUUUUCUGUGAUCAAAUCACAUACAGAAAAUAACUAAAUUGACAAGAGUUGAACUGAAGAGUCAGCUUUCCAAUUUUCUACUUCUACAAUUUUAUUCGGAAUAAAGAAAAACAGCCUAAUAUAGAAGGGAAAGAAAUAAAAAGUUCAGCAUGGUCAAAUGGGUCAAUUUUCAUCCUCCCUUUACUGCUCCACUUUGCUCAAUCAAGUGGAUUUACAUUCAAUUCUUGAGGAUUUGAAUUAAAAAAACAAAAAAAAAAAAGCAACAGUUUAUAUUCAUCUAUAAGCGGGCUAUGUAAAGAUCAAGGUCUGUGUCUGUAAAACUUAAGUCUUCCGGCUUCAAAGGAGAAUGAGGCAAAAGCUGAACAUUUGUGGAGUGAUAUAAAAAAUUUGUGGUUCUGGAUCCAUUUCACAUUAGGCAUUGUAAUGUUUAUGGAUGGUAUACAGGAUGUCACGAAUAGUUAAACGAAGAAGGUAUUUGAUUGAAAUGCGCAGAUGUUCGAUGAAAUGUAUCUGCGUUUCAGCCUCAGCGGAAAUUGUUGUGAGUGUGUGAUGGGUAUUUCAAAAUAUUGAAUCCAAGACAAUUGAAUUUGAAUUAAAUUGAAGGAGUUUAAAUUUAAUUAACUAAAGUUAAUUGACUCAUUUUUAAUAAUGUUAAAAUUUGGUUAGAGGAAGUUAUGGUAGUUAAGAAAAUAAAAUUAAAAGAAGUUGAAGUGGAUUAAAGAGAGAUAAAUUAAAUGGAGGCUAUUCAAAGAUGUAUUUGGAACAGACACCGUUAAUUUAUAAAUAGUAGCCUACAUAUUAUUAUUCGAUAUUGAUUUUUUCUCUACCACUUCUUCAACUCUACUUCUUCCAUAUUCCAAAUACUAACACAUAAAUCAUCAUAUUUUAUAUUUAAUUAUUUGUUAUUCCAAAUUGUUGUAUUGAGUGUGCACUAAUACAAAAAUUACAGUUGUAUCCUAGGAACUAUCUAUCAACAAUCUAUUUGUACCAAAAUAUUAUUUUGAGAGGCAAAAACAGUCUCAAAAACAGCGUAUACCACAUCUUAACUCUUACUUAUUUUAUUCAUAACCAUAUCAUAUUUUUUUGCAAUAUCUUAUUUAUUAUCUUAAAUUUUUACAACUAUCUUAAGAUUAGUUCUUAUGGAUGUUGUAACUAAUGCUGCAAUGAUGGCUGUCGCUAAAGCUCUACUUGACACACAAAAACUGAACGUUUGAUAGGAAUUUUCUAAGGCAAUGGCAUGAUCAUAUCUAUGGCACAUUGGAUGUAAUGAAUUAUGCUUAAUUUCUAUAGAGCCUCCACCAGAUUCUGAAUCUAAAAAUUAUGAGGUAUCAUAUCAAAAUUAGACUAAAGCAAAUAAGAUAUGCUGAAGUACCAUUCUGAACACUGUUUCAAAUGAGUUAUAUGAUGUUUGUUCACAACACAAGUUUGUGUAUGAAAUUUGGACUUAAUUGCAUAAAAAUAUAUCAUAGAAGAUGCUGGAGCCCAAAAAUAUUUAAUUGCUAAUUUUUUAGAUUUUAAGAUGAUAGAAGAUAAGGAAGUGACUUCUCAAAUUCAUGGAUUCCACAUGCUUAUUAAUGAUUCGAAAAAUGAAAAUAUAAAUCUUCCUGAGUUUUUUGUGGUUGGUUACCACAUUGAAAAAUUGGCUGACUCAUGGAAGGAUUAUUAGAAAAUAACAAAGAAAAUAAUAAGCACAAAAUGAAAGCAUAAGAAUUUGGAGGAUGCUAUUGUUCAAAUCCGAAUUGAAGAAAAACAUAGACAAAUGGAUCAAUUGGAGAAAGCCAAGGAAAUUACUUUUAAGGCUAAUUUGAUUGAGAAUGAGGCUCAUCCAAGCAAGAAUCAAAACCCUAACAACAACAAGCUUUUCAAAAAUAAAAAGAUCACAUUAAAAAAAAAAAAAGGCAAUUGUUAUGUUUGUGGCAAACCUGGAUAUUUUGCUAUCAAAUGCAAGUAUAGAAAAAGAGAUCACAAGCCUCUUAAGGCCAAUUUGGUCAAUAAAGAAGAAAUUAUUGCUGUUGUGGUGGUCACUCAAGCGAACUGCUACCGAGGGAAAAAAAAUGGCGACAAAUUCUACUGCUACCAAACACAUUAGUAGUGAUAGAAAUUCUUUCUUUAAGUAUGUUCAAGAGAGCGAUUUGGAAGAAAAAGUGCAUUUUGGUGACUUCCACUCGAUUCCAAUCAUAGGAAAAGGUAAAAUUCUUCUCAAAUUGACUUCCGGAAAAAUCUUCUCAAUGAAAAAUGUACUUAAUAUUCCUAAUAUUAGAUAUAAUUUAAUUUCCUAUUUCUACUUGGGAAGGGUUGGUGUAAAAGUCUCCUUUGAAUGAGAUAAAAUUGUAAUGACUAAAAAUGGGCUCUUUGUUGGGAAAGGAUAUGUCUAUGGAAAUUUGUUCAAGAUUAAUGUACUUGACACAAUUAUUAAUAAUCGAGUCUCUACUUCUCCUUAUAUUUUCUUACUCUGUUGAUUUACGGCAUGCUAGAUUAGGCCAUGUGAAUUUUUCUUGAAGAAAAUGAAAGGUAUUGGCUUACUGUCUGGUUAAUGUAUCAAAGAUUGAAAAAUGUUGUGUACGUGUGGAGCCUAAGUCUGUAAAAAGGACAUGUAAACAAAUUCUUAUGAGAGAAACUAAAAUAUUCAGUUUAAUUUACAGUCACCUUGGAGAUUUAAAACAACCAUGACUAUAGGAGGUAAAAGAUUUUAUGUAACCUUGAUUAAUGAUUUUUCAAUAUAUACUAAGUUGUAUUUACUAAGAAAUAAAGAUGAGGCGGGUGAAAAUUUCUCAAUUUAUGAAAAUGAAGUUGAAAAUCAACUUGGGAAAAGAAUUAAAAAAAUUAAGAACUGAUAGAGAAGGGGAGUAUGCGUCUAAUAUGUUUUUGCCCUUUGUGAGGAUCAUGGCAUUAUUCAUGAAAUGACACCUCCUUAUUCACCUGAAUCGGAUGGGGUUGCUAAGAGGAAAAAUAGAACCCCAAAAGAAAUGAUAAAUGCGAUGCUUGUAAGUUCUAGGGUCCCUUUGAAAUUAUGGGGGGAAGCUAUCCUUGAUUUACAUCAGAUGGAUAUGAAGAUAACGUUUCUCAAUGGUGACAUUGAUGAGACUAUCUAUAUGGUGCAGCCUGAAAACUUUGUAUCAGGAGACCCAAAUAAUAUGGUUUGCAAACUUAAUCAAUCUAUCUUUGGACUCAAGCAAGCAUCUCGACAAUGGUAUUUCAAGUUUCAUCAAGUGAUCAUCUCAUUCAAUUUUGAGAUGAAUUUGGUCGAUGAUUGCAUAUACUAUAGGUUCUGUUGGGGCAAGUAUAUUUUUUCGGUUUCGUAUGUCGAUGAAAUAUAAAUCCAUCUUGUUAGCAAUGAUAUAUGCUUAUUACACAAUACCAAGAAAUUUCUAGCUAAUAAGAUGAAACAGCUAUAUCAAAAAAUAUUCUCAAGAGAUAUGGCUUACAAGAUUGCAAGAAAUUUAGUUUUUAUGGAAGAUUGUGAAUUUAGAUGCUUUUAUGAUAUAGACAUUUUUCAGUUAUUUCAGUUUAUGGAUAUUUAAAGUUAUUUUCUACAAAAUUAAAUGUUUUGAUUAUUCACACUCUGAUUUUAAUAUGGUUUGAUCUUACUAACGUUUAAAGUGAACCAGUUAGAAAUAGGCAUAUUAAGAUCACAAUGUAUGAAAUUUCCAUGCUAUACAUCCAUAUCAUGAUCCAUGUCAUUGGCAUAGUGACCAUUGAUGAGUCGAGUUAUGAAAGUUGUUAUAAAGGCCGCUUUGAUCUUAUGUUGAUAUGAUUAAUGAACCGGAUUAGUUAUGGAUGCAUUUAAGUAAUGAUAGUAAAGUUCAACUUAUACAAUUAUUUUUGCAAAGAAUAAUUAUAAGGUUACACAAUUAACCCAAGUAGCAUAUUGUUGGAUCUUGAAUCCAGUAUUAUUGGAUCCUUAAUCUAACAUUGGGCUCAUAUGUGAAUAAGUAUGAGUUGCAGAUUGUCAUAUAUGAUUAAAUCCAAUGAAAAGUAAUCUAAAAUUUUUUUCAGUGAUUUGAACUUUGAUGUAUCAAAUUGGGUGUGAGCCUUUAAUAAGAACAAUUUCUAUUUGUAAGAUGGGUUAAAAUAGAAAUACCUAAAUAUAACAAAAAAGUGUCUAUAUAAGUAGUUACAGUCCCAAGGCACUACUAGAAAAAUGGUCUUUACUGAUACUUGUGUUCUGACACUUUGUUUAAAAGUAUCAGUAUAUACAUAUAUUUGGAUCAUUUUUCACGUUUAACAGAUAUGUAUCAUUAAUUACUAAUACUGAAGUAUCAAUAGUUUUAGUAAUAACGAUCAAUGACGCUUAGGUAUCAGCAAUUAAAAAUUAUCAUUUUAAUUUUGUUUUAGUCCAAAUUCGAACCCAAGACCUCUUAAACCUAGAGCUUUUACAUUGAAUCAAAAGACCACUAGGCUACAAAUUAUUUUUAAUUUUUUUAGAGUUGUGCUUUUUAAGUGGAUAAAAACAAAACAAAUGGACAAGUCUUAUCUUAUCCAAAAUACAACUUUUCAACUCCCUUUACCAAAGUAUUCGUUCCCUUCUAAGCUCCCCAGAUCUGAAAAAUCCCUAACAUCCAAAUUGUCAAAAAGUGCUCAGCCAUGAUCCUAUCAAACUAGUGGCACAGAUUCACCAUUUGCCUUCAAAAUCCUAACUUAUUGUUUCUUUUCUUAUUUUAUGAUUUCGGGUCUCUCUUGUUGUCAUUAGAUCUUGAGUUUUUUUUUGUUUUAAUUGUUUUUUUAGGUUUAAAUAAGUGAUUUGGAGAAGAGCUUCUAUGUUUCUUUGGCUACUUGGAAGAAACUAGAAGGUAUUAUUUCUUUGGCUACUUGGAAGAAACAAGAAGGUAAAGAUUUAGCUUUUAUUGUGUUUUUUUCUCUACUACUUUCUUUUCUUUUAUUGGCACCAAAUAGCCUUCAUUAUAUCUACUUUGGAAAAUAUUGUGUUUAGGGUGAUCGUCACUGUAAGGUUAACUUUAUUUCGCUGAUGAACGACAAUAAACAUUUUUUACAGUAAAACCCUAAAAUUUUCUAAUUUGGGAAUUCUUAAGAGCAGCAUGAUUAUGCUAAAAUUGAUGGUUUAUAUUGGUUCAUAGUAGUUCUAUGUUGAUAUAACUUAUUGCUUAUUAACUAUUUGUUCAUGUGUUAUUAGCUUUUUUUUUCAAAAGCAAUCUUUUCAUUUUUUUUGGCUGUUAUUUUUUAGUUUUGUUCAUAUCGAAUAGAUUUCAAUUUUUAUUUGCUAUAAAUAGUCUCAUUGGAUGAUUACUUAUUACAAACUAUCAAAUAGAUGCUUUUACAAAGGAAAAGUUUGAAGUAUGUGGCUUAGGUUGAGAAAUGAGGUGUCUUUAUCAUUUCUUUAAUGGAUUUGUUUACAGGGCAAAACAGAAUUUUGUUUCUUCAAUUCAUUACUAAGGCAAUAUUAGAUUUGUCUUAUUUAUAUUUAUGUUCAUAAUAAGGCAAUAUCUACUUUAAUUGUUUAAUUUUUCUUAUUUAUAUUUAUAUGACUGAUGGCCAAAAUCAUAAGACUUGUUUAUAAGUAAUGAUUUUGGAAUGAACUCUCAAAUUAUUGAAAUAUUUUGUCCAAAGUUUACCAUAUGUUUGAAAUAAUUAAAGUUAAAUGUGUAUGUUUCAGUUCUGGAAAUUUGGAAUGAAUUGGGUCUAUAACUAAUUUUUAAUCGAUUUUUCAAAAUGGUUGGUUGUUGUCCAAUCUUUCAUAAAUUACUCAUGUAUCAUGUUUGGUGGUGCAAAACGAUAGUCUAAACAUGUCUGAAUGAGCUGAAAUUCGGAGAAACUAAAGUUCUAUAUGAAUACUUCAAAUUUGAAAAAUUUUAUGUUGAUUGAACUUGCAAGUUAUUUUUAAUGAUUUUUUAAACUCUGCUGCUCUGCAGCAAGUUCUUUUGACAUAACUAUUUAUUAACUUUUGUUCUUACAAAACACGAGCAUAAUAAUAUCAGAAUAACCUCAAAUUUUAAUAUGUUGUUCAUUCAUAUGUGUUGUUAAAAACUGGAAAAUAUCAUUCCAAUGUAUUAAGUAUCUUAAAUUUUAUAAGAUUCAUGGCCAAAAUCAUAAGACUUGUUUAUAAGCAAUGAUUUUGGAAUGAACUCUCAAAUUAUUGAAAUAUUUUGUCCAAACUUUACCAUAUGUUUGAUAUAAUUAAAGUUAAAUGUGUAUGUUUCAGUUUUGGAAAUUUUGGAAUGAAUUGGGUCUAUAACUGAUUUUUAAUCGAUUUUUCAAAAUGGUUGGUUGUUGUCCAAUCUUUCAUAAAUUACUCAUGUAUCAUGUUUGGUGGUGCAAAACAAUAGUCUAAACAUGUUUGAAUGAGCUGAAAUUCGGCGAAACUAAAGUUCUAUAUGCUUACUUCAAAUCUGAAAAAUUUUAUAUUGAUUGAACUUGCAGGUUAUUUUUAAUGAUUUUUUAAACUUUGCUGCUCUGUAGCAAGUUCUUUUGACAUAACUAUUUAUUAACAUUUGAUCUUACAAAACACCAGCAUAAUAAUAUCAGAAUAACCUUAAAUUUUAAUAUGUUGUUCAUUCAUAUGUGUUGUUAAAAAUUGGAAAAUAUCAAUCCAAUGUAUUAAGUAUCUUAAAUUUUAUAAAUAUGUAUUUAAGUACCAAUUACUACUGUAGUUUUUCAUUGACAAUUUUGAAUUACACACAAAUCUACUUAAUUAUUUUUAGGAAUCUGGUUUUAUUAUUUAAUUGUCCCACAUACCUCUUGUUGUGCAAAUUUUAAUGAACUCGCAAGUGCACGAAUCUAUUGUAGUAUAGAUCAAUGGUGACGAGUGUCGAUCCCAUGAGGAGGUGGAUUUUAAUUAUAUGUAGAAUUAAUUUUGUAAAUGGGUGGUUGGAAUUGUGGUGGAAGUGAUUUAAAUUAUCCUAAAAUUGGAAUUGAAAUGGCGAUAAUCAAUUCUAAAAUUGGAAUUGCAAUGGCGAGAAUAAAUUGAAGCGAAAUCUAUUGAAAUGACGUACUUGGGUAUCUGGAUCCGUAUCAACAUGCACCAUGGGCUAAAUAUUCCUUAUUAAUACCAAUUAAAUCAUGAGGGGGGGAAUCCACACCUCAUGAACCACACUUUAAUCAAUAUGGUGCUAAGGGCUUAUCGUGCCAAAUAAUAAUAACCUUGUACUAGGGGGCCGGUGAAACUAAGGUGGUACUAGACAAGAUUAGUAUUAUUUGUCGACGAGAAGUUAAAACAUCCACAAAAAUUAGAGGGGAAGAGAAAAUAAAUUUACCAAAUAAAGCCCAUGACACAUGUUGAGACUUCACCUUCAACCCAAGCUUGAAAGAAAAUUAGCUACUCAUAAUUGAACUAGGGGCAAAAUGGAAAUUUAUUAAAAUACGAAGAAAAUACAAGAUGGAGAAGGAAUUACAAAAAAUGGAUUCAGAGAUAUCAAAUUAGGGGGGGGAGGCCCCCUUUUUAUAGAUACAUGGAGUAAAUCAUUGUCAUCGGAUUAAAAACAGUUUGGACGCUCAGGAUUGCGCCACAUCAUCAGUCAACAGUACGCGGUUUGACCACGUGGAUGAACAGUAACACGGUUUGACCCGAGUUGAACAGUAACGCAGUUUGGUUGAAAAUAAUCCUGUGUGAUGCGUGUACCGUACGCGAGAUUUUUCGUCCACUGAUAUGCUGCCACGUCACCAUCAACAGUACAUAAGAAUUUUAGUCCAACAGGAUCAUGACACCUCAUCAGUCAAUGCCACAUCAUCGGUCAAUGCCACGUCAUCGAUCCGUCUAUGUGAACAGUGUCGUGAACAGUAACAUAUACAAUACCGUACAUGUGAAUAGUGUCAUUUUUCCUUUUAUACUCCUCCUAAGGUUUUCAACCAUCUUGAGUUCAAAAGUGAUGUCUGUUUUGCCGUCUGAUCUCUCCUUUAUUGUGAAAUGACUAUAAUGCCCCUAAAAUACAUAAAAUACUUAAUUAAAAUAAAACACAUGUAAUUAAAUCACAAGAAGGUUAAAUACAUAAAAGUAAAGGUUGUUAGUAAUACUUAAAAUGUAAAAUGACGGGUUUCUCCUUUAUAAAUAUGCAUUUUCUAACACUCAACACACCCCCCAACCAACUUAUUGCUAGUCCCUAGCAAAUAAAGUGAAAACAAAAUUCAAAUUCAAAAUAAUUUUUUUUUUAAUAGAAACACUCGUAUUCCAUCAGAUUAAUGAUAACAAUCAAAUAAAAGUAUAAGCAUGAUCUCCAGUCUAAAGCAACAUCAUACCCACAUCAACCAUCCACAUGAAUCAGCCCAGUAGACUUUGUUAUAGCUACUUUUAAUAAUGACAUGUCAAACCCCAAAAUCUCACUGGAAGUAGUGACACUCUCACAAAGAAAUUAAAACCAAUAAAAAUAGUCACUCCAAUGAAUGGUAAUUGAGAGAGAAAAUAAUAAAGAAGUGAUAUCACAUGCUCUCACCAAGAUGAAAUAAAUAUGCCCUCAGCUUAGAAAUAAUACGAUCUCAAGUUAAAUAAAAAUGCUAGUCAACCCAAUUUAUUUAUCUUUUUAUUUAUUUAUUUAUUUUUAUUAUGCACCACUACAUCUUUUUAGCCCACAUAACUAGCUUCUACUUCAUAUUAUAAUUCCCUAAAAUUAGGAAGGACUUUUAUUAGGAUGUAACGUAGGCUAGGGACAUGGUUAACAAAGAAGGGAAAUAAGGAAAACAAAGUGUAUGUUUGAGAAAAAUGCAGAGGAAUUUUUUUUUUGCUUUUACUUGGCACAACGUCACUAAAUAAAAUAAUUAUUUACAUUUUCUCAAACAUAAAUAGGUGAUGGAACUUAUAAGACAUCGGGUAAUACUCCAAAUCGGAGUGGGUUAAGAUGAUAAGUUGACAAAGAAAAUGUCUUUUUUUUUUUUUAAAGGCUCAAAAGGGUUAACUAUGGAUAUUUAAUAAAAGGGAUGGCUAGAAAGGCUCAAACGGAUCAAAGAUGGCCUUUCCAUCGUCUUUUAGGGCUCUAAAUAAUCAUCCAUAUCUACUAGUUAGAUGGGCCUCCAAAUGUAGCAACACACAUUUUUUUUUUCUUUUUUUUUUAAUUUUACAAUUUUUUUUUUAAGGGUUAACUCAAAAGAAAUCUAGAGAUCGUGUAUACAAUAAUAAACUGCUAAGCUGUAUAGAGAAUGGGCAAAAUGGUUACUCUCCAAGAAAAUGAUAGGCUCAACAACUCACUUGGCACUUAUUUAUGACAUGUUCAUUCCUUCAACCAACUCAUAUAUAUCUCCGACAUCAACAUGUAAAAUAGCAAACAUAGCGUAACAUCACUUAAGACCAAAGAUAAUACAACUACUAAAAUUUAAAAUUAAUCAUGUCAUCCAAUGUUAAAACAAAUCACACAAAUUUUUUUUUUUUUUUAAACAACAUUCUACCCCCCAACCUAUUCUAAGCAUGAAAGGAAAAUAUGCAUGCAGAAAUGUGAAUAUAAUGCAGAAAAACUAAUUAGAAAAGUUACACUUAAAAUGAUAGAAAACGAAAAUAAUUUUUUUUUUUAACUUAGAAGAUGCGUUUCUAGAGGCACUACACUCCAUAUUCAGCCAUCUUCGACUCACAAGUUGGAAAAUGUAUAUUUAUGGAGGAGAAAUUAAAAAGAAGAAAAAUAAACAUAAAAACAUAAUAAAGAAAAAGAAAAUGUUUGAAUUUUUUUUUGUUUUUUAAUUUUUUUUAAACGAUGAAGAUGCGUUUCUAGAGUCACUACACUCCAUAUUCAGCCAUCUUCAACACAAAAAGUUAGCAACAAUUAGUUUCUACAACAAAAAAUUAGUAAAAACUUAACCAAAAUUCCACAAUUGUCGACUAUUCCCUCCCCCCAACCAGAAUGAAAUAUUGUCCUCAAUGUUUGAAAGGAAAGAAGUAGAGUUUAGAAGACAUCACCUAGGUGGUGCAACACAGAAAAUAAUAUUUACAAGCGGAGAGUUAAAUCUAAUUUGUACUUCUUACUGCGGCUACGGUUACCAUAAUUAUUUGGAUGCUCCAACACAAAAGUCCAGGGGUCUGGCUCCGGUCUAUAAACUUGUAACAUAUCAAGUAGCUCAUUAGCAGUGUGAGCACAAAUAAAGAGUUUUUUCGCAUUAGAGGGAAUGAAAUAGUUUUUUAUUGCAUGGUUAAGAAAUGCGAUAAAGCCAUCAUAAAAGUUAUUGACAUUUAACAAACCGAUAGGUUUCUGAUGGAUGUGCAUAUGGGCCCAAGAUGCUAGUGUGAUAAGUGCCUCUAGUGUUGCAAGAUCUCCUGGAAGGAAAAUAAAAGCAUCAGCAUGAUUAAGCAUUUAAGUUAUUCUUUCUUGCAUACCUGAGACGACUAACUCUUCUCCAGUUGAUGAGUCAGACGAACUGCCCAAUGGUUUUAGGGCUCUUGGGAUGAUGCCUAACACUUGGCUGCCUCUGACAAAAGCUGCUUCUGAGACCAUUUUUGAUAACCCUCGAUUACCUCCUCCAUACACCAAGUGUAAUUUUCUCGCUGCUAUGCUUCGACCAAGAUCGAUGGCUGCCUCAACGAACUCUUUAUGUUUGCCAUAGGUAAAUCCAGAAAGCACACAAAUGUUCUUGAAUUGUCUAUUUGGAGUAGCUGCCAUUGUGAUACUUCUCAAAAAACAAUUUGUGAGUGCUUGACAAAAAAAAAAUCACAUUUAAGAGUCUUGGUGACAGUGGGUCACAGUUGUGUAUGAGGUAACAUGUCAGUGUCAAAUAACGCGUAAAGCACGUGGCUCGCGAGUCAAAAAGGAAACAGUAAAAAGGAAAAAGCAAACAGUAAUAAAAUUAUUAAAGACAAUAAUACACACAAUAAAACAAUAGUGAAAUAAAAUAACAGUAAAGUGAAAGGAUAUUUACAGGUAGUUGCGACAGUGGCUCACAUCUUCCUCUGGUUUUACGUCCAGAAACGGCUUGAACGCCCUCUAUGGGUCGAUGAUAGGCUUCCUAUCCAGUUUUCUUAUAAACUGGCAAACAAUGUCGUUUAUAGUCAGAUUCCCGAGACUAUAUCGUGCAUGCUCUUUCUGGAAUAAUGGCCAUAACUGGAGAAUCGCUCCUUGCACAUAUCCAUUGGGAUGCGUUUCAAGAGACAAAAGGAUAUCAUCCAAUGACUCCUUAUUCAAGCCAUCCCUAAUGAAUUGAAUCUUAUCUUCCCUGUUAUCAGACACCAUUCCUAAAGAACAUUGGUUUUUUUGCAACUCAUUCUGGCACACUUAUGACAAGCAACAGAAAUUCUUCGAGCUCGUCAUUUUCUUGCAUAAUUUCCUUUACCACAACCAGGCAUGUAUGCAAUAAAUUUUGGAGGUAACUCACCUGCCGAUCGUACUUUAGCCUCAAUUAACCAACGGAUGUCAGCAGGUAUGUUAUUCCUCAUGAGUAAUCGCAUGCGUUCGGACCGAGCUUUAUAGAUCAUAAGGAGGGCAUUCUGAGGAAGUGAAGGGAAUCGCUUGUGAAGCUUCACUAGAAUCUCGUUUAUGUCCAUACUUUCGCCUCAGAAUAUCAGUUAUUAUGAGAAACUGAAGUAACCGACUUGAUUGUCACGGAGUACCGUUAUCCGCCAUUUAACCGGGGUAACAAACUAAAGCACACAAACAGAAAAACAAAUUAAAACACAAAAAAAAAAUUAAAAUCGUCCUCUUAUUGAAUUUACCUCAAGCUCCAACUGGAUGUCGUAAACACUUCUCUCAAUAUCUCUGAGUUGGCUUUCUAGACCCUCAACAUAGGAUACUAACUCUGGUGGUUGUAGAGCCCAAAUGCGAUAUAUUUUACAAAAUUGAAUCUGCCUUUUGAGAUGAGUUUUGACAUGUUGAAGUGGUUUAAGAAUGUUCAGGAGGAACGGUCUAAGUAAGGUACUCAUGAUUAAAAAUGAUAAGAGAAAACUUAAUAGUUAAACAAACAUACUUAUGCAAAAAUAAUUUCAAAUUAGCAAAAGAAUAAUAAAAAGAAAGAAAGAAAAAUCAAAUCAAUGAAAAGGAAAAAAAAAUCAAUUCAAAUCUGGUGGGUAACUCAAAUUUAUUUCGGUGUUUUCUCCAUGUGGUUGGUACUCUAGAUAUGGCUUUAAUCUUUGACCAUUAACUUUAAACGUGACACCGUUCUUUGGGUCCUUAAUUUCAAUUGCCCCAUGUGGAAAAAUAGUAUGUACAAUAAAUGGGCCAGACCAACGAGAGCGUAACUUACCUGGGAAUAGGUGCAAGCGAGAAUUGAAUAAAAGCACUUUCUGACCUGGAGUGAAAGAUUUUCUCAUAAUUUGCUUGUCAUGGAAGACUUUCAUUCGUUGCUUGUAAAUCUUGGCAUUUUCGUAUGCGUCAUUGCGAAUUUCUUUAAGUUCUGCCAGUUGUAAUCUUCUUUCUGAGCUGGCUUGCUGCAUGUCAAAGUUGAAUUUCUUGAUGGCCCAAUAUGCACGAUGCUCGAGUUCCACAGGUAGGUGGCAAGCUUUUCCAUACACUAACCUGUAGGGUGACAUCCCAAUCGGGGUCUUGAAAGCCGUUCUAUAUGCCCAUAAUGCAUCAUCAAGUCUUAAUGACCAAUCUUUUCUGUCUGGCCUCACCGUCUUUUCUAAUAUGUGCUUUAUUUCUCGAUUGGAGAUCUCAACUUGGCCACUGAUUUGCGGAUGAUAUGGGGUCGCCACUUUAUGAGUGAUUGAAUACUUUGUCAAAAGAGCUUUGAAUGCUUUGUUACAAAAGUGGGCACCACUAUCACUGAUUAUUGCUCGAGGGAAUCCAAAGCGUGAGAUAAUAUUACUUUUCAAAAAUCCUAUCACCACCUUGUGAUCAUUGGUUCUGCAUGGAAUUGCUUCUACCCAUUUCGAUACAUAGUCAACAGCAACGAAUAUGUAUUGAUGGCCAAAAGAAAGGGGAAAGGGUCCCAUGAAGUCGAUACCCCAUACAUAAAAAAUCUCAACCACUAAAAUUGGAUUUAGUGGCAUCAUGUUCCUUCGUAUAAUGCUCCCCAUUCGUUGACACAUAUCACAUGAAGAACAAAAAGUGUAAGCAUCUCGAAAUAUAGUUGGCCAAUAAAAACCACAUUGUAAAACUUUAGUUUCUGUUUUCUUAGCACUGAAAUGGCCUCCACAAGCUUGUUCAUGGCAGAAUGAAAGAAUAUUCUGAAUUUCAUUUUCUGGGACACAUCGUCUAACAAUUUGAUCAGCACAAUACUUGAACAAAUACGGGUCAUCCCAAAAGAAAUUCUUUAUCUCUACAAAAAAUUUAGCCUUAUCUUGCUUGGUCCAAUGCUCUGGAAGUUUACCUGUAACAAGAUAAUUAACUAUAUCAGCAUACCAAGGUAAUACUUCCACACUCAUUAAUUGUUCAUCUGGAAAUGACUCAUUUAAUAUUAAUGGCUCUGUAAUUGUGUCAAAAUGGUGACGAGAGAGAUGGUCCGCCACGACAUUUUCUGUCCCUUUCUUAUCUUUGAAUUCCAAGUCAAAUUCCUGCAAAAGUAAUACCCAACGAAUUAGUCUAGCUUUUGCAUGUUUCUUUGUGAGAAGAUAUUUAAGAGCAGCAUGAUAUGUGAAUAUAAUUAUUUUACAACCAAUGAGAUAAGAUCGAAAUUUCUCUAAUAUAAACACUACUGCUAGCAUUUCUUUUUCAGUAGUUGAAUAGUUCAACUAUGCAUCAUUCAAUGUCAUACUAGCAUAGUAAAUAACAUGGGGAAUUCGAUCAACUCUUUGUCCUAAUACUGCUCCUACUGCAUAAUCAGAUGCAUCGCACAUGAGCUCAAAUGGUAAGCUCCAAUUUGGGGGCUGAAUGAUGGGUGAUGAUGUCAACAACUGCUUUAACUUUUCAAAUGCCACAAGACAUGAAUCAUUAAAGACAAAAGGUACAUCCUUAGCAAGUAAAUUGCAUAAGGGUCUAGAAACAUUGCUAAAAUCUUUAAUGAAACGUCUAUAGAAACCAGCAUGCCCAAGGAAAGAUCUUACUUCUUUGACUAUUUUGGGUGAAGGAAGAUUAGAAAUGAGAUCCACCUUGGCUUUGUCAACCUCAAUACCUUUGCUCGAAAUGAUGUGACCGAGAACAAUACCUUGUUUUACCAUAAAAUGGCAUUUCUCCCAAUUUAAAACUAAAUUCUUCUUGAUACAUCUCUGCAGAACUAAUGUUAGAUGAUGUAAACAUUGAUCAAAUGAAUCACCAAAGACAGAAAAGUCAUCCAUAAAGACUUCAAGGAAUUGUUCAACCAUAUCAGAAAAAAUGAUUAACAUGCAUCGUUGAAAUGUAGCAGGUGCAUUACAUAAUCCAAAUGGCAUUCUCCUAUAUGCAAAAGUGCCAAAAGGGCAAGUGAAAGUGGUCUUCUUUUGAUCUUUUGGUGCUAUGGGAAUCUGAUUGUAUCCUGAGUAGCCAUCUAGAAAGCAAUAAAAUUCAUGGCUUGCUAAUCUAUCAAGCAUUUGAUCAAUAAAUGGUAAAGGAAAAUGGUCUUUACGUGUGACAGAAUUCAACUUUCUAUAAUCAAUGCAUACACGCCAUCCUGUAGUCACUCUAGUUGGUAUCAAUUCAUUAUCAGCAUUCGUAACUACUGUGACUCCUGACUUUUUGGGGACAACUUGUACAGGACUGACCCAUGAACUAUCAGAAAUUGGAUAAAUGAUACCUGUAUCUAAUAGCUUAAGGACUUCAGUUCUAACAACUUCUUUCAUAUUAGGAUUUAACCGACAUUGCAUUUCCCUAGUAGAUUUAGCAUUUUCAUCAAGGUGAAUGUAAUGCAUGCAGUCUACUGGGUUUAUACCUUUUAUGUCCGCUAUGGUCCAUCCUAAUACUCCUUUGUGCUCUUUUAAAACAUCCAACAACUUACCUUUUUGUCCGUCAUUUAGGGAUGAUGAGAUGAUUAUCGGUAGAGUACUUUCUUCUCCCAAAAAUGCAUAUUCCAAUGUGUUGGGCAAUGGUUUGAGCUCGAGUUUUGGUGGUGAUUCUGAUGAUGGGAUGAGUUUCUUCUCUGAUGGUGCUAGUUAUUCAACUCUUGACUUCCAUUUAUUAGUGUCCAUGGAUGGUGCUGAGUCAAGUAGGGCGUUGACCUCAUCGACUGAUCUGUCAAUAUCAAAAUCCAAACCAAAGUGAGUUAAACAUGUUUGUAAAGGAUCAUCACUAAGGUUUGAAAGAAAAGUGUCAUCAACUAUUGUUUCUAUUAAAUCCACAUCAACAAUUCCAUCAUCUGCAUUGUGAGGUUGUUUGACAAUGUUGAAGAUGUUCAGCUCCAUAGUCAUGUUGCCGAAGGACAACUGCAUAUUUCAUGUCCUACAUUGAAUGUGAACAUCCGCAGUUGCCAAGAAAGGUCGGCCUAGAAUAAUGGAGAUGUGCUUCCUUGAAUCCUGUAUUGGUUGAGUGUCAAUUACAAUGAAAUCAACAGGAAAAUAAAACUUGUCUACCUGGAUAAGCACGUCCUCCACAAUACCAUGAGGUAUUUUCGUGGACCAAUCUGCAAGCUGUAACACCACUGGAGUUGGGUGUAAUUCUCCCAGUCCAAGUUUCACAAAUACUGAAUAAGGCAACAAAUUUACACUAGCUCCUAAAUCCAACAAAACAUUCUCAAUUGUGUGGUUCCCUAUACUACAUGAGAUAGUGGGGAAGCCUGGGUCUUUGCAUUUUAAAGGAAUUUUAUGUUGGAGUAUAGAACUAAUAUUUUCUGUUAAAAAUGCAUUCUUUUGAACAUGCAUAUUUCUCUUUUUAGUACAAAGGUCUUUAAGAAACUUGGCAUAAGAUGGAACUUGCUUAAUAGCAUCAAGCAAUGGGAUGUUAACACUUACCUGUUUGAAGAUUUCAAGAAUCUCACCUGUGGAUUUUCCCUUAUUUCCUUUAGCUAACCUUUGAGGAAAUGGAGCUUUAGGAAUGUAUUCCCGUGGGUUGGUUUCUUCUUUCUCCUCCGGUGAUGAGUCCUCAACAUUCACAGGUACAAUUUGAUUUUCUCUUGUCACCGGCAUCUCCACUUUGUUGUCGACUUCUUUUCCUUUUCGCAAGGUCAUGACUGCUUUGACUUCUCCAUGCUGCUGUGGUGAGCUGGUACUUGCUUCAUGUACUCCUUUAGGAUUAGGCACUGGUUGACUUGGAAACUUGCCUUUGUCAACAGUCAUUGCCAAGGUCUGAACUGAAGAAGCAAGCUGUCCCACCAUCUUCUCGAGGCUUGAAACUGAUUGGGCUUGUGAAUUGAAGCUUGCUCUCAACUCAUUUCGUAGUCCAUCAAUGGUGCGGUUCUGUUGCUCAAUCGUGGAGUGAGUAACAUUCUUGAAAUUUUGGAAUGCAUCCUCCCAUGAUCUGGGUUGAGAGUAGUUCUGGUUCUGAUUGUAUGGUCUAAAUGGGGGCUGAGAGGCUUGAGGAAUUUGAGGAAUUGGUUGCAUUGGUGGAGCUGGAGCUGCUGGUCCAUUCUGUUGGAGUCCUUGAGACCAUGAAAAAUUGGGGUGGUCUCUCCAUUCAGGGUUAUAUGUGUUGGAGUAUGGGUUGUAAUUUGAUGGCUUUCUCAUUACACCUAUGGCAUUGGCUUGAUCUGAGUAUGAGUCAGGGUCAUGUGGCUCUGUUGAUUUAGCAGUCGAUAACGAUGCUAUUUGUCGAGCAAGACCUUUAACCAUCUCCUUGACUUCUUUGAUUCCCGAAGUUGACUCGCCAAUUUGAACCUCAUUUACUCCCUUAAUUCUUCUAGUAUUCCUGAGUGAUCGACUCCGUUGUUGGGAAUUAUCCGCUUGUCCCUGGAAGAAUUCCCAAAUCUCUGAUGCACUUUUUGACAUUAGCUCUCCUCCACUUGUUGCCAUUAGCCAUUCUUCCACAUUCGGCAAUAAUUCCUCCAAAAAGUAUUGGCAUUGGUGCCAUUUCUCGUACCCAUGAUGUAGACACUUCAAGAGUAGCCCAUUGAAUCGCUCCCAUGUUUCGAAAAAUUGCUCGUCCUCUCUCUGUGUAAACUCUGAAAUUUCCCUGCGAAUAGCAUUGGUUUUAUGCACUAGGAAAUAUUUAUUCAAAAAUUUUGUUACCAUUUGUUCCCAUGAUGAAAUGCUAUUAGCAGGUAAAGUAUUUAACCAUGAACGAGCUCUAUCCUUUAAAGAAAAUGGGAAUAAUCUGAGUUUAACAUCAUCGUCUGAAAAAUUUUCAUAUUUAAAAGUUUGACAAAUGGCAUGAAAAUCAUUCAGAUGAUUAUAUGGGUCCUCAUUUUCUAGGCCAUAGAAUGUUGGGAGACAAUUUAGCACACUAGGUUUUAAUUCAAAACUCCUAGCAGCUACAUUUGGGUAUCUUAUACAUGAUGUGCUCAAAUUAGCUAAGGGACUGAAAUAAUCCUUAAAUGGCCUCUCCUGUGGUGCUUGUAAAUCCAUUCCAAAUUUAUUUUUAAUGUGCUUGUGUGUGCGGAGUGUUUUUUCUAAUUCAAGGUCUAUAGGUUCAAGAUUAGGUAAUAAUGACCUACGACCAUGCAUGCAAAACAAAUAAAAUAAAAAUAAAGAUGGGAACAAAACAAAUAAAAAUAAAUAAGAGGGAGAAAUUACGAUACUAACCUUAUCGCGAUGUUACAACCUUUCUAUAAAAACACACUAAAACAAAUACGUGAAAUAAAUUAACUAAGAAUAAAUUAAUAAGAUAAAAAAAAUUUACAAAGAAAAAUAAAUUGAAAAUUAAAUUACAGAAUUUUAAAGAAGAGAAAAAGAAAAGAAAUAUUAACCUUUAAAUGUAGAUUCACUUUUUUUUUCUUUUUUUUAAUAAAAAAAUUACAAGAAAAUAAUUAAAAGAAAUUAAUCACAAAAAUUAAUUCUAUGAAUUAAAAUUACUUACCUCCCCGGCAACGGCGCCAAAAACUUCUUGUGCAAAUUUUAAUGAACUCGCAAGUGCACGAAUCUAUUGUAGUAUAGAUCAAUGGUGACGAGUGUCGAUCCCACGAGGAGGUAUAUUUUAAUUAUAUGUAGAAUUAAUUUUGUAAAUGGGUGGUUGGAAUUGUGGUAGAAGUGAUUUAAAUUAUCCUAAAAUUGGAAUUGAAAUGGCGAUAAUAAAUUCUAAAAUUAGAAUUGCAAUGGCGAGAAUAAAUUGAAGCGAAAUCUAUUGAAAUGACGUACUUGGGUAUCUGGAUCCGUAUCAACAUGCACCAUGGGCUAAAUAUUCCUUAUUAAUACCAAUUAAAUCAUGAGGGGGGAAUCCACACCUCAUGAACCACACUCUAAUCAAUAUGGUGCUAAGGGCUUAUCGUGCCAAAUAAUAAUAACGUUGUACUAGGGGGCCGGUGAAACCAAGGCGGUACUAGACAAGAUUAGUAUCAUUUGUCGACGAGAAGUCAAAACAUCCACAAAAAUUAGAGGGGAAGAGAAAAUGAAUUUACCAAAUAAAGCCUAUGACACAUGUUGAGACUUCACCUUCAACCCAAGCUUGAAAGAAAAUUAGCUACUCAUAAUUGAACUAGGGGCAAAAUGGAAAUUUAUUAAAAUAUGAAGAAAAUACAAGAUGGAGAAGGAAUUACAGAAAAUGGAUCCCAAAAAUGGAUUCAGAGAUAACAAAUUAGGGGGGGAGGCCCCCUUUUUAUAGAUACAUGGAGUAAAUCAUGGUCAUCGGAUUAAAAACAGUUUGGACGCUCAGGAUUGUGCCACGUCAUCAGUCAACAGUACGCGGUUUGACCACUUGGAUGAACAGUAACACGGUUUGACCCAGGUUGAACAGUAACGCAGUUUGGUUGAAAAUAAUCCUGUGUGAUGCAUGUACCGUACGCGAGAUUUUUUGUCCACUGAUAUGCUGCCACGUCACCAUCAACAGUACAUAAGAAUUUUAGUCCAACAGGAUCAUGAAACCUCAUCAGUCAAUGCCACAUCAUCGGUCAAUGCCACGUCAUCGAUCCGUCUAUGUGAACAGUGUCGUGAACAGUAACUUAUACAGUACCGCACACGUGAAUAGUACCGUACAUGUGAAUAGUGUCAUUUUUCCUUUUAUGCUCCUCCUAAGGUUUUCGACCAUCCUGAGUUCAAAAGUGAUGUCCGUUUUACCGUCUGAUCUCUCCUUUAUUGUGAAAUGACUAUAAUGCCCCUAAAAUACAUAAAUACUUAAUUAAAAUAAAACACAUGUAAUUAAAUUACAAGAAUGUUAAAUACAUAAAAGUAAAGGUUGUUAGUAAGACUUGAAAUGUAAAAUGACGGGUUUCUCCUUUAUAAAUAUGCAUUUUCUAACACUCAACACCUCUUUCGUCCUAGGUUUUCAAUAAUGGGAGCAAUCGCCUCCAUAAAUUACAUAGAAAUAAUUAUUAUUAGCUUUAAUUUAUUUUAAAUAAUAUGAAAAGGAAAAGAAGUUGAUAAAUAUUUUUUAUUUGUGUCUUAUCUAUUCAUGUCACCGUGACAAAUCUUUAGGGAAUCUUUUUAGUCAUUAAUUAAGCUUUGUUCAAUUGCUUCGUUUUUCAGCUCGCUUUGACUAAAUCAAAGGAACUACAUGGUCAUAAAGCACUUAAGUAUAAUAGCUCAAAGAUUAUCUGCUACCCGCAAAGCUAAUUAAAUUAAUAUGACUCUCCAAGUCAACAGGGCGGAUUUUUCUUUUUCUGCUGUGCAUAUAUUUAGCCAUCUCCUUCACCACAGCGAAAGUGUUUUUUUUUUAAUUUUUUAAAAACUUUUUUCCUAGUGAUGAAGGUUGAAAUUAAGUUAUUAAAUAAAAUAGAAGAGCUUAAGGAAAUUAACAAGAAUGUGCUUAAUCGAUCAAGUAGACGGUUAAUUUAUAAAAAAAAAUGCUCUGUGUGAUUAUCUGAAAAUUGCAGAAACGCUAUCAGUUUGUCAUUUCUAUUAACUUUCUUUCUCUGCAGCAAAAUAAUUAAGCAUUGGAAGUAUGCAUAUAAAUAAGGAGGCAGCAAGGUUAUUGGAUUUUUUUAAGGCAAUGAAUGAAGUCAGUCCCUGCACUAACUACUUGGCUGAUGCCUUAGUAAUUAAUUGCUCAACAUUAUGAUGUAGUUACUGGGAAUAAACUGUAUUUCUUUAGUAUUUGUAAGGAAAUAAACUACAACUUCCUUUCUUUAGUAUUUGUAAGGAAAUAAACUACAACUUCCUUGUUCACUAAUUUUUCUUUGAAAUAACUGAGUUUACUUAUAAAUAGUGUAUGAAUAUUUUUUCUUUAGAACAAAAUAGAUUUAUUUAUAUUAACCAUUGUUUCUCUAAUGGUUGGGAAUUGGCAGCUAAUUUUUUCUCCCUUUUCCAUGUAUGCAGAUUUGCUCAAUGUGUUUGAAGUGUUUAUUCCUCAACUUCACUUGUAUCCUAACCCAUACAGUCUAUUGAAUGGAGAAGCUGCUGGUGUGAUAACGCAAUUAUACUACUCAUAUUCAAAGAGUGAAAGACAGUCAUCAUUAUCAAUUUAGCUUCUAGAUUUAUUAAAUUUGGCCACAAGUAGUAGACAUUUGAUUGGAUGGUGAAAUUUUUAUGUAUUGAAUUUAGAUUAUUUAGUUAUGAGAGUAGGAUAUCUCAUUUUUUGGCUAUUGAAGUUGAAUUUGUAAUAUAUACUAAUAAUAUUUAAAUGUGAAAUGAAAGAUUUUGUGAUAUAAAUCAAUUUCUUUUUGUUAUUUUGUGGUGCUUUUAAUUUUACCAAUAAAUCAAUAGGCAAUGAUCCAAUUCAAUUUUUUAAAAAAAAUAAAUUAACUAGUGAUACCAUAGUAACAAUAAUUAUAGACACAAAAAAAAUAUCAAUAAUUACUAACACUAUGCUAUCAUAAUAUUGGUGAUAUUGUAGUAAUAGUAAUCACUGACACCACUUACAAGUGUCACUAUUUUUCUGACUCCCAGAUUACUGACACAAUUAACAAGUGUCAGUGAAAGUAAUUUCUGACACUAUUCUAAAGUCAGUAAAGACUGUUUUUCUAGUAAUGAGGUCUCACGUAUCGUUUUAUUUUUUUUCUGACAACCGAUCAUCAGAGAGAGAGCAGAGAACAUUAAAGGAUUUUUUAAGAGAAUAUGUUGAUCUGGAAGGCUAACCACACUAUUCUAAAAAGCAAUUAAGCAUUAUGGAUCCAGAUAUACUUCUACAUAUCAUAUUAUUGAUUCUUGUUGAUAUAACAUUAAUGUUCCUAGACUAUAGGUAAUCAUUUUAAGUAUAGGAUUAUUAUCGUUCUAAUAUUUUCUUGUGAAGAGCUUUACUGGGUAUUCUUCCAACAUCUUAUAAUUUAUUUAAAAGGAAGGUAAUGCAAUCUCAUAUUUGUCAAAGGUCCAAUAGAGUGUAGGAGGAUAGCUUCCAUGCUUUAGUGGCAUGUAGAGUUGUUAAGAAGGUAUGGCGAUUAUCAAUCUUGGCAAAUUUUGCGAUUAGUUUUGAAAGCACCAAUUUCUCAUGCUUUGCUCAAUCAUUGGCUGAUUAAAUGUCUAAGGAGAAUUUUGAGUCUUUUGUGGUCUUGCCUUGCUCAAUUUGGAGGGACAAAAACUUGAUUCUUCACAAUGAUGUGGGAAAUGACAUUUUGAGCUUGAUAAUCAGAGCUGAAUCUAUUAUUGAGAACUAUAAGUUAGUGCAACAAUCUCUAGCGACCGUGCCUUCUAUGAAUUAGAAUUAUAAGGAAGAAAAAUAGGUUGCUCCACCAAAUAAUCGGUAGAAACUUAAUACUGAUGCAGCUAUUAAAUCUUUAGAAAGUAUUUCUAGCCUUGGUACUAUUAUUAAAAACUCAAGAGGAGAAGUUAUGGUAGCAUCAGUCAAUAUAAAGUCCUUUUUUUGUAGGGAUGUGGAAUUUGCAAAAGCUUAUGCAGUUGUUCAGGGGGUUAAGCUAGCAAUUGACUUAGGUUUAACUCCCUUGAUUGUUAAACUUGAUUCAGUAAAUGUUGUUACUUUGAUUAAUGGAAGUUUGUCUAGCAAAAAAAAAGAGAUUGGCUGGCUAGUAUGGGAGAUCAAAGGUCUUAUAAUUAAUAGAGCUGCCAUUAAAGUUAAAUUGGUUGGCUAUUAUAGGAGAUCAAGGGUCCUAUAUAGAGCUUCCAUUAUAGUUAAACAUGCACCUAGAUGUUAUAAUGAGGUGGCUCACAUUUUAAGCAAAUUGGAAUUUUCUUUUCCAAAGUUAGCAUAUUAGAAUAGAAGAUUGUCUUGUUGAAAUUGUCAGUCUCUUGUGAUGUUUUGUUAUUCAACAUGUAGUCAGCUUUUCAAAAAGCAAAAAAAUGGCAGUACAAAUAAAGUCCACAUAGUACAUGUUGCUUAAUGCGCACUAAUUCUACAAUCUUGAUUAUGAGUAAUUUAUCUGUCACCAUUUGCAAUAUGGCCAUCAAAACCCAUUUAUAAAUCGAGGCCAGUAAUAGAUUGUCAUCACAACUGGGGAGAAAGCUACGAUUCAUCCAAAUGGAUCCAACGGCUGGAUGCAACGGUGAUACCGUAUCACCGUUGCACUGUAGUCGGACCCCACAACUGGACCCAUGAUGAUGAUAACAAUAAAUAAUAAAUAAUUUUUAAUUUUUUUGUUAUUUAAUAGGUUAGCUUUUAGGUCAAAAUGAUGGAAGGCGCCCAUUGGGUACCGUAUUCAGGGGUGGGUAAAUUAUUUGACCUGACUUAAAAUAUUUCGGGUUUAGAUCGGAUCGAAUUGUAAAAAAAAUCCGAUCGGAUGAAAACGGUAAAACCCGAUCAGGUUCUUUAAAAAAAAAAAUAAACACAUACACGCACGCCAGACAGAGUCACACAAAAUACAAAUCACACUUACAAAUUCAUUUACAAUACACACACAACACAAAUCUCACACACAACACAAAUCACACUCACAGAUUCAUUUACAAUCCACACACAAACACAAGUCAGUGAAAUCACAGUGAUUCAUUUACAAAUCACACAAAAUACAAAUCACACUUACAAAUUCAUUUACUUGAGAUCGUAUUAUUUCUAAGCUGAGGGCAUAUUUAUUUCAUCUUGGUGAGAGCAUGUGAUAUCAUUUCUUUAUUAUUUUCUCUCUCAAUUACCAUUCAUUGGAGUGACUGUGUUUAUUGGGUUUUGAUUUCUUUGUGAGAGUGUCACUACUUCCAGUGAGAUUUUGGGGUUUGACAUGUCAUUCUUGAAAGUAGCUAUAACAAAGUCUACUAGGCCGAUUCAUGUGGAUGGUUGAUGUGGGUGUGAUAUUGCUUUAGACUGGAGAUAAUGCUUAUACUUUUAUUUGAUUGCUAUCAUUAAUCUGAUUGAAUAAACACGAGUGUUUCUAAAAAUAUAUAUAUAUAUAUAUAUAUAUAUUGAAUUUGAAUUUUGUUUUCGCUUUAUUUGCUAGGGACUAGCAAUAAGCUGGUUGGGGGGUGUGUUGAGUGUUAGAAAAUACAUAUUUAUAAAAGGAGAAAACCGUCAUUUUACAUUUCAAGUCUUACUAACAACCCUUACUUUUAUGUAUUUAACCUUCUUGUGAUGUAAUUACGUGUGUGUUAUUUUAAUUAAGUAUUUUAUGUAUUUGAGGGGCAUUAUAGUCAUUUCACAAUAAAAGAGAAAUCAUACGGCAAAACGGACAUCACUUUUGAACUCAGGACGGUCAAAAACCUUAGGAGGAGCAUAAAAGGAAAAAUGGCACUAUUCACAUGUACGGUACUAUUCACGUAUACGGUACUGUCUACGUUACUGUUCACGACACUGUUCACAUAGACGGAUCGACGACGUGGCAUUGACCGAUGAUGUGGCAUUGACUGAUGGGUGUCAUGAUCCUGUUGGACUAAAAUUCUUAUGUACUGUUGACGGUGACGUGGCAGCAUAUCAGUGAACGAAAAAUCUCGCGUACGGUGCAUGCAUCACACAGGAUUAUUUUCAACCCAACCGUGUUACUGUUCAUCUGGGUCAAACCGUGUUACUGUUCAUCCACGUGGUCAAACCGUAGACUGUUGACUGAUGACGUGGCGCAAUCCUGAGCGUCCAAACUGUUUUUAAUCCGAUGGCCAUGAUUUACUCCAUGUAUCUAUAAAAAGGGGGCCUCCCCCCCCCCCUAAUUUGAUAUCUCUUAAUCCAUUUUUGGGAUCCAUUUUCUGUAAUUCCCUCUCCAUCUUGUAUUUUCUUUGUAUUUUAAUAAAUUCCCAUUUUGCCCCUAGUUCAAUUAUGAGUAACUAAUUUUCUUUCAAGCUUGGGUUGAAGGUGAAGUCUCAACAUGUGUCAUGGGCUUAAUUUGGUAAAUUUAUUUUCUCUUCCCCUCUAGUUUUUGUGGAUGUUUUGACUUCUCGUCGACAAAUAAUAAUAAUCUUGUCUAGAUACCGCCUUGGUUACACCGGCUCUCUAGUAUAAGGUUAUUAUUAUUUGGCACGAUAAGCCCUUAGCACCAUAUUGAUUAGAGCGUGGUUCAUGAGGUGUGGAUUCCCCCCUCAUGAUUUAAUUGGCAUUAAUACAGAUUAUUUAGCCCAUGAUGCAUGUUGAUACGGAUCCAGAUACCCAAGUACGUCAAUUUAAUCGAUUUUCUCUACAAUUUAUUCUCGCCAUUGCAAUUCCAAUUUUAGCAUAUUUAUUAUCGUCAUUUCAAUUCCAAUUUUAGCAUAUUUUAAAUCACUUCCACCACAAUUCCAACCACCCAUUUACAGAAUUAAUUCUACACACAAUUAAAAAUCCAUCUCCUCGUGGGAUCGACACUCGUCACCAUUGAUCUAUACUACAAUAGAUUCGUGCACUUGCGAGUACAUUAAAAUUUGCACAACAAGUUUUUGGCGCCGUUGCCGGGGAGGUAAGUAAUUUUAAUUCAUAGAUUUAAUUUUUGUGAAUAAUUUCAUUUAAUUGUUUUCUUGUAUUUUUUUUUUUUUGUUCUUUAAAAAAAAAAAAAAGUAAAUCUACAUUUAAAGGUUAGUAUUUCUUUUCUUUUUCUCUUCUUUAAAAUUCUGUAAUUUAUUUUUCAAUUUAUUUUUUUCUUUGUAAUUUUUGUUUAUCUUACUAAUUUUUUUUAGUUAAUUUAUUUCAUGUAUUUUUUGUUUUUGUGUGUAUUUUUAUAGUAAGGUUGUAAUAGCGCAAUAAGGUUAGUAUUGUAAUUUCUCUCUCUUCUUUAUUUUUAUUUGUUUUGUUCCAUCUUUAUUUUUAUUUUAUUUAUUUUGCAUGCAUGGUCGUAGGUCAUUAUUAUCUAAUCUUGAACCUAUAGACCUUGAACUUGAGAAAACACUUCGCACACAAAAGCACAAUAAAAAUAAAGUUGGAAUGGAUUUACAAGCACCACAGGAGAGGCCAUUUAAGGACUAUUUUAGUCCCUUAGCUAAUUUGAGCACAUCAUGUAUUAGAUACCCAAAUGUAGCUGCUAGGAGUUUUGAAUUAAAACCUAGUGUGCUAAAUUGUCUCCCCACAUUCUAUGGCUUAGAAAAUGAGGACCCAUAUAAUCAUCUGAAUGAUUUUCAUGCAAUUUGUCAAACUUUUAAAUAUGAAAAUUUUUCAGACGAUGAUGUUAAACUUAGAUUAUUCCCAUUUUCUUUAAAGGAUAGAGCUCGUCCAUGGUUAAAUACUUUGCCUGCUAAUAGCAUUGCAUCAUGGGAACAAAUGGUUACAAAAUUUCUAAAUAAAUAUUUCCCAGUGCAUAAAACCAAUUCUAUUCGCAGGGAAAUUUCAGAGUUUACACAAAGAGAGGACGAGCAGUUUUUCGAAACUUGGGAGCGAUUCAAUGGGCUACUCUUGAAGUGUCCACAUCAUGGGUAUGAGAAAUGGCACCAAUGCCAAUACUUUUUGGAGGGAUUAUUGCCGAAUGUGCAAGAAUGGCUAAUGGCAACAAGUGGAGGAGAGCUAAUGUCAAAAAGUGCAUCAGAAAUUUGGGAAUUCUUCCAGCGACAAGCGGAUAAUUCCCAACAACGGAGUCGAUCACUCAGGAAUACUAGAAGAAUUAAGGGAGUAAAUUAGGUUCAAAUUGGCGAGUCAACUUCGGGAAUCAAAGAAGUCAAGGAGAUGGUUGAAGGUCUCGCUCGACAAAUAGCAUCGUUAUCGACUGCUAAAUCAACAGAACCACAUGACCAUGACUCAUACUCCGAUCAAGCCAAUGCCAUAGGUGUAAUGAGAAAACCAUCGAAUUACAACCCAUACUCCAACACAUAUAACCCUGGAUGGAGAGACCACCCUAAUUUUUCAUGGUCUCAAGGAUUCCAACAGAAUGGACCAGCAGCUCCAGCUCCACCAAUGCAACCAAUUCCUCAAAAUCCUCAAGCCUUUCAGCCCCCAUUUAGACCAUACAAUCAGAACUAGAAUUACUCUCAACCCAGACCAUGGGAGGAUUCAUUCCAGAAUCUCAAGAAUCUUACUCACUCCACAAUUGAGCAACAGAACCGCACCAUUGAUGGACUACGAAAUGAGUUGAGAGCAGGCUUCAACUCACAAGCUCAAUCAGUUUCAAGCCUGGAGAAAAUGGUGGGACAACUCACUUCUUCAGUUCAGACCUUGGCAAUGACUGUUGAGAAAGGCAAGUUUCCAAGUCAACCAGUGCCUAAUCCUAAAGGAGUGCAUGAAGCAAGUACCAGUUCACCACAGCAGCAUGGAGAGGUCAAAGCAGUCAUGACCUUGCGAAAAGGAAAAGAAGUCGACAACAAAGUAGAGAUGCCGGUGACCAAAGAAAAUCAAAUUGUACCUGUGAAUGUUGAGGACUCACCACCGGAGGAAAAAGAAGAAACCAACCCACGAGAGUACAUUCCCAAGGCUCCAUUUCCUCAGAGGUUAGCUAAAGGAAAAAAGGGAAAAUCCACAGGUGAGAUUCUCGAAAUCUUCAAACAGGUAAGUGUCAAUAUCCCUUUGCUUGAUGCUAUAAAACAAAUUCCAUCUUAUGCCAAGUUUCUUAAAGACCUUUGUACUAAAAAGAGAAAUAUGCAUGUUCAAAAGAAGGCUUUUUUAACAGAAAACGUUAGUUCUAUACUCCAACAUAAAAUUCCUUUAAAAUGCAAAGACCCAGGCUCCCCCACUAUCUCAUGUAGUAUAGGGAACCACACAAUUGAGAAUGCUUUGUUGGAUUUAGGAGCUAGUGUAAAUCUUUUGCCUUACUCUGUAUUCGUGAAACUUGGACUGGGAGAAUUACACCCAACUCCAGUGGUGUUACAGCUUGCAGAUCGGUCCACGAAAAUACCUCGUGGUAUUGUGGAGGACGUGCUUAUUCAGGUAGACAAGUUUUAUUUUCCUGUUGAUUUCAUUAUAAUUGACACUCAACCAAUACAGGACUCAAGGAAGCACAUCCCCAUUAUUCUAGGCCGACCUUUCUUGGCAACUGCAGAUGCUCAUAUUCAAUGUAGGACCGGAAAUAUGCAAUUGUCAUUCGGCAACAUGACUAUGGAGCUAAAUAUUUUCAACAUUGCCAAACAACCUCACAGUGCAGAUGAUGGAAUUGUUGAUGUGGAUUUAAUAGAAACAAUAGUUGAUAAUACUUUUCUUUCAAACCUUAAUGAUGACCCUUUACAGACAUGCUUAACUCACUUUGGUUUGGAUUUUGAUAUUGACAGAUCGGUUGAUGAGGUCAACGCUCUACUUGACUCAGCACCAUCCAUGGACACUAAUAAAUGGAAGUCAAGAGUUGAACAACUAGCACCAUCAGAGAAGAAACUCAUUCCAUCAUCAGAAUCACCACCGAAACUCGAGCUCAAACCAUUACCCAACACAUUGGAAUAUGCAUUUUUGGGGGAAGAAAGUACUCUGCCGGUAAUCAUCUCAUCAUCCCUUAAUGACGAAUAAAAAGGUAAGUUGUUGGAUGUUUUGAAAGAGCACAAAGGGGCAUUAGGAUGGACCAUAGCAGACAUAAAAGGUAUAAACUCUGCAGAUUGCAUGCAUUACAUUCACCUUGAUGAAAAUGCUAAAUCUACUAGGGAAAUGCAACGUCGGUUAAAUCCUAAUAUGAAAGAAGUUGUUAGAACAGAAGUCCUUAAGCUAUUAGACGCAUGUAUCAUUUACCCAAUUUCUGAUAGUUCAUGGGUCAGUCCUGUACAAGUUGUCCCCAAAAAGUCAGGAGUCACAGUAGUUACCAAUGCUGAUAAUGAAUUGAUACCAACUAGAGUAACUACAUGAUGGCGUGUAUGCAUUGAUUAUAGAAAGUUGAAUUCUGUCACACGUAAAGACCAUUUUCCUUUACCAUUUAUUGAUCAAAUGCUUGAUAGAUUAGCAGGCCAUGAAUUUUAUUGCUUUCUAGAUGGCUAUUCAGGAUAUAAUCAGAUUCCCAUAGCACCAAAAGAUCAAGAGAAAACUACUUUCACUUGCCCUUUUGGCACAUUUACAUAUAGGAGAAUGUCAUUUGGAUUAUGUAAUGCACCUGCUACAUUUCAACGAUGCAUGUUAAGCAUUUUUUCUGAUAUGGUUAAACGAUUCCUUGAAGUCUUCAUGGAUGACUUUUCUGUCUUUUUGAUUCGUUUGAUCAAUGUUUACAUCAUCUAACGCUAGUUCUGCAGAGAUGUACCGAGAAGAACUUAGUCUUGAAUUGGGAGAAGUGCCAUUUUAUGGUAAAACAAGGUAUUGUUCUCAGUCACAUCAUUUCGAGCAAAGGUAUUGAGGUUGACAAAGCCAAGGUGGAUCUCAUUUCUAAUCUUCCUCCACCUAAAACAGUUAGAGAAGUAAGAUCUUUCAUUGGGCAUGUUGGUUUCUAUAGACGUUUCAUUAAAAAUUUUAGCAAAGUUUCUAGACCCUUAUGCAAUUUACUUGCUAAGGAUGUACCUUUUAUCUUUAAUGAUUCAUGUCUUAUGGCUUUUGAAAAAUUAAAACAAUUGUUGACAUCACCACCCAUCAUUCAGGCCCCAAACUGGAGCUUACCAUUUGAGCUCAUAUGUGAUGCAUCUGAUUAUGCAGUAGGAGCAGUAUUAGGACAAAGAGUUGAUCGAAUUCCCCAUGUUAUUUACUAUGCUAGUAUGACAUUGAAUGAUGCACAGUUGAACUAUUCAACUACUGAAAAAGAAAUGCUAGCAGUAGUGUUUGCAUUGGAAAAAUUUCGAUCUUAUCUCAUUGGUUGUAAAAUAAUUAUAUUCACAGAUCAUGCUGCUCUUAAAUAUCUUCUCACAAAGAAAGAUGCAAAAGCUAGACUAAUUCGUUGGGUGUUACUUUUGCAGGAAUUCGACUUGGAAUUCAAGGAUAAGAAAGGCACAGAAAAUGUUGUGGCGGACCACCUCUCUCGUCUCCAUUUUGACACAAUUACAGAGCCAUUAAUAUUAAAUGAGUCAUUUCCAGAUGAACAAUUAAUGAGUGUGGAAGUAUUACCUUAGUAUGCUGAUAUAGUUAAUUAUCUUGUUACAGGUAAAUUUCCAGAGCAUUGGACCAAGCAAGACAAGGCUAAAUUCUUUGCGGAAAUAAAGAAUUUCUUUUGGGAUGACCCAUAUUUGUUCAAGUAUUGUGCAGACCAAAUUGUUAGACGAUGUGUCCCUGAAAGUGAAAUUCAGAAUAUCCUUUCAUUCUGCCAUGAACAAGCUUGUGGAGGCCAUUUCAGUGCUAAGAAAACAGCGACUAAAGUUUUACAAUGUGGUUUCUAUUGGCCAAUUAUAUUUCGAGAUGCUUACACUUUCUGUUCUUCAUGUGAUAGGUGUCAACGAAUGGGGAGUAUUAAACGAAGGAACAUGAUGCCACUAAAUCCAAUUUUAGUGGUUGAGAUUUUUGACGUAUGGGGUAUCGACUUCAUGGGACCCUUUCCCUCUUCUUUUGGCCAUCAAUACAUAUUGGUUGGUGUUGACUACGUUUCAAAAUGGGUAGAAGCAAUUCCAUGUAGAACCAAUGAUCACAAAGUGGUGAUAGGAUUUUUGAAAAGCAACAUUGUCUCACGCUUUGGAUUCCCUCGAGCAAUAAUCAAUGAUGGUGGUGCCCACUUUUGUAACAAAGCAUUCAAAGCUCUUUUGACAAAGUAUUCAAUCACCCACAAAGUGGCGACCCCUUAUCAUCCGCAAACCAGUGGCCAAGUUGAGAUCUCCAAUCGAGAAAUAAAGCACAUAUUAGAAAAAACGGUGAGGCCAGACAGAAAAGAUUGGUCAUUAAGACUUGAUGAUGCAUUAUGGGCAUAUAGAACGGCUUUCAAGACCCCGAUUGGGAUGUCACCCUAUAGGCUAGUGUAUGGAAAGCUUGCCACCUACCUGUGGAACUCGAGCAUCGUGCAUAUUGGGCCAUCAAGAAAUUCAACUUUGACAUGCAGCAAGCCAGCUCAGAAAGAAGAUUACAACUGGUAGAACUUGAAGAAAUUCGCAAUGAUGCAUACGAAAAUGCCAAGAUUUACAAGCAACGAAUGAAAGUCUUUCAUGACAAGCACAUUAUGAGAAAAUUGUUCACUCCAGGUCAGAAAGUGCUUUUAUUCCAUUCUCGUUUGCACUUAUUCCCAGGUAAGUUACGCUCUCGAUGGUCUGGUUCCUUUAUUGUUCAUACUGUUUUUCCACAUGGGGCAAUUGAAAUUAAGAACCCAAAGAACGGUGUCACGUUUAAAGUUAAUGGUCAAAGAUUAAAGCCAUAUCUAGAAUACCAACCACAUGGAGAAGACACCGAAAUAAAUUUGAGUGACCCACCAGAUUUGAAUUGAUUUGUUUUUUUCUUUUCGUUGAUUUGAUUUUUCUUUCUUUCUUUUUAUUAUUCUUUUGCUAAUUGAAAUUAUUUUUGCAUAAGUGUGUUUGUCUAACUAUUAAGUUUUCUCUUAUCAUUUUUAAUCAUGAGUACCUUACUUAGACCGUUCCUCCUGAACAUUCUUAAACCACUUCAACGUGUCAAAACUCAUCUCAAAAGGCAGAUUCAAUUUUGUAAAACACAUCGCAUUUGGGCUCUACAACCACCAGAGUUAGUAGCCUAUGUUGAGGGUUUAGAACGCCAACUCAGAGAUAUUGAGAGAAGUGUUUACGACAUCCAGUUGGAACUUGAGGUAAAUUCAAUAAGAGGACGAUUUUAAUUUUCUUUGUGUGUUUUGAUUUAUUUUUCUGUUUGUGUGAUUUAGUUUGUUACCCUGGUGAAGUGGCGGAUAACGGUACUCCGUGACAAUCAAGUCGGAUACUUCAGUUUCCCAUAAUAACUGACAUUCUGAGGUGAAAGUAUGGACAGAAACGAGAUUCUAGCGAAGCUUCACAAGCGAUUCCCUUCACUUCCUCAGAAUGCCCUCUUUACGAUCUAUAAAGCUCGGUCUGAAUGCAUGCGAUUACUCAUGAAGAAUAACAUACCUGCUGACAUCUGUUGGUUAAUCGAGGCUAAAGUACGAUCGGCAGGUGAGUUACCUCCAAAAUUUAUUGCAUUCAUGCCUGGUUGUGGUAAAGGAAAUUAUGCAAGAAAACGACGAGCUCGAAGAAUUUCUGUUGCUUGUCAUAAGUGUGCCAGAAUGAGUUGCGAUAGAAACCCAUGUUCUUUAGGAAUGGUGUCUGAUAACAGGGAAGAUAAGAUUCAAUUCAUUAGGGAUGGCUUGAAUAAGGAGUCAUUGGAUGAUAUUCUUUUGUCUCUUGAAACGCAUCCCAGUGGAUAUGUGCAAGGAGCGAUUCUCCAGUUGUGGCCAUUAUUCCAGGAAGAGCAUGCACGAUAUAGUCUCGGGAAUCUGACUAUAAACGACCAUGUUUGCCAGUUUAUAAGAAAACUGGAUAGGAAGCCUAUCCUCGACCCAUAGAGGGCGUUCAAGCCGUUUCUGGACGUAAAACUAGAGGAAGAUGUGAGCCACAGUCGCAAUUACGUGUAAAUAUCAUUUUACUUUACUGUUAUUUUAUUUCAUUUCACUGUUGUUUUAUUGUUUGCAUUAUUGUAUUUAAUAAUUUUAUUACUGUUUGCUUUUUCCUUUUUACUGUUUCCUUUUUGACUCGCAAGCCAUGUGCUUCACGCGUUAUUUCACACUGACAUCUUACCUCAUUCACAGCUGUGACCCACUAUCACCAAGAUUCUUAAAUGUGAUUUAUCUUUUGUCAAGCACUCACAAAUUGUUUUUGAGAAGUAUCACAAUGGCAGCUACUCCCAAUAGACAAUUCAAAAACAUUUGUGUGCUUUCUGGAUUUACCUAUGGCAAACAUAAAGAGUUCGUGGAGGCAGCCAUAGAUCUUGGUCGAAGCAUAGCAGCGAGAAAAUUACAUUUGGUGUAUGGAGGAGGUAACCGAGGGUUAUCAAAAAUGGUCUCGGAAGCAGCUUUUAUCAGAGGAAGUCAAGUGUUAAGCAUCAUCCCAAGAGUCCUAAAACCAUUGGGCAGUUCGUCUGACUCAUCAACUGGAGAAGAGUUAGUCGUCUCAGGUAUGCAAGAAAGAAUAACUGAAAUGCUUAAUCAUGCUGAUGCUUUUAUUUUCCUUCCAGGAGAUCUUGCAACACUAGAGGCACUUAUGACACUAGCAUCUUGGGCCCAUCUACACAUUCACCAGAAACCCAUCGGUUUGUUAAAUGUCAAUAACUUUUAUGAUGGCUUUAUCGCAUUUCUUAACCAUGCAAUAAAAAACUAUUUCAUUCCUUCUAAUGUGAAAAAACUCUUUAUUUGUGCUCACACUGCUAAUGAGCUACUUGAUAUGUUACAAGCUUAUAAACCGAAGCCAGACCCCUGGACCUUUGUGUUGGAGCGACCAAAUAAUGAUGGUAACAGUAGCCGCAGUAAGAAGUACAAAUUAGAUUUAACUCUCCGCCUGUAAAUAUUUUCUUCUGUGUUGCACCACCCAGGUGAUGUCUUCUAAACUCUACUUCUUUCCUUUAAAACAUUGAGGACAAUGUUUCGUUCUAGUUGGGGGGAGAGAAUAGUCGACAAUUGUGGAAUCUUAGUUAAGUUUUUACUGAUUUUUUGUUGUAGAAACUAACUGUUGCUAACGUUUUGUGUUGAAGAUGGCUGAAUAUGGAGUGUAGUGACUCUAGAAACGUAUCUUCAUCGUUUUAAAAAAAAAUUAAAAAAAAAAAUUCAAACAUUUUCUUUUUCUUUAUUAUGUGUUUAUGUUUAUUUUUCUUCUUUUUAAUUUCUCCUCUAUAAAUAUACAUUUUCCAACUUUUGAGUCGAAGAUGGCUGAAUAUGGAGUGUAGUUCCUCUAGAAACGCAUCUUCUUAAAAAAAAAAAAAAUCAUUUUCGUUUUCUAUCAUUUUACGUGUAACUUUUCUAAUUAGUUUUUAUGCAUCAUUUUCACAUUUCUGCAUGCAUAUUUUCAUUUCAUGUUUAGAAUAGGUUGGGGGAUAGAAUGUUGUUUAAAAAAAAAAAAAAUUGUGUUAUUUGUUUUAACAUUGGAUGACAUGAUUAAUUUCAAAUUUUAGUAUUUGUAUUAUCUUUGGUCUUAAGUGAUGUUACGCUAUGUUUGCUACUUUACAUGUUGAUGUCGGAGACAAAUAUGAGUUGCUUGAAGGAAUGAACAUGUCAUAAAUAAGUGCCAAGUGAGUUGUUGAGCCUAUCAUUUUCUUGGAGAGUAACCCUUUUGCCCAUUCUCUAUACAGCUUAGUAGUUUAUUAUUUUAUACACGAUCUCUAGAUUUCUUUUGAGUUAACCCUUUAAAAAAAAUGGUAAAAUUAAAAAAAAAAAUGUGUGUUGCUACAUUGGGAGGCCCAUCUAACCAGUAGAUAUGGAUAAUUAUUUAGAGCCCUAAAAGACGAUGGAAAGGCCAUCUUUGAUCCGUUUGAGCCUUUCUAGCCAUCCCUUUUAUUAAAUAUCCAUAGUUACCCCUUUUGAGCCUUUAAAAAAAAAAAAAAAAAACAUUUUCUUUGUCAACUUAUCAUCUUGACCCACUCCGAUUUGGAGUAUUACCCGAUGUCUUAUAAGUUCCAUCACCUAUUUAUGUUUGAGAAAAUGUAAAUAAUUAUGUUGUUCAGUGAAGUUAUGCCAAAUAAAAGCCAAAAAAAAAAACAAAAAAAACAAAAAAACAAAAGUUGUUGUUUCAAAAGAAUAAAAUAACAAUAAUAGGUGAAAUCCACCUUGCAACUUCAAAAAAAAAAAAUAUAUAUUUCUGCUUUUUUCUCAAACAUACACUUUGUUUCCUUAUUUCCUUUCUUUGUUAGCCAUAUCCCUAGCCUACGUUACGUCCUAAUAAAAGUCCUUCUUGAUUUUAGGGAACUAUAGUUUGAAGUAGAAGCUAGUUAUAUGGGCUAAAAAGAUGUAGUGAUGCAUAAUAAAAAAAGAAAAAAGAUAAAUAAAGUGGGUUGACUAACAUUUUAUUUGACUUGAGAUCGUAUUAUUUCUAAGCUGAGGGCAUAUUUAUUUCAUCUUGGUGAGAGCAUGUGAUAUCAUUUCUUUAUUAUUUUCUCUCUCAAUUACCAUUCAUUGGAGUGACUAUGUUUAUUGGGUUUUGAUUUCUUUGUGAGAGUGUCACUACUUCCAGUGAGAUUUUGGGGUUUGACAUGUCAUUCUUGAAAGUAGCUAUAACAAAGUCUACUGGGCCGAUUCAUGUGGAUGGUUGAUGUGGGUGUGAUAUUGCUUUAGACUGGAGAUAAUGCUUAUACUUUUAUUUGAUUGCUAUCAUUAAUCUGAUUGAAUAAACACGAGUGUUUCUAAAAAUAUAUAUAUAUAUAUAUUUUGAAUUUGAAUUUUGUUUUCGCUUUAUUUGCUAGGGACUAGCAAUAAGCUGGUUGGGGGGUGUGUUGAGUGUUAGAAAAUACAUAUUUAUAAAAGGAGAAAACCGUCAUUUUACAUUUCAAGUCUUACUAACAGCCCUUACUUUUAUAUAUUUAACCUUCUUGUGAUGUAAUUACGUGUGUGUUAUUUUAAUUAAGUAUUUUAUGUAUUUGAGGGGCAUUAUAGUCAUUUCACAAUAAAGGAGAAAUCAUACGGCAAAACGGACAUCACUUUUGAACUCAGGACGGUCGAAAACCUUAGGAGGAGCAUAAAAGGAAAAAUGGCACUAUUCACAUGUACGGUACUAUUCACGUAUACGGUACUGUCUACGUUACUGUUCACGACACUGUUCACAUACACGGAUCGAUGACGUGGCAUUGACCGAUGAUGUGGCAUUGACUGAUGAGGUGUCACGAUCCUGUUGGACUAAAAUUCUUAUGUACUGUUGACGGUGACGUGGCAGCAUAUCAGUGGACGAAAAAUCUCGCGUACGGUGCAUGCAUCACACAGGAUUAUUUUCAACCCAACCGUGUUACUGUUCAUCCAGGUCAAACCAUGUUACUGUUCAUCCACGUGGUCAAACCGUGGACUGUUGACUGAUGACGUGGCGCAAUCCUGAGCGUCCAAACUAUUUUUAAUCCGAUGGCCAUGAUUUACUCCAUGUAUCUAUAAAAAGGGGGCCUCCCCCCCCCCUAAUUUGAUAUCUCUUAAUCCAUUUUUGGGAUCCAUUUUCUGUAAUUCCCUCUCCAUCUUGUAUUUUCUUUGUAUUUUAAUAAAUUCCCAUUUUGCCCCUAGUUCAAUUAUGAGUAACUAAUUUUCUUUCAAGCUUGGGUUGAAGGUGAAGUCUCAACAUGUGUCAUGGGCUUAAUUUGGUAAAUUUAUUUUCUCUUCCCCUCUAGUUUUUGUGGAUGUUUUGACUUCUCGUCGACAAAUAAUAAUAAUCUUGUCUAGAUACCGCCUUGGUUACACCGGCUCUCUAGUAUAAGGUUAUUAUUAUUUGGCACGAUAAGCCCUUAGCACCAUAUUGAUUAGAGCGUGGUUCAUGAGGUGUGGAUUCCCCCCUCAUGAUUUAAUUGGCAUUAAUACGGAUUAUUUAGCCCAUGAUGCAUGUUGAUACGGAUCCAGAUACCCAAGUACGUCAAUUUAAUCGAUUUUCUCUACAAUUUAUUCUCGCCAUUGCAAUUCCAAUUUUAGCAUAUUUAUUAUCGUCAUUUCAAUUCCAAUUUUAGCAUAUUUUAAAUCACUUCCACCACAAUUCCAACCACCCAUUUACAUAAUUAAUUCUACACACAAUUAAAAAUCCACCUCCUCGUGGGAUCGACACUCAUCACCAUUGAUCUAUACUACAAUAGAUUCGUGCACUUGCGAGUACAUUAAAAUUUGCACAACAAUGACUCUAAUCCAACGAUUGGGAUUUUAAAACUGAACAAUGAUGUGAAGUGGGCAAUUGUACAAUGACGUGAAGUGGGCAACUGUCCAAACCCGUUUCAGCUACCAAAUUAGUUUUAGGGUUUUAUAAACCCUUGCUCGUAUUUCAACAAACGUCAGUGAAAUUUUUCAAGCAGUAAUAUUUUCUUAAUUCUGGAUAACUGUAACUGAAGCAGUGAUGCCGCGAAUUUUUAAAGUGGAUUAUGGUGACUUGUAGUUUGUUGCGGUAGUAUUGAAUGAAACGAAAGGGAUUGCGUAUACUAAAACUUAAGGUAAGUGUAUUUUUAAUAUGAGAUUUUUUAUGUGAAUCAUUUUUUUAUCAUAAUAUAGUUGGUAGGAAACUAGAUUUCAUACUGAUAAUGGAAAAAUUGGGGAGCAAAAAUUUUUUUUAAAAUAAAUUUAUGGAUAUUUUCUCAACAAUAUAGUAAUGUUUAUUUUAGUAAUUUCAUGUAUUAAAAUGAUAUUCGAAUCCAUAGCAAUAAGUCCCAGUUAGCUUGGGUUUUAUUAAGUUUUACAAUGAACAUUUUCAAAAUUAGGAACAGGAAAAUUAAUAUUCCAACAACCAAUAUAGUAGAGUCCAUGGUUAGCAUUAAGAUGGUAACACAGGCAAAUGAUACAUGCUUACCCUUCGUUCCAGAUCUCCUCUGUUUAUUUUUUCCCCCAAUUUUUUUGUUUGUUUUGGGGUUAAUUAUAUGUAUUUGUUUUGUGCUGGACUAGGAAUGUAAGCUGUAUGAUGCUAUGAACUUUAGUUUGAUUAUAAUAAAUAAAGGUAUCGUUGAAUUUCAUAAAUUAAGUUGGUGGGAAGUAAUAAGCAUAAAUCAUGUGAGAUUGAUGGCGGUGCUAGAGAAGUUGGUGGUGAUCAAAGCAUUAAAGGAAGAAUAAAAUGGCAAUGUCGUGAUGAGUUCAUAAGACAUUUGUAAGCUUAGUUAAAGGUUCAUUAAAAUUUAUAGAGAUACAUAAUUUCGCAAUCAUAUGAUGAUAUUGCAGCGGUGAAGUCGUGCAUGAGGUUAAGGCAAGUGAUGGAAUGACUUGCGUUACAAAAGAGGUAUGUGAAGUUGCACUAUAAAAAUAAAAUGAAUUUGUAUUUUCAAGUAGUGAACGUGUAGUUAGUUUAUUUGCCAUGAUUGUGUACUGGACGGAAUUGAAUCCAUGUUUAAGAAUUUACCACUCGAAAGAAAAUGUCAAUACAAAGUCAAUGCGAAUGAAUAGUGAAGUCAGCAGUCGCAAAGGCAAAGUUCUUAACCAUAUGUACUCCAGAUAGAUUAGCGGUGGCAGUUUCACAGCUGACAGAUGAACAAAGAGUGGCUGCUUGUCAAAUGGGCUUUGGUAGUUAAUUGAGAUGAUUGAUACUGUGAGGUGCAUUUUAGAGUUGAAUGGUAUUAGCUUUCGAACAAGAUCAUCAAAGAAACUUCACCAACCAGGAAAUUUAGACUUAAUCUAUGCUCCGCAAAUUCAAAUAUUCUCUAAUAUGAAACUUCUUUUAUGUGCUUGUAGUAUCUCGACGAAUUAAAACUUGCUAUCAAAGUUCUUCCCCCCUUCUUCUUUCAUUUAUACUUGCUGCACCAUUUACUUCACACUCUGUAAAGCCAGAUGAAAGCUUGUUCAUUUAUGUUCACUUGCCAUUCAAAUGCAGUGUUUAUUUCAACUGUCAAAUUGACUACUUGCACGUAUUGAUUUCAGUCGAAACAAGGUUAUUGGUCGAUCAAGAAAUUGAAUCCAUAUGGCCGUUCCAGCGUUAUUCAACCACCUAAUUUCAAAUAUAUGAAUUAGUUCAACCCACUUCAGUGAUCAAAGGCGUGGAACAAAUCAUGAAAGAUUUUUCAGCUAUCAUAAAUUCGAACGGAUGUAGUUUGUAUCCUUUCAGGCUUAGACAGAUUUUCCUUCCAUUAACCUUACAGUGUUGUAAUUAAAAAAAAAAAAAAACUUACAGUGUUAGUAAUCUUAUUACUUGUUUUACAGCUACAAUAGUAUGCCGAAAUUUUUGGCUUUUGAUACAUAAACUUGUAUGUAAUGUACAUUUUAUUGUUCCUUACAACUUAAUUGCUGCUAAAAUAGUUGUUUCAACUAAUAUAUUUAUUGUUAUAAUAGAUAAACAUUUUCUUGCAACUCAAACAGUUCUGAUGGCAUGAUUUGCCAUCAAACGGCAACUUCGUUACAGACAAAAAGAGGGGUACAGUGCCCGGCGCACCGUAGGCGCAGCCUAAAAAGAUGAUUUAGUCUCUCCAAAUCUUAGCACUUUAACCAAAAAUAUAAUAAUAAUUCUUUACAUCAUCAUUCAUUGCACUUGUAAAUCUGAGGGAUUAGAAUUCUGUACUGAAUUUAUUUUUUAUUAAAUAAAAAAUUAAUGUUAAAAUUUAUUUUAUUUUAUUUUUUAUCUAACUAUCAUUGACUUAAUAUUUUGGAUCUUUAUCCAAAGUCAAGGCACAAAAUUUUUAUUCUAAAUAAAUAUUCUCAAUAUAAAUUUAUCACUUAAAUAAUAAAUGAUACGAUUUAAUAUUAAUUCUGUCGUCAUUACUAAAAUGAAUCACAAAUUUUACAUGACGUGUAAACGUAUCAUUAUGUUCUCGAUAUUUGACAUAUGAAUUAUAAAGCAACAAAUCUAUCAUAUUUUUAUUUCGGUAUUGUGCUUCUCUAAAUAUAACCCUCUCCAAAGCAGCAUAAUUCUUUUCAUUGUACCCAUUGCUUCACUUCCUCUUUUCGUCAACGACAAUGGGUAACUUAAUCUCAACCUUCUUACCAGCAGACUUAUUUGAUCGAACUUCAAACUGCGUUGGUGAACAAGCAAAAUAUGUAUGGGGCCUCGAAAAAAAUCUUCGGGUCUUGGAGACUGAAUUGCACAAAUUGACUCGAGCAAGGGCCGAUCUGAAGACCAAGGUUGAGAUCGAAGAACAACGACCUCGAACCAGACGAACGAACCAGGUCGCAGGGUGGCUUGAAGAUGUGCAAAAACUGGAAACUGAAUAUACCGAGCUGGAACGAGAUAGAGCUCAAGAAAUGGAUAGACUGUGCCUUGGAGGCCUCUGUUCCAAAAACUUCGUUUCAAGCUACAAUUACGGGACUCAGGUGGUCGAGUUGACGGAUCGAGUGAUCAAUUUAAAGAAAGACGGAGAAAAAAUUGAAGUCGUUGUUGAGAAGGCGCCGGAUGGUGCAGCAAUUGAAUUACCUCUUGAUCACACGGUUGUUGGUCAAGAACUAUUACUUGGUCAAGUUUGGAGAUGUAUCACUGAUCAGGAAAAGAAGAGGGGAAUUAUCGGCUUGUAUGGUAUAGGGGGAGUCGGCAAAACUACCCUUUUAAAACAAGUCAACAACAACUUCUGCCAUCAACAGCAUAAUUUUGAUGUUGUUAUCUGGGCGGCUGUGUCAACACUUCAAGAUGACAUUGGAAAAAGGAUUGGCUUUUCAGAAGACAGAAACUGGAAGGAAAAAAGUCUUCAAGACAAGGCUGCGGACAUCGCUAGAAUUUUAAGCGGAAAGAAGUUUGUGUUGUUAUUGGAUGAUAUAUGGGAACGCAUUGAUUUAACACAAUUGGGUGUCCCUCUUCAAAAACUAAAUGAUGGGUCCAAAGUAGUCUUGACAACUCGUUCAGCUGGUGUUUGCGAUCAAAUGGACGCUGAAAAGGUGGAAGUGUAUAGUUUGGCGCAUGAUAAAGCCUGGGAAUUAUUUCAGGAGAUGGUCGAUAGAUCCACUCUUGAUAGUCAUACCAGUAUUCCAGAGCUAGCCGAAGCCUUGGCAAGAGAGUGUGGUGGGUUGCCGCUAGCGCUUAAAACAGUGGGUCGAGCCAUGAAAAGCCAAAGGAAAGUUGGAGAUUGGAAACGUGCAAUUCACAAAAUGACAACAUCAGCUUCUAAAUUCUCAGGUAUGAAAGAAGAGGUGUUUUCGCGUUUAAAGUUCAGCUAUGAUAGUUUGUCUACGGACGAACUUCGUUCCUGUCUCCUGUAUUGUUGUUUGUACCCUGAAGACUCCGAAAUUCCUAAAAGGCAAUUGAUUGAUUACUGGAUUAGUGAAGGAUUUGUGUGUGAUUUUGAUGAUGGAUGCGAUUUUAUUGAUGACCUUCUUCAAGCAUGCUUAUUGGAGGAAGAAGGCGAUGAUCAUGUAAAGAUGCACGAUAUGAUUCGUGAGAUGUCAUUAUGGAUAGCGUGCACGGUAGACAAGGAGGAGCAGAACUUUCUGGUUCACGCUGGAGUUGAAUUGACCGAAGCACCAAAGUUUGAAGAAUGGGAAGGUGCCAAACGGGUAUCUCUGAUGGGAAAUGGAAUUAGGAGCUUAUCGGAAAUUCCCACGUGUCCGCGCCUCGUAACUUUACUUCUGGGUGGAAAUCGGAUUGAGGAGAUUACUGAUGGCUUCUUUCAAUCUAUGUCGACUCUUAGAGUAUUAAGUCUACGAAUAAAUAUUUCCCUAAGGAAACUACCCUCAGGUAUACGCGGGUUGCCGCAAGAGCUGAAGGCGUUGGAGAAGUUGAGAUAUUUGAACUUGGACUAUACACGGUUUUUGUCUAUAAUUCCACAUCAGUUGAUAUCUGGCUUUUCAAAGUUGGAGGUACUCAGGUUGUUUGGGUGCGGUUUUUGGGUUGUAACAGAAGAAGAAGGUAACGUUCUAUGUGAAGAUGCUGAACCUUUGAUGAAGGAAUUGCUGGGUUCGAAGCAUUUAAAUGUUUUAAGCUGGACCUUCCGAAGUUCACUUGGUGUCCAAAACUUUUUGAAAUAUCCAAAGCUGGUGAGCAUCACUCAAUCUGUAUUGGUUAAAUCUGGCGUACAUACAAGUCCACCGUUCAAUGUCUUACAUCUGGCAUACAUGGAGAAUCUUCAGAAGUUCGAACUUGAAUCCUGUAAUUUGGAAGAGAUGAAGAUUGACAGCACAGAAGAGGUAAAGAAGCUUUUUCAAAGUGGUUUCCGCAGUCUGAACACGGUUAGCGUACAUUAUUGCAGAAAAGCGAAGGACUUAACGUGGCUUGUUUUUGUUCAAAACCUCAAGGUGCUGCGUAUAGGUGAUUGUUAUGAUAUGGAAGAAAUAAUUAGUGUUGAUAAAUUGAGAGAUAUUUCGGUGAUAAUCGGGUCAGAGCAUAACUUUUUCGCACAACUCGAAUAUCUAAGCAUAAGUUGGGGAACAAAUUUAAAGAGCGUUUACCCGAAUCCCCUGCCCUUUCCAAAGCUGAAGAAAAUUGACGUAUGUCAUUGCCCACAGCUGAAGAAGCUCCCACUCAAUUCCAGCAGCGCGAAGGAACGUCGAGUUGUCAUCGAGGGAGAGAAAAAAUGGUGGGAAGAGCUACAAUGGGAGGAUCAAGCCACCCAAAAUGCUUUCUCUUCCAGGUGUCGUACUUGGGGAUGAUUUUCAUUAAUAUGUUUGAAUAUGUAUUUCUUUUCUUUUUUUUUUAAUUUUCAUUAGAUUUAAUUGCUUCUUGUUCUUGUUGUCUGGUGUGUCAAUCGUUCCCUAUUUUCAGUUAAUAAAAUUUCAGCAGUGGAUUCUUGGUUUUAGAAUCCUCCCACUGGAAAGAAUUCUUGCCAUAGAAUUGCACGAUUUUGAUGACUUGUAGAUUUAUUGCUCAGCGACUAUCUUUUUUUCUUUCUUUUUUUUUUCCACAUGAAGUUCAGUAACUACUUCCGAGGUUAAUUAGAUCUAACUCGUUCAGCACGAUUUAUUGUUUUUAACACCAGGCCAGGCGCCACUGGGCUACAUCAUUGCCGUCAUAGUUGCCUUCAAAGUUAAACAUGACUAUGAGGGCAAUGGUUCAAGUUUCCACGGACUCAACCUCCCUCAAUUAAAUAUAAUUGUGUGAAGACUUCUUAUAACGUCUUUCUCCCUUGUGAAAUGCGAGUGGAGUAGAGACAUCCUCCUCCGUGAGGAGUAUUUAGAUAGGCAUGUACUUUAUAGAAUAAAAAUGUAAUAAUAUAAGUCUUAUGUAUAUAUCUAAUUGUAAAUAUCAGUGUAAUAACAUGUUGUCAUAAUAGUUGUAUAUAUAUGAUGCUUAAUCAGUUAAAAAAAAAAACACCAGGCCAGGCAUCCACAAAUAUAUUGACACCGUUUUAUUUAUUUAUUAAUGUUUAUAAAACUGAAUUGAUUACAAAUUACCCUUUUUGUCCAGUGUGUUCAGUACUUCAGUAUAUACUCUGCACAACUAACACAGAAAAUAAACAUGUACACAUGCUAAUAGAAAACACAAAGGCCUUUUUCUUUUCUUUUUUUAAUCCCGAAAAGGGUUAUAGUUAACAACAAACUAAUAAUAGAAGAGAGAGAAAUAACGGUAAUAUUUUAUCUUCCUUUUAACUGCUCUCCUUUGGCUUAUAAUGCGACCUUUACACUCGUGGACAAAAUUGUAUUUGUCGCUUAAGUCUUGUUUGUUUUAAAAUGCUGGCAUAUUUAUGGAGUGGGAACCCAGAUGCUGAACUCAUAGUAAAUAUUUAUUUAAUUUGUUAUAAUUAUAUUUGGUGGGAUAAUUUUAAAUACUAAUUUAACAAGAUAGUGAUGUUUGCCUUGCCCUACGUGAAAAAAAAAAAAGUAAUUGAAGAUUUUUCUUUUCCUUUAUAUUAGUAAUAGAUUUCAAAUGGAAAACAGACAAAUUUCAUUUUUGUUUCAAUAAUUACCCUAUCACUGUGUGCGUGCGUGAUCACAUAAUUUUGUACUACCGUUUGUGGAAUAACUUUAGGAAAAGAAAAUUAAUUUUUUUUAAGCAACGAUAAAUAUUUUAAAAUUUUAUUUUAAAUUGUUUUCUUCUCUUAUCAAUUGUUUUUUUCUCCUAUCUUCCAAUAAAAGUGCAGGACCUCAAUUAUUUUAAUAGAGAUGUAGUAAUAAAUUAUUAAUAAAACAUGUCAAAUCCAAUGUAUAGAUAAUAAUAAAAUGAGGCUAAUAUAUACAUGGUUUCAAAAAAGUUAGCACAUGCUUGUUGCAAAUAUAAAAAAUUAUCUUAAAAGUCUCUGAACUUUUGUGUUCUCUUUAAUAUUUUUCUCUUAUGUUGUUAUUGUACUAUAUGGAUACAAGGGUGCGUUUGGCACGCUGUAUUAUAUUAUGUUGUAUUGCAUUAUUUUAAUGCAGGUGUAUUGAAUUAUGUUGUGUUGUAUUAGUAAUGUAUUAUAAUAAUGUUGUACAAUGUUUGGUACUACAUUGUACUGUAUUAAUUUUUUGUAACUAAUUUAAAUUAUAUAUUUAGAAAAUACUAAUGAAUUGUGCUAAACAAUCUAAUAAUUAUAUAUUUUAUUAAUUUUUAAUUAAUAUUAUUCAAAUUUAUUCAUAUUUAAAUAUUUAUUAUUAGUUAUAUUAAAUUAUUUAAAAAUACCUUGUUUAAUUAUUUUAAUAUAAUUAAAUAAUAUAAUAUUAUAUUAUUUAAGUAUUUAUUAUUAGUUAUAUUAACUUAUUAAAAAUCAAUCAAUUAUAUAUAUUAAUUAAUAUAAUUUUACAUAUUAAUUAAUAUAAUAUAAUUUAAUAAUACAUUUUUUAGUUGUACAUUUACUAUAAUAAAAAUUAAAAUAUAAUAUAAUAUUAUUAAACAAUAAAUUUAUUAAUUUAUAUUAAAAUUAUAAUGUAAAAAUAAUAUUAUAUAAUAUAAUAUUAAAUUAAAAAUUAUAUUCAUUUAUUAUUAUUACAAAGUAUAAAAAAAAAAAAAAAAAAGGAAGCUAAAGUUAAUGCGGUAACUGGACGCAUUAGCUAAACCCGACUAUAUGUCGGGUUUAGCUAAUACAGCCAUUUGGUACCCCAAACAUGGGGGUGCAUUGCUAAUGUAACAUAACAUACUUUUUUUUUUCUAUAUAUAUAUAUACACUACGUGGAGGUGAGCUCCUUAAUGUGAGAUUUAGCAAAAUUAUAAAUUAUUACAACAUGAAAUUUAUUCUUAUUUAUAAUUGGCCUAAUAUAAAUUAGGACCAUUACUUUUAUAGCUAUAUGAAAUUAUUCUUAUAUAAAAUAUCACUACAUAAAUGUUUUAUUGCAAUAUUGAUCUCUUUUUUUCUUUAUUGUAUUUAUCUCUUCAUAAUCUUUUCCUUUUUAUAAAAAAAAAAAAUCAACUAAAAGAUUCAUCAACAUCUCAGUCCAACAGUCUACUAGCGAAAAUGAGUGUCCAUGCUUUUGAACCAAGGCCCAAUAUGUGAGGGAGAGAUUGUUGGGCUGUCUUAUAUCGGUUGUGAACUAGGAUGGUGGUGAUUUUACAAGUGUAAGGGAAAGCCUCACCCCUUAUCCAUCUUUUGGGAUUGAAUGAGACCCAAAACCGCUUAACAUGAAUUCUAUCACUAGGAUUUUUACCCAGUAUAACAAACAUAACAACACAAUGAAUUACCAAUUUAUCACCUAAUGGCUCUAACUUUAGUGAUGAUCACCUUACAUGAACAUGAAAAUUAAUCCCAUUGUUUAACUCAACAAUGUCGAUAAUCACUUAAACUCUUAUGCACCAAAGGAUAUACUCAGCUACAGGGAAUCUUAACUCAUAAAGAUGCUCCCAAAUCUUCCAUUAAGUUUCCAUCGAACAACUAUUCAUAUCAUUUGAUGAAAAAUUAAUUUUAGUGGGGGCCAAAAGAGCACGAGUGAUCCAAACCACUAAACAACAUCAUAACCAACACAAAAUUUAUACUAAACAAACCAUUACCAAAACAGCAAAGCUAGACAUAAAUUUGAACAGAUACACAAGCUACAUUCAUUACCAUAAUGUAUCGACUAAAUUUCCAAGCUCUACAUUUUGAACAAAGAAUUUAUAACAUUAUAUAAUCUAAUAAAUUAAUAUAGAAAUAAAAUUGGCAUCAGAUCAAAUUACUAUUAAUGUACCUUGCAUAAACCAUUCUCUUCUAUCGGCAUUCACCUCCGCGCUCGAUUGGCUCUCCUGUGCUGCUUGUCUAACUGAUUAGUGGCCAUUAGUGGGAAACCUUUAUAACCUGCACUUAGAGCCCUAGAGCAUGUGCAAUAUGCCAGAUAUGCUUUGAGAGCUAGUGGGAGAUUGUUGGGAAAUUAUGCUCUUUAAAAGCAUAUGUGUUUAUUUAAUUGUAAUAAACAAUUUUUCUGAUUAAUAAAAUAAAUGAGGUAUUUUAUUCAAAUAUCUUAAUUGCAUUAAUAUUUGUAUUAAAGUCCAUUUAAUCAUAUUAUAUGUAUUUAUGUGAUCACCAUGUGGAUUCACAGAAGACAUAAAUACAAGUUAUCUUAUGAUUAAAUAAAUUUAGUUUGCAGUUGAUAAAUAAAGUUGGGCACUUUAUUUAGGUAUAGACUGUAAUAAAUUCAUUGAAUGAUUUGUCUUAAUCAUGUAUGAAUUUAUUGAUGUAGUACGACUACAUUGAACAGGAUCACAUAUGAGAUUUAAUUAACUUUGUAAUAACUGUCAGACUUAUUAAAUCUCAUAGGCGUUGAUUUUACUGUAAUCUUAAUCUUGAGUUAAUUAUGAUUUCAUGAUUGUAAUUGUUAUUUCAUUUGAGUUACCAAUGGGCACGACACAUCCUUGUGGUCAAGAUUACCCGGUAUCUUGGUGGGAGCAAUUAUGAGUAUUGGAGUUAUGGAUUAACAAUAUAGAAUUUUUACAACACAUCUCUUGAUAGGUUUUCGGUACUUGAUCAUAGAAUUCUCUGGCCAGAGUGUGUCAACUAUUUAGUAUGUUGAAAAUGAUCAUUAGAGAAAACCAGUAAGGAUCAAGGAAUAAGAUGUUAUUAAAUUGAUUAGACAGUUGAGAUAUCAAUUUAAUUAACGAUGUGGUACAAAGGAUUGUGCAGUAAAGAAAUUAAUGUGGCUUGGGACGAAUUAUUAUUCGAGCAUACAAUUAUGGAAGUCAGUUCCAAUCUUUUAGUGGAGUAGAUUUGGAAUUAAAUAAUUAUGCUAGUUUAAUUACAGACCUAAUUGUUAUAGCCACUAUUGUAUGUUCCCAAAUGAUCCCCGGGUUAGCUCAUUUAAUUGACUGCACCACUACUGGACUAAUAAGGAAGAUAACUAGUUAUUUAGGUCAAAAGCCUAAAUAUAUCAUUUAGUGGGAGGCUCCAUUUAAUUAGCUUAUGUGUAAGGGGCCUUAUGUUAUUUUACAUGGUGGGUCCCCUAUUAAAUGAAAAGUACGGGAGUUUUAUUUAUGGCAUUAUUUGAAGCCUAGGGUUUUCACUAAAGGGAGAUAUAUAAGGCUUAUUUUCUUAAAAGAAAAAGAAAAGCCACUUUAUACAGAUCAGAGAAUAAGAUUUUUCUCUCUAUUGUUGAGAGAAAAAUGUUCUCGUGCUAGUUGCUUUGGUAGUGAUAAAGGCGCCCACACGUCAAGUGCAAAUCGAACCUGAGUCAUAACCUAGAAGAUCAUUGGUGACAUAUCGUGAUCUAACAAGCGUGGUGGUGACAGAUCGUGAUCUAAUAGGAGUGGUGGUGGCGGAUCGUGAUCUAGGAGCCUAAAUCACUUCAGCGGAAAAAGCCAACUCGGUUUUUCAAGGUACGAUUUCUAGAAUACAAAUUCUUAUAUAUUAUAUGAGAGCGAUCUUCAAAAGGUUUUAUAAAAAUUUAAAAACCUAAUUUUUCCCCAACAAUUGGUAUCAGAGACAUCUCAUAUUAAUAUAUAAGAAUUUCGUAUGAAAUCAUUCUUGAAAUUUAUGUAUUAGAGUGGCACAAUUUAUUCAGAUGUAUAUUAUUUAUUUAAUAUAUGAAUAAAGCAUGCUUAUGGUUUGUCUUAAUUCAUGGUUAGAUUUUCCGUUGUAUUUUUUCUUUGGAUCUGUAACAAGAGGGGUGAUUUUUUAUCAUCAUGUUUCCCUCUUGAUUUAUUUUACUGUUAUAGAAUUUUUGUAAGCCAAAAAUUGGCCUAGGAAAUUUAUAAAUUAAUCUCGGAUUUUCAAGAUCAAAGCGACGGAGGCCGGAAAUUUUGACAGCGGCAACAAGCAGCAAGCAGCGCGCGUCCAGCAGCACAUGCUGCCAGCAAGCGCGCGCUGCACGCGCAGCGGCAGCAGCGCGCGGCUCACAGCACACGCUGCCCGCAGCGCGCGCUGCAAGCCAGCAGCCAGCGCGUGCUGCUCGCGCAGCCAGCAACGCACGAUGUGCGUGCAGCAGCUAGCGCACGCUCGCGUGCAACAGCCAGCACACGCAGCAGGCAGCGCGAGCAGGAGCUUUCCGUGCAGCGCGAGGGAGGUGUUUGGUACGUUUCCGGCUUGACGGCGGCAGCUAAAUCAGUGUCGGACUUGGAUGAACAGUGACUGCUUUGUGGAGAUGGCGGCUAGGGAAGAAAGAAAGAAAAAUAUGAUUUUAGGGUUUCAUGGUUUUUAUCAUGAAGGUCCCUAUGGUUUCAUAAGUUUUCCUUCGGGCAGAAAUGUUUCAAUUUUUUGCGUUUAAAUCCAAAAAUAGUUUUGGGCUUAAUGUAUCCUAGUUUUAGGCCCAAUUUCAAUUAGGCUUAAUGGAUUAAAAUGCAUAGAUAAAAUUGAAUACAUUAAAUUUAUUUUUGGUCCAAAAGUUUUAUUUUAAUAAAUUUUUAUUUUAAUUAUUUAUUUAUUUUCUUUCCAAAUUAAAAUUAGACCAAUUAUAAAUUUAAAAGCCCAAUUUCUCCUAGUCCAUUAACAAAAACAAGAUUAUGGAAGAUGGACAUUUACAAGAAGCCCAAUGAAGAUUAGGCUUAGGGUUAAUGUAUUUUUUCAUUAUUAGGAAAGCCAUGAAUUAAGAUUAUUUAAUUGUUUUUUUUCUAUAUGUUAUGUUUUGGAUGAUAACAUGCCAUGAUAACAUGUCAUAUAAAAUAGGUAGUGCCACUCUAUGCAUAAUGAUACAUGUCAUUCAUUAAUUAUGAAUUUCAUUAUAUUGUUUGAAAUUUGCCUAUGCUUAAUAAUAUUGGACAUCAUCUAGAUAAUGUUAUAGGAAGCAUGCAAUUAACAAUAUGUAUAUUUUAAAAGGAAAAACCAAUUUUAUAAUAUUGAGUGGGAGAGGGAAAAUUCAAGAUAAUUUUUCCCACGGGCUCCAUUGUUAGUUCAAUAAUAAAAUUAUAUAUAUACCUCGACUUCAUGAUACGGUGAUGCUCCCUUCGGAGGGUAUAUAUAUUAGAUAUUUUAUUUGAUGAACUUCUUCAAAGAUAAAAUCGAAAUAUUUUUCAAUCGAUUGUUCACCCCAACGGUGACUAUUGAUAUGAAAAAUACGUAGAUUGAAACAAUGGUUAUACACUCAACUAAAGUUUGUUAUUAACCUUCCCAACGAAGCUCUGUUAACAAAUUUAGGCCCAAAGGGAUAACGAUAAUUAUUUAUCAUGUCUCUACAUGAAAGUAAAUAAUCUAAUGGAUAAUUGGGUCUAGUAAGUGUAGACAUGACUUCCCCAACGGAUAGCUUGUCAAAGCGGUACUAGAUUAUCAUUACAAUAAAUUAAAAUGCAUUUAUGAUUUUUUGUAUUUUUGUCAUUUAUUGUGAAUAUUGUUUCAAAGUAUUUAUGCAUGUGUAUUUUGUUUUUUCAGAAAAUGUCUUCCAUCAACCCAUUAUUAAUUAUCCUUGUUAAAAAUGAACUCACUGGCGAAAAUUAUUUAGAUUGGAAACCAAUCUAUUUAAUAUUCUCACUGCUAAGGGAAACAAAUAUGUGUUGACCCAGCUUUGCCCUCCUGAACCAUCGUUAUACGAUUAUAGAAAUCAUAGGGAGCCUUAUGAGAAAUGGUGCGAAGCUAACAAAAUGGCUAAGCGCUAUAUAUUGGCUUCGAUUUCUGUGGAACUGCAUAAGAAACAUCGGAGCAUGGAAACAGCCACUGAAAUUAUGGCUAGUCUUCAUCAGAUGUUUGGGCAAAAUACCCAUUUUGCCAGAGAAGCAGUAUUAAAACGUAUUACGGAUACUAAGAUGGAAGAGGGCACAAAAGUUCGUGAUCAUGUCCUCAAAAUGAUGGACUAUUUGAAUGAGGUAGAGAUUCAUGGUGUUCAAAUCAAUGAUAAAUCAAAGAUUAACAUGUUGAUUGAAUCUUUACCUGAUACAUUCAAAGAGUUUAAGGUCAGUUAUAUCUUAAACAAUAAAGAUAUGACGGUAAUUGAAUUAAUGCACGAACUACAUGCUAUAGAAGAAUUUUAUAAUAGCAGAAAACUUCCUGAAAAAGGAUUCUCUUCAAGGCUUAAGUCGAAAGACAAGAAUGAGCAAGCAAGAGUUGGGAUCGGCAAACUGUCCACUAAAAGAAGUGACAAGCCAAAAGGCAAGUGUUACAAAUGUGGACAUAAGGGUCACUGGAAGAAAGAUUGUCCUAAGAUUAUUAAAAUCAGGUAUAGGAAAUCUUUAAGCUUCCUAAUUAGUUCAGAUUUCUAUUGAUUCAUACAAUAAUGAAUUCUGAGAUAACUAAUCUUAUUUGUAAUUCAUUUAUUUGGUUUUCAGGAAACCAAGAGAUUAAGUGAAGAAAGCUUCAAACAGCAGUUGAGGACGUGUUAGUUUAUAUCAAUUGAAAGACUAGAUCAAUUUUACAAGACUUUAGUUUUGAUAUUUGUCUUUAUUUUUCCAAAUAUUAGAGGAAUUUAAUUUCGGUGGCUUGUUUUAAUAAACAGGAGUACACUGUUAUUUAUGGAUCCUCUGUUUAUUACUUAUUUUGGUUAUUUAUAAAGACAAUUUAUAUCAUAGAAGUACAUUGAUCUAUUCAAAGUAAGAUAUAAUGAUAAAAAGUAUAUGCAUUUAUCUAAGAAAAGAAAUGUUUCUUCUAACCAAAAAUCACCUCUGAUAUUUAUGCUUAAGUCAUAUAAACUAUAAUAAGAUUUUAAGACAAUGAUUAAUGAUAGACUUGUUGGCCUAUUAAGAUUGAUCAUUGUAACUCUAUAAAUCUUAUUUAGAAAAGUAAUAUGACAAGGAUGCUCUUUUUUGAGCUAAAAACAUAACAUUGUAUUUGAUGAUUUAGCGCAUACAAAUAUAUAUGGACUAAUCAGUUUACAUGUUAUAAGAGGUUAUGAGUAUUCUAUCAAUCUUGUUGAUGAAUAUUCAUUUUUAUUUAUGUUUGUCUAAAUGCGUCAAGAUUCAAUUGCUUUUGAAAUUCAAAAGAGUACGUGGAUAAGACAGAAGCAAUUAGACAGGAACAUAAAAGAACUUUGAUAUGAUCGAAACAAAGAAUAUCUCUAUGGAGAAUUCAAGCACUAUUUGGUUAUCAAUGAACACUAUGAUACAAUAGUGUAAUUAAAUGGAGAAACAAGAUUCUUUUGGAUAAGACAAUAUAUAUACUAAGUGGUUUAUCAUUUACCUUUUUGAUUCCAGAUACUAGUAUUUGAAACUACAAAGUUUUGUUGAACUUAGUUUCAUCUAUCUCGGUGUCUACUACUCCAAGAAAUUAUGAAAAAGUCACAAACAUGGUUUGAGACACAUUCGUAUUUGGAGUUUACUAGUAUUUCUACUAGAAUCAGAGAUAGAGAAGAUGGAUUCGUGUUCAGAAGCUUGCAUGUUUUAGGUAUCUUAAAGGAAUAAGGGAAAGUCUGAAUUAUAGUCCUCAAGAUAAGAAUGUAUUUAUAGAAAUAUUAUUUACUUUCUUUGAGGAAGACUAUAUAAUGACUUAUAACCUAAGAGUAAGGUAAAACUAGAGAAAUAAAAGAGAUCAGGUUGAUGCUAAGCUUUCAACACCUGUUAUAGAACAGGAAGAACAGCAACAACCAGCUGAUCAGCACAAGAUUAUCCUUGAACAACCAUCACUUUUAGAACCUCGUCGUAGUGGGAGGGUAACUAGGUUACCUGCGAGAUACAUGCUUUUGGGAGAAACCUAUACGGCUAUCUCAUAUGAACAUGUAUAAGAUCCCACUAGUUACAACGAAGCUCUAAUAGAUAGAGAUGUUGAAUUUUAAAAAAGGCCAUGAAUCAAGAAAUGGAAUCUAUGUAUUCCAAUAAAGUCUGGGAACUUGUAGAGGCACCAAAUGAGGUAAAACCUAUAGGGUGCAAGUGGAUCUACAAGAGAAAAGGAGGAGUAGACGGAAGGGUGGAAAUAUUUAAAGCAAGAUUAGUAGCCGAAGGGUUUACUCAGAAAGAAGGAAUCAAUUAUGAGGAAACAUUUUCUCCGGUUGCUAUGCUUAAAUCCAUCAGGAUUCUGCUUUCCAUUGCUGCAGUGCUAAAUUAUGAAAUUUGGCAAAUGGAUGUCAAGACUGCCUUUCUUAACAGGCAUCUUGAAGAAAACAUCUACAUGCAGCAACCAGAUGGAUUUAUACAAAAAAUGCCAAGAACACAUGGUAUGUAAGUUACAGAGAUCCAUUUAUGGAUUGAAGCAAGCAUCCCGGUCAUGGAACAUCAGAUUUGAUCAAGCGAUUAAAUCACUUGGAUUCAUUCUGAACAUUGAUGAACCAUGUGUGUACAAGAAAAUUCAGGGAAAAUUUGUAGCCUUCCUAGUUCUUUGUGUAGACAAUAUUCUCCUGAUUGGAAACGAUAUAGGAGUAUUGACUAUAAUAAAGAUCGGGUUAGCAAAAUAAUUUGAUAUGAAAGACCUGGGAGAGAUAAGUUAUAUUCUUGGUAUCAAGUUACUACGAGACCGGAAGAAUAAAACUUCAGCCUUGUCUCAAGCGGUCUAUAUCGAUAAGAUAUUGGCUAGAUUUAGCAUGGAAAAUUCCAAGACUGGUUUAUUACCAUUCAGACAUGGAAUUACAUUCUCUAAGGAUCAAUCACCUAAAACAUCUGAAGAGAUAAAGAGAAUGAGACGAGUUCCCUAUGCAGAAGCUGUGGGAAGUCUCAUGUAUGUCAUGCUUUGCACUACGCCAGACAUCUAUUUUGCGGUAGGGAUGGUUAGCAGAUAUAAAUUUAAUCCUGGACCUCAAUACUGGACUGCAGUCAAGCAUAUUAUAAAGUAUCUGAAAAGAACUAAAAAUUAUAUGCUUGUGUAUUCUGGUGAUGAACUUAUUCUAGUGGGUUAUACUAAUUCUGAUUUUUUUGUCAGAUAAGGAUUUUUAGAAAAUCAACGUCCGGCUAUGUGUUUACAUUAGGAAGUGGAGCUAUUAGUUGGAUGAGUGUGAAACAAUCUUGUAUCACAGACUCCACAACUGAAGCUGAAUAUGUGGCUACAUCUGAAGUUGCAAAAGAAGCUAUAUAGGCUCCGCAAGUUCCUACAAGAUCUUGAGGUGGUGCCUGCUGUAACUGCACCCCUUAAACUAUUUUGUGAUAAUGGUGGUGCAGUAGCUCAAUCUAAGGAACCAAAAGAAACAAAACAUACUGACAGGAAGUAUCAUUAAGGGAAUAGUGUAGAAAGGUUAUAUGACAGUACCCCAAAUGGCAUUAGAUGCUAAAUGGCAGAUCUUAUUACAAUGGCCAUUAGUGGGAAACCUUUAUAACCUGCACUUAGAGCCCUAGAGCAUGUGCAAUAUGCCAGAUAUGCUUUGAGAGCUAGUGGGAGAUUGUUGGGAAAUUAUGCUCUUUAAAAGCAUAUGUGUUUAUUUAAUUGUAAUAAACAAUUUUUUCUGAUUAAUAAAAUAAAUGAGGUAUUUUAUUCAAAUAUCUUAAUUGCAUUAAUAUUUGUAUUAAAGUCCAUUUAAUCAUAUUAUAUGUAUUUAUGUGAUCACCAUGUGGAUUCACAGAAGACAUAAAUACAAGUUAUCUUAUGAUUAAAUAAAUUUAGUUCGCAGUUGAUAAAUAAAGUUGGGCACUUUAUUUAGGUAUAGACUGUAAUAAAUUCAUUGAAUGAUUUGUCUUAAUCAUGUAUGAAUUUAUUGAUGUAGUACGACUACAUUGAACAGGAUCACAUAUGAGAUUUAAUUAACUUUGUAAUAACUGUCAGACUUAUUAAAUCUCAUAGGCGUUGAUUUUACUGUAAUCUUAAUCUUGAGUUAAUUAUGAUUUCAUGAUUGUAAUUGUUAUUUCAUUUGAGUUACCAAUGGGCACGACACAUCCUUGUGGUCAAGAUUACCCGGUAUCUUGGUGGGAGCAAUUAUGAGUAUUGGAGUUAUGGAUUAACAAUAUAGAAUUUGUACAACACAUCUCUUGAUAGGUUUUCGGUACUUGAUCAUAGAAUUCUCUGGCCAGAGUGUGUCAACUAUUUAGUAUGUUGAAAAUGAUCAUUAGAGAAAACCAGUAAGGAUCAAGGAAUAAGAUGUUAUUAAAUUGAUUGGACAGUUGAGAUAUCAAUUUAAUUAACGAUGUGGUACAAAAGAUUGUGCAGUAAAGAAAUCAAUGUGGCUUGGGACGAAUUAUUAUUCGAGCAUACAAUUAUGGAAGUCAGUUCCAAUCUUUUAGUGGAGUAGAUUUGGAAUUAAAUAAUUAGGCUAGUUUAAUUACAGACUUAAUUGUUAUAGCCACUAUUGUAUGUUCCCAAAUAAUCCCCGGGUUAGCUCAUUUAAUUGACUGCACCACUACUGGACUAAUAAGCAAGAUAACUAGCUAUUUGGGUCAAAAGCCUAAAUAUAUCAUUUAGUGGGAGGCUCCAUUUAAUUAGCUUAUGUGUAAUGGGCCUUAUGUUAUUUUACAUGGUGGGUCUCCUAUUAAAUGAAAAGUAACGUGAGUUUUAUUUAGGGCAUUAUUUGGAGCCUAGGGUUUUCACUAAAGGGAGAUAUAUAAGGCUUAUUUUCUUAAAAAAAAAAAAGAAAAGCCACUUUAUACAGAUCAGAGAAUAAGAUUUUUCUCUCUAUUGUUGAGAGAAAAAUUUUCUCGUGCUAGUUGCUUUGGUAGUGAUAAAGGCGCCCACACGUCAAGUGCAGAUCGAACCUGAGUCAUAACCUGGAAGAUCAUUGGUGACAUAUCGUGAUCUAACAAGCGUGGUGGUGACAGAUCGUGAUCUAACAGGAGUGGUGGUGGCGGAUCGUGAUCUAGGAGCCUAAAUCACUUCAGCGGAAAAAGUCAACUCGGUUUUUCAAGGUACGAUUUCUAGAAUACAAAUUUUUAUAUAUUAUAUGAGAGCGAUCUUCAAAAGGUUUUAUAAAAAUUUAAAAACCUAAUUUUUCCCUAACAGAAAGAAGGGUUUUGGAGAGAGUGGGAAUUAGUGGAGGCAAAAAUGGAGAGUUUUGAGAGUGAGAUGAUUGGUGGGGGUGGUGAUGGCGGUGGUGGGGUUAAUGUUCUGGAGGGUAUGCUGAAGAGAGGUCGCAAGAGAACCUCCAUAGCCUUUAAAGAGAGUUGAGUUGCUGCUUUCUUUUGCCGUUUUAAGAGAAUAAUUGGGUGGUGGAUAGAGAGAGAUUAGAGAGACAAAAUACUUUCCCUUUUAGAUUGGAUUUACCCGCCACUCGGCCUCACUCUCACUGCCUUUUAUUUAGCUACUGAAUUUUGAGACUCAAUAAUGAUGCAUAUAUGUAACCCAAUUGAGCCAUAGCCCAUAGCACCACUCGUAACUUUGCUCACUGCCAAAAUUACCAAAUACUACACCUGUGCCCAAGUAAAAGGGUUCGUCCUAACUGAUUCGGUUCAGAUUGGUCCUGCCACAGACCAAACCAACCAAAACGGAUCACUUAAGAAAUAUAUAAACCAAACCCAAACUCAUUUAUAGAACCAAAAAAAAAAAUAUAAAUAAUGGAAGUUGACUUGGGUUUAACAUAAAUGAAGGGCAAUUGACUUGGUUUAACUACCUUGAUUGUUAAACUUGAUUCAGUAAAUAUUGUUACUUUGAUUAAUGAAAGUUUGUCUAGCGAAAAAGAGAUUGGUUGGCUAGUAUGGGAGACCAAGGGUCUUAUAAUUAAUAGAGCUGCCAUUAUAGUUAAAUUGGUUGGCUAUUAUGGGAGAUCAACGAUCUUAUGAUUAAUAGAGCUGCCAUUAUAGUUAAACAUGCACCUAGAUCUUAUAAUGGGGUGGCUCACAUUUUAAACAAAUUGUAAUUUUCUUUUCCAAAGCGCUCAAAUUACUUACAUAUUAUUAAUUUAUUAUAUCAUUAAUAAUUUUAAUAAAAUUAUUAUUUAAAAUAUAUAUUUAUUAUAAAAUUUUUAAUUUUUAUUUUAUAAUUACAAAAUUUUUUACACAACAGUAACUGUAGCUUAAAAAUUAAAGUACCUCAAUCACAAACAGAUUAUAAAACUAAUUUCUCUGUCGUCAUUUGCAAUAUGGCCAUCAAAACCCACCCAUAAAUCGAGGCCAGGAAUAGAUUGUCAUGAUGAUAGUAACAAUAAAUAAUAAAUAAUAUUUUAAUUUUAUCUUGUUAUUUGGUAGGUCAGAUUUGGGUAAAAAAGAUGAUUUAGUCUCUCCAUAUCUUAGUAUUUGAACCAAAAAAAAUAAUAAUUCUUUACAUCAUCAUUGAUUGCACUUGUAAAUCUAAGGGAUUAGAAUUCUGUAUUGAAUUUAUUUUUUAUUAAAUAAAAAAUUAAUGUUAAAAUCAUUUUAUUUUAUUUUUUUAUCUAGCUAUCAUUGACUUAAUAUUUUGGAUCUUCAUCCAAAGUAAAGGCACAAAAUUUUUAUUGUAAAUAAAUAUUCUCAAUAUAAAUUUAUCACUUAAAUAAUAAAUGAUAAGAUUUAAUAUUAAUUCUGUCAUUACUGAAAUGAAUUACAAAUUUUAUAUGACGUGUAAACGUGUCAUUAUGUUCUCGAUAUUUGACAUAUGAAUUAUAAAGCAACAAAUGUAUCAUAUUUUUAUUUCGGUAUUGUGCUUCUCCAAAUAUAACCCUCUCCAAAGCAGCAUAAUUCUUUUCAUUGUACUCAUUGCUUCUCUUCCUCUUUUCGUCAACGACAAUGGGUAACCUAAUCUCAACCUUCUUACCAGCAGACUUAUUUGAUCGAACUUCAAACUGCGUUGGUGAACAAGCAAAUUAUGUAUGGGGUCUCGAAAAAAAUCUUCGGGUCUUGGAGACUGAAUUGCACAAAUUGACUCGAGCAAGGGACGAUCUGAAGACCAAGGUUGAGGUCGAAGAACAGCGACCUCGAACCAGACGAACGAACCAGGUCGCAGGGUGGCUUGAAGAUGUGCAAAAACUGGAAACCGAAUUUACCGAGCUCGAACGAGUUAGAGCUCAAGAAAUGGAUAGAUUGUGCCUUGGAGGCCUCUGUUCCAAAAACUUCGUUUCAAGCUACAAUUACGGGACUCAGGUGGUCGAGUUGACGGAUCGAGUGAUCAAUUUAAAGAAAGACGGAGAAAAAUUUGAAGUCGUUGUUGAGAAGGCGCCAGAUGGUGCAGCAAUUGAAUUACCUCUUGAUCACACAGUUGUUGGUCAAAAACUAUUACUUGAUCAAGUUUGGAGAUGUAUCACUGAUCAGGAAAAGAACAGGGGAAUUAUCGGCUUGUAUGGUAUAGGGGGAGUCGGCAAAACUACCCUUUUAAAACAAGUCAACAACAACUUCCGCUAUCAACAGCAUAGGUUUGAUGUUGUUAUCUGGGCGGCUGUGUCAACACUUCAAGAUGACAUUGGAAAAAGGAUUGGCUUUUCAGAAGACCAAAGCUGGGAGAAAAAAAGUCCUCGAGACAAGGCUGCGGACAUCGCUAGAAUUUUAAGCGGAAAGAAGUUUGUGUUGUUAUUGGAUGAUAUAUGGGAACGCAUUGAUUUAACACAAUUGGGUGUCCCUCUUCAAAAACUAAAUGAUGGGUCCAAAGUAGUCUUGACAACUCGUUCAGCUGGUGUUUGCGAUCAAAUGGACGCUGAAAAGGUGGAAGUGUAUAGUUUGGCGCAUGAUAAAGCCUGGGAAUUAUUUCAGGAGAUGGUCGACAGAUCCACUCUUGACAGUCAUACCAGUAUUCCAGAGCUAGCCGAAACCCUGGCAAGAGAGUGUGGUGGGUUGCCGCUAGCGCUUAAAAC